UCCCAUUCAUUAGAUUGAAUGACAAGUCAAGUCUCUUCAUGCGCAGCAAGUUUCCAAUCCAUGUUGGAAUUGGACCUGAGAUGGAGUUUUUACUCAGAUAAAGACUCUCUAAGUUGGUAAGGUGUUGAAUUGAAUUGGGGAAGGGACCAACAAAACUAUUAUAGCUCAAGUGUAGGGAUUUUAAAUUCUUAAAGAGCCCUAAUGAAUCUGGCAACUGACCACUGACUUGAUUAUCGCCCAAGUUUAACUCUUCCAAGGAACUAUUAGCGCAUGCUGAUAAACCAUUCACCAAUUCAAUUCCUUCACUUCCAAUAUGAUUGUACGAGAGAUCUAAGGUUACCAAGUUGUGAAGGCUUAGCAAGUUAACAUGGGGAAUCGGACCUUUAAUUGUAGCACCAUUUAAAUAAAGAUCCAUAAGGGUACUGAUGUUAAACAACCAGCCAGGCAAAGUAGUGUUGAAAUUGUUGUAGGAGAGAUCAAUGACCAAAAUAGAAGUCAAAUUAACAAACGGAUUGGAGUACUGAGGGAAAUGACUGAGUUCACAAUUGGACAAAUGUAAUUCUAACAAAAAUGGAAGCAUGUUUGCAGCUUGCAUCCAAUUUGUGGUUGCUUUACUAAGGUUCACAUGCCCCAUAUCAAGGUAUUUUAAAGAAGAAAGACCAGAAAGCCAAUUCAAAUUAUGAACCCUCAUUAAUGGAGCAGAAAAGUUGUAGUAGUAAUCUCCUCCACUAAGGUUAAGAUAACAUAACUGUGAUAAAUUUCCAAGAUGAGGAGGAAUCAUUCCACCAAAUGCUGCAUAGGAGAGAUCAAGGUAUCUCAAUCUUUCAAAUGAGCCCAAGAAAUUUGGAAUUGGAAUUCCUUGAAAAUCAUUAAAACUUAGGUCCAAGUAAUUUAAAUGUUUCAAGUCAAGUAAGGAAUCACUUAUCUCACCACCCAAACGUGAGAAGUCACCACCAGAUUUUAGGUCAACCUUGACAACAUGCCCUGUUUGGUUGUUGCAAUCCACACCUUUCCACUUGCAGCAAUCUGCACCAACCCAGGAAGAAAGCCUACCUGAAGGAUCUUUCAGUCCAUUUUUGAAUUCAAGAAGCGCUUUCCGCUCUACCUCAAUGCAGCCCUUGUUCAUACCACCAUCAAUGGAAUUGAUAAUAGUAGCUUCAGCUAGGAGACGCUCGAGAAACAGAGAAAGGAGAAAAAGAGUAAGAAGUAGAAGGGUGGUUUUCCAACUUGCCAUUUGAUGAAUGCAAAGUUGCAAAGUUAUUAGUGGGUGCUAUAUAAAUAAUUUAGUCAACUAUUUUAAGUCUUUUGGCCGCCAUAAAUAUAGAAGAAAUUAUCAAGUUCAAUCACAAUCGGAUCACAUAUCUCUUCUAUCCCUGAGUAAAUUAAUUCAAGACAUUAAUUACCAAGUGUUUGGUCCAAAGAAAAAAAGAAUUUUUUUUAUUCCUAAUUUACACUCAUCUAAUUAUUAACUAGAAUAAAAAAUUUCAAUUAAUUAAAAAAUUAAAAUUUAGAUUUUAAUAUUUUUCCCAAAUUCAAAAUUCAAAAAUUAAUAAAUUAAUCUCAACUAUGUUAUUCAUAAAUCCCAAGAUAGGUUACAUAAAAAUAAGUUUUAACUAAGAAAAUUUCUAACAUUUUAUUAACUACCAAGUAUAAUUAGAAAUCCUAAUUAUUAUCUAAUUAUCAAUUUUCUACUAAUUAUAUAAUUAAUUAUUAUGCAAUUUUAUUAUGCUAAUAAAUUAUGAUAUUUUGGUAUAUUUUAAAAUAUAUUAAAUUACCAUUUUUAAAUUAUUAAUUUUAAAAUCAAAAUAAAAAAUAUAAUAACUAUUUUUUAGAUAUUUUUAACAUGUAAACAUAAAUAAAUAUAACAUUCCAAACAUUAAUAAAAACAAGCAGUUUAACACUUGACAAUAUUUAUAUAAUAAUAAGAAAUAAGCAACUUAAACACUUAAUCAGUCUACUAUAUUUAAGUCAAAGUUAUGCCUAUUCAAAUUUCAAACAAAAAAUAAUUAAAUACCACCUUACACUUAUUAUGCAUUACUCAAGCCAUUUAUAUAUGUAAUAAAGAAUUUCAAUAUAUAUAAAUUUUCAUGAUAUUUUAUUUUCGUUUGGAGGAGAAAGUUUCAAAUAGCUUUCUUCAAUUAUUUAAAGUUAGUGACCGUCAAUACAAGAAAAUUUUGACACAAAUCUAAAAAGAAAAACAAUUUCCACACAAGUCUAAAAAUGUCUUUUAGGGAAAGUAUUAAAACAUUUUUUGAAUUUCUCCACCUCUUGAUUGUUUUCUUAGACAGUGACUCCAAGGACUUUUGUGACAUGUUGACUGUUGACUGAAACAAAGUCCUUGUCUAUUUGGUGUGAGUUAGGAAAAAAAAAAAAGGGAAGUUGCAUUUUUUUUUAAUGAAAAAAUUUAUUUUUUCUAAAUAAAAAAAUUCUUUUUUUUUUUAAAAUAAAAAAUUUCCUUAUCUAACCAAACCAAUUUUAACCAAUUCAUUGUAGCCUAAUUAGUUCAGUUUUUCAUUUAAAGACGUUUGGUUUAGCUUGCAAAAAAAAAAAAAAAAAAACAAAAACAAAAAACAAAACAAAAAACAAAAACAUGGUUAAAUAAGUGGUAUUUAGUUUUUCUCUAAAAUCUGAAUGGAAUAUUAUUAAGUAUUUAGGUCAUUUUUUUUUAUUAAUGCUAAAUAUUUUUAAGUGUUAAAUUGCUUGUUUUUAGUAAUGUAUAAAGGCUUAAAUUUAUUUAUUUUUACACAUUAAAAAUAACUAUAAAAUUAGUUAUUAUUAUUAUUAUUUUAAAAUUAAUAAUUUAAGAAAUAGUAAUUUAAUAUAUUUACAACUAUCUCAAAAUAUUAUAAUUCAUUACCAUAAAAAUAUAUAUAUAUAAUAAUUAAUUAUGUUAUUUAUAGAAAUUUAAUAAUUAGAUAAUUAUUAGGAUUUUUAGUUAUGCUUGGUUGUUAAGAAAAUGUUAAAAAAUUUCUAAGUUAAAAUUUAUUUUUAUAUAAUAUAUUUUCAGAUUUAUGAAUAUUGUCGAGAUUAAUUAUUAAUUUUUUUCUUUUAAAUUUGGGAAAAAUAAGAAAGACUAAAAUUUUAGUUUUCAAAAUUAAUUGGAUUUUUUUUUAUUUUAAUGAAUAAUUAGAUAAGUGUAAAUUCAAGGACAUGAACGACCCCAAUUUUUUUAUAAUGACUAAUUAUGCAAAGUGUAGAAAAAUAAUAAUUAGAUAAUUAUUAGGAUUUCUAAUUAUGCUUGGUUGUUAAAAAAUUUAUAUGCUAAAACUUAUUUUUAUAUAACUAUCUUCAAAUUUGUGAAUAUUGUUGAAAUUAAUUUAUUAAUUUUUAUUUUUAAUUUGGGAAAAAUGUAAAAAUCUAAAUUUUAUUUUUAAAAUUAAUUGGAUUUUUUUAUUCUAGUUAAUUAUUAAAUGAGGGUAAAUUAGAAAUCUAAGUUCAAGGACAUUAGUGAACCAAACUGACUUCAAACCUAACCAAUCCAAUCUUAUUACUUUUUAUUUCCAUUUAAAGAUGUUUGUUUCUAUUUUUAAAAAAAAAAAUGAUUACAUUGGUUUAGUGUUCAUGAACCAAUCAAAGCUAAACCAACCGAAUUUAUCUAUUAUUUAUCAAAAAAAUAAAAAUAAAAAUAAAAACAAUUACAUUGGUUCAGUAUUCAUUUCAAAACAACGAAUCAAUAGAAACCGAUCUAAUCAAAUCUAUCUAUUAUAUAUUCGACUUAAAAGGUGCAAAAUUUGAAGUUAUUUUUCGACUUCAUAUUUUGCUUCUCAUAAUUUACUAUAAAUUUAUGAAGUUAUUUUUUAGUUGUCAUAUUUUUUAAAAAUAUUUUAUUUUUUCAAAAUAAAUUCACUAAAUAUUAUCUCACAUGCAUUUGUGGUUCACUAAAUUUUUAAUAAUCAAAUUAAUAAAUUUGUAAAAGGAAAAUAUUAUAUUUUCUCCAUUUUGUUCACUUGAUAAACAUAUCUACAAAAAUGUCAAGCGGAUGUUUGAAAUUUACCUCUUUUUUUUAUUGUGUAAUAUUUGGUUGAUUGUAUUUAUAAAGCAUUAUAAAUCUCAAGAAAGUACACAGAGUCCUAAAUUAUUAUGAAUAAAAUAAAAUUAUUAAUUUAAAUUUAGUCUUUAUAUUGAAAAGUUAAAAUAAGUGAAAUGAGUUUGAAGUAGUUUAUAAAAAUAAUUUAUUAACUUUAAAUCUAUGUUAUAUUUUUUUUCUUUUUUUUUUCAUCCAAUUUUUUUUUUUUUUUUUUUUGAUAUUUUUUCCCUUGUAUUUCCCCCAAAUUUUGUCCAAACCAAACAUAAACUUGGAAAAUAUGUCAAACCAAUACUAGUAUUUGAGACUUAGAAAUUUUUUUUAAAGGAUUGGAUCAAGAUUCAAUCACGAUUAGACCACACAUGGCCCUUUUGCCCAUAAUUAAAUUAAUUUAAGAUAUUUUAUUUAUUAAGAUAAUUAUCAAGCUUUUGAAAUAUGAAGUUGUUGUCCAUCCAAAGAAAAAGAAAAAAUAUUUUAUUUAUUUAUUUUGCCUAACACACAUAUAGACUAAGAACUUUUCUUCGAUUAAAAGUCAAGAUGCCACAAAAGUCCUUGAAGUCAUUAUGAACAAUUACCUAGAAAAGAAAUUCAAAUAAUGCUUUAAUGAAUGGUGUAUAUAUUUUCUUUAAAAUGCAUUUUUAGACUCCUACUACAAGUUUUUCUCAUGGGCAAAAACAAAAAAUAAAAAAUAAAGCUUCAUUUUUUUGCCUAACUCACACGCAAUAGAGUAAGGACUUUGUUUCAGUCAAGAGUCAACAUGUCACAAAAGUCGGUGAAGUCAUUGUCUAAAGAAAAUAAUUAUAAAAUAAUAAAUAAUACUUUAAUGUGUGAUGUACAUAUUUUCUCCAAAAGGCAUUUAUAGACUCAUACAAUUUUCUCCUAUGGACCAUUUACCAACUUCAAUUAAUUGAAGAAAGUUACGGGAAUUUAAGUGAUAUGGCCUAUAAAGGAAAAUAAAAUGUCAUGAAAAUUAUUUAAAAUUUUAUAGAUAUUCAAUUUUUUAUUAUUAUUAUAAAGGGUUGGAAAACUGCAUAACAAGUCUAUGCCUUUUGGAAAAAUGUUUAUUAUUAUUACAAAAUAAACAUUUUGUGACGAUUGAUUAUGUAAUAGGUUAACAUUUAUUUUUAUGUAAUGUAUCUUUUGAUUUAUUAAUUUUUAAUUGAAAUUUAUUUUUGUAACGUAUCUUUUGAUUUAUGAAUUUGUAAUUGAAAUUUAAUUUUUAUAUCUGGUGGCAAUGCCAGUCACAAAACAAAAAGGUGAUGAAGACCUUUCGGCUCUUCAUGGGCCAUGUAUCACAAGCGUAUGAGCCAAUCAUGGACCCCAUCGUGUCCUCAACUUUAACCGUGGCUAUAAAUCUAAAUACUGAUGUAGAACCCUAUCUCAAAAUGGUCCAUUCGAUAGGCAUUAGGCACCUACCACAAGAAAAUUAAUGAAAACAAAAAAUGAAGUUUCAUUUUUUUUGCUUAACUCACACGCAAUAGACUAGUGACCUUGUUUUAGUCAAGAGUCAACGUGUCGGAAAAGUCUUUAAAGUCAUUGUCUAAGGAAAAUAAUCACAAAAUAAUAAAUAAUAUUUUAAUAUAAGAUGUAUAUAUUUUCUUCAAAAGGCAUUUCUACACUUCUACAAUUUUCUCGGACCACUUAACAACUUCAAUUAAUUGAAGAAAGUAUUAUUAUUAUUAUUAUUAUUAUUAUUAUUAUAAAGGGUUGAAAAAAUGCAUAACAAGUCUAUGUGGUAUUUAUUUAUUUUUGUCUAAAAUCUAAAUAAACCUAAAUUAUUAUUUUUUUUAUUUUAAUUCUAAAAUUAAUAAUUUAAGAAAUAGUAAUUUAAUAUAUUUACAAAUAUAUCAAAAUUCUUAAUUUAUUACCGUAAUAAAAAAUUUCUAACAAUUAAUUAUGUAAUUAGUAGAAAAUUUAUAAUUAGAUAAUGAUUAGGAUUUUUAUUUAUAUUUGUGUGGACCCCGUAUUUUGGCUCAUAAGCUUCCACUCGAUGGCGAGCUCGGUUUUUACUUGAAAAUGAUUUUAUUUAUUAAGAAAAAUGACUUGGAGUUGCCACUUAUUUUUGUUUUAUUUUUAUAGGGUAAACAAAAUAAAAAAGAAAACUCUAAGUGUAACUUUUUAUUUUCAGAAAAUGUGGUCUGUGAAAAACCGGAUCGGGAGUCAAGUUACUUAUCGGGAAGGUACGGAAAAGACCGUAGCACCCCUCUAAGUUCCUAAAGAUGGAUCUCUAUUAAUGAAAUGAAGCUGACAUGACAAUUGAUAAGAAAAUUGAUGGAUACCUAAAAUGAUCAUGCACAUGCGUAGAGAAUGACCAGAGUGAACGUGGGUGCGUACCUGAGCAACGAUCCACAAUGUGCUAUCAAGAAAGGGGGUUAGUGUACAAUAAUGAUCAUAAAAUAUGGUUCACAUGUCACUAAACAAAAUAUGAAAUCAUCAUAUAUCACAAUUCAAUCAAGUUGAUUUUCAAAAGGAAACAUCCAAUAAUGUUGGGCUCCCACCAAAGCCCGCUUUAUUCUUGCAUGAAUUUAUUCCGUAAAUUCCAUUAUUCGGAAUCACGGGAUUUAAUUCCUACUUAUUUUAAAACAUUUUGAGAAUCAAAGAAAAUUCGAAGAUGGCUUGCCGGAAGGAAAAAUGGCGGCCAAAUUUUAUUGAAAAUGAGAUCUUGGUAACUAAAAAAAAAAAACUAAGAAUAAAAGAAAAAGUGGAGGAGUUGGGAUUAUUUGAAAAACUGAAUUUGAAAAAAUAUUUACAUAAACGAGAUAUGGGGCAAUGAUUUUAAAAUCAAAGAUGAUGAAAAAUAAUAAUAAAAAAGAGGGCACGUGGUCUAAGGCCCAUGUCUAAGGUAACCAUGCAAAAAUACAUAAAUAGGAGAGUUGAUAAGGAAUAACCAUGCGGGAAUGGGUCUUUAGAGUGCUGCUGCAACUGCUACACCAGUAGCUCAUCACCUUCUCGAAAACUCCACCAAUGAUAACAAGAAGUAUAGUCCUAGGAAUCUUUUGAUAAUUGAAGAAAGAACGUGAAUGGCACAGGCUCUGAUUGCUUGCUCAAAACCUAGAAUAAUUGCAACUAUGUGUCAAUUCUUAGCUGCUUCGUUCCCGAACUAACGGAACCUUGCUAUCUCCAAAUGAUGUGAGAGAACAAUCAAAGCCUUAAACUCUUCCUCCAUUUGCACUCAUUUUGGAAUUACAAAGAGACAAAGGCUGAAAUCUGGAGCUGGCAUUGCCAUGAAGGGUCUUUGCCAAAAUCUGAAUAGCGAUUUGGGUACUCAUGCGCUCUGACUCAAGUUGGUAGAGGCGGCGAGGGCAGAGAUUUACAUCCAAGGCAUACAUUUGUGGAGACGCCACUAUUGAGAUAUUAGGAAUGCUUUCCUUAUAUCAUUCUUUCCUUAUAUCAUUUAGUGUUGAGAUAUUAGGAAUGUUUAGAUAUUAGGAAAGUUGAGAUAUUAUGAAUAUUGAGAUAUUAGGAAUAUUGAGAUAUUAGGAAAGUUGAGAUAUUAGGAUAUUAGUUGUUAUUUCCUUAUAUCAUUCUUUCCUUGUAUCAUUCUUUCCCAUUCUUAGAAUGGUGAUUACCCUCUAUAUAUACUCUGUACAUGAACGAAUGAAAGAAUGAAUGAAAAAACUAUCAUUUAUCAAUUUGAAGAUGGUAUUAGAGCCAUGGAACUGAAAUCCUGGAUAUUUUGUCGCUAUGGUAGUCCGACAGCGAUCAACCAUCCUAAGACAAGCCCUAAUAUUGAUAAGUCAACCUUCAAAUGCACUCACUGCAAUAAGACUGGUCCCACUAGUCUGGAUAUCCCACAAUUUCAAAGCAACGACUCUUGGUAUGACCAGGAAAACAAUGAGGAACCGAGGGUUUGAACCAUGGACCUUUAGAUCAUGUUUAGGCUAUCAACACUUUGUUAUUAGUGAUAAUAAUCGUGAUCAACGGAAGAAGGAUUCCAAGAAAACCUCGACUGCAACUAUUGCCGAAAUAAAAACAUAGGCUAAUGUUGCUGAGAAAGCUUCUGCAUUGGUAGCCGCUACUGAUCAUAGUGGUAAGUUUUUAAAUACUUUUACACCUGUUAUUAAUAGUGCAUGGAUAAUUGAUUCUGGUGCUACAGAUCAUAUGACUUUUGAUUUUAGACAAGUUUCACCCCUUAGACCUUCCUCACAAAAAAUUGUUUCCACAACUAAUGGUAACACAACCCCAGUCAUUGGGGAAGGAUCCUUAACUCUUACUGAUACUUUGAAUUUGGAUUCUGUUUUAGUUGUUCCAUAUUUAGAUUACAAUCUUUUGUCAGUUUCUCAAAUCACUGCAGUCUUAUCUUGUAUUGUCAUUUUUUGGUUUGAAUUUUGUGUGAUUAAGGACAUCCAAACAAGACAGACGAUUGGUUGUGGUAUUAAGCGGGGAAAACUCUAUUACUUGGACUUGCAGUCAAAGGAUUCAAAUAAGUUGCAACAAGCUUUAAUGGCAGAUGGAUUUGAGGGGGAGAAGAAAAAGUCUGAAAUUUGGUUGUGGCAUCAACGUCUGGGACAUGCUUCCUUUGGUUAUUUAAAAAAAUUGUUUCCUAAUUUGUUUGCAAAGAGUGAUAUUUCUGGUUUCCGUUGUGAUAUUUGUGAAUUGGCUAAAAGCCAUCGUGCUUCAUUUCCGUUAAUUUUGAAUAAAAGUCCGUUUCAUUUUAUGGUUAUACAUUAUGAUGUUUGGGGCCCAUCCAAAGUCCUAACUUUGAGUGGCUCAUGUUGGUUUGUUACUUUUAUUGAUGAUUGUACCAGAAUGACAUGGUUAUGUGAUUACUACUCAAAAAAUGCUCUUUGAUAGCUUGUAAUAAACUCUUUUAAACACUUUUGAGUAGUAGUUAUUGCAUUUUAAUCCAAUUAACAUGUUAAGGACCCUUGCAAUCAAUUCUAAUCAAAUUAUGUUAAGUUUUGGUGUUUUGAUAGCCUUUUGAUCACCAAAGCAAUCCGAGAUUGAGGAGAGUUAUAUGGAAUCUUGGGAAAAGCAAUUGGAAGCUCAGAAACAUGAAGAACCGAAGCUUUGAAGUCCUUUGCCAUAAGUAAAUCCGGAAUGCAAGGAGAAGAAGUAAAGAGAAUCUGCCAUGAAGCAUAUUCUUGAUGACAGUCGUGUCAGCCACUUUUGGAGCACUUUCUAAAGUCCAAUUGAUGCAUGCUAUAUGUCAUUUCAAAGCUCAGGAAGUCAACAAUCCAAUGCUUCAAAUGAUACACAAUUUGGAGUUGAAACGAAGAAGUUACAGCCACUGCAAGUCAAUCACUCUAAGCUGAAGAAAGCAUUUUGCAAAAGUGUUGCGAAAUCACCCUUUUGUUGCGAAGUGAUUUCGCAGCCUUUUUGUACAGUGUGGUGGAUUUCCUCCUGAAGUUGCCCGAUAUGUGCGACAAGUUGGAAGCUGAGAACCUCAAGAUGAAAGCCAACUUCGCAGCCCUGCGAGAAUAACCUUUUGCUGCGAAGUGAUUUCGCAGCCCUUUUUGUAUUUCUGCGAAAUCUCGCAGACAUCAUUUUCUCUUGCGAAAUGGUCCUUAGUGCGUCCCGAUAUUUGCUACCGACAUUGGGAGAUAUUUUCCAUCAGAUUUUUGUUGUCUAAAUCCCAAAAUUCUCCUUGUAAGCCACCAAUUACAAGAUUCCUUAGCUUUUAAGUUAGUAAAAAGAGUAAAUAUCCAUGUAAUAAUUAGUUUUGUAUUAUGUUCAUAUAUAAAUACCCCUCGAGAGCCUGUUCUCAGGGAGGAGACCUUUUGUAAAGUUUUGGAAAAGCAAGUAAAGUUCAGGUCCUUUGUUUUGCCUUAACUUCUCACUUUGUAUUUUUUUUAUUUCUUACUAAGUUAUGCACUCUCUAAGGAAUUUUUCCCAGAGAAUGAGUAACUAAACCUUUAGUUUCUUAGAGCUAAGGUUGCCGGUGAAGGUUCCAAGUGCAAGAAUGCAAAGCUCUGUGGUUUCAGCCAUGAAUGAAGAGGAAGUGAAAUCCUUUAGUGAUUUCUAUGUUUUUAGUUAACUUAAAACACCUUAGCGUCACCUAGGCCAACACUUGGUAAGGCAAGUGAUCUCCAACCAUGGAGAUGCACUAGUUUACCCCUUGCGAGCCUCUGGGAGGUGACUUUAAGGUAGGAUUUUCUGGAAUUGCCAACACUUGGUAAGCUUUUGGACUCCAAGGAGACAUCCAUUAGUUAUCUCUUGCGAGCCUGAGAAGGGAAGUCCAAGGUUAAAGAUCACCUUGAAUGGUUAAGGCUUAGUGAGAGGUUUGAACCAUUGCAAGUUGCAUCAGUGAGAUAAUUAAAGUUGAAAUCUAAUUAAAGGAUGUAUCUGUACAACACCGAUUAGAGAAUUGACUAUAUGUUGAAUCUCUAACGCGAGGAAAUGAACCAUCUGACCGGAGCUAUGUCUUUUGCAUGAGGAACCACCCCAAUGAACCUGACCCUCUAAGGAAUGUUUUUCUUCCUAAGUUAUUCCCAUUACUUGUUUUGUGAGUUAGUUUGAAUCUAAAUCUUUUCCAAUCAAGGUUUGAGUUUUCUUUCUUAAGCUAACCUUGAAAUGAAACACUACCAAUUCACUUUGAAUUAAUAUCAUUUGUAAUUUGGAAACCCUUCCCAGUGAACGAUCCUAGAGCCGUUAUACUAUAAUAGCUUUUUCUUUGCUACCCUAGUAUAUGGUGUAAUAGGUUAUAAAUUUUGUUGAUUACUCCCUCAAUCAAGGAGCACCAGCUGGACAUGAAUCAGCUGAGACACCAAUUGGGCACGAAUCAUUAUGCUUGAUGAAGACCAAAGAUGAAGUGAACUUGUUGUUUUAAAAUUUUCAUAAAAUGAUUGAAACUCAGUACAAUGCAAAGGUUCGGGUUCUGCGUAGUGAUAAUGGUGGAGAAUAUCAAAGUUCUGAUCUUCAAAAGUAUUUGGAAGGACAUGGCAUCAUUCAUCAGACUACUUGUUCCAAUACACCCCAGCAAAAUGGAGUCACUGAACGAAAAAAUCGGCACUUGUUAAAGGCUGUUCGUGCUUCCUUGAUAGCAGCAAAAACACCGAUAUCUUAUUGGGGAGAAGCAAUCACAUCUGCCGCAUACUUGAUCAAUCGGGUACCUUCUAGCUCAAUUAACUUUCAAACACCUCUCCAAGCUCUUACUAAUGUCGUAGUUGCCCUAACCAUCCCAAAUCUACCUCCUCGUGUUUUUGGUUGCGUGGCAUUUGUGCAUCUACACAAGCACCAACGCACCAAGUUAACUUCCCAUGCAUUGCAAUGUGUGUUUGUUGGAUAUGCAUUGCACAAAAAGGGAUAUCGAUGUUACCAUCCUCCAACUCGACAAAUGUAUAUUACAAUGGAUGUAGUGUUUCAUGAAGAUUCAAUGUAUUUUUCAUCUGAGUCUGAACUUCAGGGGGAGUACCAUAAGGAAAUUCAGACUCUCGAUUAUGAUUAUCAUAUCUCUGAGGAAGAUGAAUCUAGACAAUCUGAACUAGUGAACUAGGAAGCGGGUAAGUUGGAUAUGAGUGGUCAAGUAUUUGGGUCCGAAGAUGUCUUCACUGAAAUACCAAACCAAACGUCGUCUGUUGAGGGUGUUCUUAAUUUGGAACCUGAUCCAUUCAUGAAAUGGUUACUACACCGUCAUAAUAGAGGUAUUCUUAAACCCACAUAUGAACCUGAAUUGUCUACCAAAGUCAAAUAUCCCAUGAGCAACUAUGUGUCUAACCAUCGUUUGUCUGAAUCAAAUAAGUCAUUUGUAAAUCAAUUAUCUACUGUAGCUAUUCCUAACAGUGUGCAUGAAGCCUUAGCUGAUCCAAGGUGGAAAGCAACCAUGAAUGAAGAGAUGAAAUCAUUGCAGAAGAAUGAAACAUGGGAACUCGUAGAAUGUCCACCAGGAAAAAAGCCAGUUGGGUGUCGUUGGAUCUAUACUGUGAAGUACAAGGCAGAUGGUAGUAUUGAACUAUUUAAAGCAAGACUGGUAGUAAAAGGGUACACUCAAACUUAUGGAAUUGACUACACAGAGACAUUUGCACCUGUAACUAAGAUCAACACAGUUCGAGUAUUACUGUCUUUAGCUGCAAACCUAGAUUGGCCAUUACAACAAUUUGAUGUGAAAAAUGCCUUUCUACAUGGUGAGUUAUCUGAAGAAGUAUAUAUGGAUCUUCCACCAGGAUGCAUGGUGUCAGAAAAGCAAUGUCAGAAGGUGUGCAAAUUGAAGAAGUCAUUGUAUGGGUUGAAGCAAUCCCUGAGAGCAUGGUUUGGAAGGUUCACAAAGUCAAUGAGAGCUUUUGGCUAUCGUCAAAGUAAUUCAGAUCACACUUUGUUCCUGAAAAAGCAACAUGGUAAGAUUACGACACUCAUCAUAUAUGUGGAUGACAUGGUAGUUACAGGAAAUGAUCCUGAAGAAAUAAAAGCUCUACAAAAUUAUCUAUCUAUAGAAUUCGAAAUGAAAGAUCUAGGUCAUCUGAAAUACUUUCUUAGGAUUGAAGUUUCUUGAUCAAGUGAAGGAAUUUUUCUGUCUCAAAGAAAGUAUGCUUUAGAUCUUUUACAGGAGACUGGAAUGUCGGGAUGUCAACCUGUUAAUACACCAAUAGAAGAAGGUCUGAAAUUGUGUGUUGAGCCUAAUCAAGUAUCAACCGAUAAGGGAAGAUACUAGAGACUUGUGGGGAGAUUAAUGUACUUAGCUCAUACAAGACCAGAUCUUGCUUAUACAUUGAGUGUAGUGAGUCAAUACAUGCAUAAUCCUGGAGAGCAACAUAUGAAUGCAGUCAUGCGUAUUUUGAGGUAUUUGAAGAAUGCUCCUAGGAAGGGAAUUUUGUUCGCUAAAAAUGUUGAUCAUCAGAGUAUAGAAGUAUAUACUGAUGCUGAUUGGCCGGUGCAGUGGAUGAUAGACGAUCUACAUCUGGUUACUUUACCUUUGUAGGUGAUAAUCUUGUGACAUGGAAAAGUAAGAAGCAGAAUGUCGUCGCUCGUUCAAGUGCAGAAGCGGAAUUUAAAGGUAUGGCUCUAGGACUUUGUGAGGCAUUAUGGCUAAGACUCCUCUUACAGGAUUUAGGUUACCUAUCUAGCCAACCAAUUCGAUUGUUUUGUGACAAUAAAGCCGCAUGUGACAUUGCUCAUAAUCCAGUACAACAUGAUCGUACAAAGCAUGUCGAGGUGGAUAGAUUCUUCAUUAAGGAAAAGUUGGAUGAUAAGAUUAUGGAAUUGCUUAAGAUUUGAUCAGAAGAUCAAUUGGUCGAUAUCCUUACCAAAGCUGUCUCAAGUCAAGUGUUCUCAAAAUUUUUAGACAAGUUGAGCAUGUGUGACAUCUAUGCACCAACUUGAGGGGGAGUGUUGAGAUAUUAGGAAUGCUUUCCUUAUAUCAUUUAGUGUUGAAAUAUUAGGAAUGUUUAGAUAUUUGGAAAGUUGAGAUAUUAUGAAUAUUGAGAUAUUAGGAAUAUUGAGAUAUUAGGAAAGUUGAGAUAUUAGGAUAUUAAUUGUUAUUUCCUUAUAUCAUUCUUUCCUUGUAUCAUUCUUUCCCAUUCUUAGAAUGGUGAUUACCCUCUAUAUAUAUUCUGUACAUGAACGAAUGAAAGAAUGAAUGAAAAAACUACCAUUUAUCAAUUUGAAGAGCCACUUCCUGAAUUGCAUUUACAGCGGACAUAUUGGAUGAAUUGUCUUUAAAAAGAAAAGUAUUUAGGACUGCCACUCUCUUUCAUACAAAAAAUCAUGCGUCCCACAAUAUCAGUGUUUGACACUCCUUCUGUGCACUUGAUCUGCUUGUAGUGACCAGCCCACAUCCUAAAAAAAUCUAGGUAAUCUCUCCAACGAGCUCCGGUGUCAACGAUUUGACAUGUCUCUUCAUGUAAAUGGCUAACUGAUUCUUGUCCAAUACUGAUUGCACUUGAAGCUUAAAUGUAUCAACGAUAUCAGCCACUUCGAUGACUUGAUGCAACCUAGAAGUCCUUCAAGUCAUAACUCACAAACUUGGACAGUUUCUCAUGAAAACAGUCACCUUGUAGCCAACACGAAACUCAAAACACAGUCUCACAAGAACAACUUCAACCAUCGCAUCCAUUCUCUCAUACGGAGAUCCCAAGAGGAAUUUAAAAACGUGCAUCUGUUGGAAUACAUUUGAAGGAAGUAUAUUUCUCGGGGCAUCAAGAGUUGUUACAAAUCUCAUCAUUAAAAUGACUGGAACCUUGACCACCCAUUCACUCAACAUGAGAAUGAAAUCUGAUAACACGGACCCACAACAUCGCUUCAUAUCAUCUAUUAUCACAACCACCGGCUUGUUGUAGCUGCCCGAAUCACUACACCAUGAUGCUAAAAUGGAUACAUCAGCUGCGUCCAAAGCAACCAUUAGAAACUGUCUCAACAAACCUCUGAGACAGCCGCCAAUGCCAUUAUUAGCCAAAAAAUUAAUGUAUGAUAAGUUAGCCACAUGACAUCCAUGAGAUUUUAGAUGCAGACCGAACUCUUCCCAACGUCAUCAAAUCAUCAAUGUAACCCCAUAUUCUAGGUGAAAACCAAACCAGUGAAUAGUUGCCUUAAGAUGGAUGUUCCUCAAAACAUCCUUAAUAGUGGACUCAAUAUUUGGCCAAACAAAAUUGAAGGCUUCCAUUCGUAAGUGCUCAUGGUGAUGAUCAUCCCGUUCUUUAUCCGUGCCAAUUUCCAUUUUCUCGGCAUUUUUGACUGAGAUUGGAGAUGAGUCAAUCUUCUUCCUGAAAUCUAGCUUUGAUCCAACAAGUCUCGAAGUUCAAAGCAAACGCAAAUGCUCAAUUUUUCUCAUUAAAUGCACUCGACGGUGUUCUUAUAACCCAAGUCCCGUAUGCAUGAAUAAUAAGAGCGGAUAGAUAUGAAAGAUAGGGGAUGUAGCCAACGGGAUGGGUGAUGAAGAAAAGUGGGAUAGAUGGGUUAGGUCAAUAAGAGAGAUAAAAAGUUAGGUGUGAUCACGGGUAUGAGAGAAAUGGUAAGCUCAUAUGGGAUGAACUGUGGGUGUCAAUUAUGAUGGGUAUGAACGACAUGUAAUGGCAUGUAAGCGGUUGGAGAAAUGUGUGAUGGACGUUAAUGAGGCCACGUAUGGCCAUGCAACAAUGGAGGGAAUAGGUUUGAGGUGCACUUGGAAAAUGGGUAUGUAAUGUGGUAAAGAGAGAGAAAGUGAAUUCGGUGGUAGUGGGCAUGAGAGGUUCGGUGGAUGUGAGUGAAAGUGUCCAUAGGGGGUGGCCAUGCAUGCAUGAUUCCAAUGCAUGUAGGUAGGUGACUUUGGGAUUCCAAUGGAGAUGAGCACGACACGGGUAUGGUGGUUAUGACGGAGGAUGGUGAGUAAGGGAAUGAGCAUGGAGAUGGAUGUGGUGUAUGAAGGUUAGUGAGAAGUGGGUUAGCGACGGAAACAUGAUUCUAGUGCGUGCAUGAGAGGGAAAUGGGUAUGGUGGAGGAUGCUUGAUUCCUGCAAGCGUGAGUGAAUGAUGGGUAUGGCUAGCACGAAGGACAGAAAGAUGGUGAAACGGAGCGGGUUUGAUGGGUCUCGGGAUGGAUAUGAUAGAUGGUGGAGAAAAUGGGUUAGUGGGGGUGUGAAUUGAUUCGUGCCCAAUUGGUGUCUCAGCUGAUUCGUGUUCAGCUGGUGCUCCUUGAUUGAGAGAGUAAUCAACAAAAUUUAUAACCUAUUACACCAUUUACUAGGGUAGCAAAGACAAAGCUACUAUAGCAUAGUGGCUCUAGGAUCGUUCACUGGGAUGGGUUUUCACUUUGCAAAUGAUAUUAAUUCAAAGCUGAAUUGGUGUCUUUUCAUUUCAAGGUUAGCUUUAAAAGAAAACAUAAAGAUGUUUGAAUGAAAAAGGUUUGGUUUUAAACUAACCAAAAAUAGUAACUGAUUUUACUUACAAAGAAAAAUGUUUCUUGGAGUUUCAGAUCACUAGGCUCAGAUUCCUCAUACAAAAAGGGAGUUUCGGUCACUUGUUUCUUUUCCUCGCAUUAGAUAAUUAACAUAUAGUUCCUUCUCCAACCGGUGUUGUACAGAAACUUCCCAUUAAUGGGUUCAAACACUAAAUCUCUCUCACUGAUGCACCUUGCAAUGACUUGUGCCUCUCACCUAGCAUUUGCCAUUCAAGGUGAUCUUUAACCUUGGACUUUCCUUCAAAAGCUCGCAAUAGAUAACUAAUGGAUGUCUCCUUAGAGUCCAAAAGCUUACCAAGUGUUGGCUAUUCUAGAAAAUCCUACCUUCAAACCACCUACCAAAGGCUCGCAAGGGGUAAACUAGUGAAUCUCCAUGGACGGAGAUCACUUGCCUUACCAAGUGUUGGCCCAGGUGAUUUAAAAGCGUUUUAAGUUAACUAAAAAGAUAGAAAUCAUUAACGAGUCACACUUUCUCUUCAUUAAUAACUAAAACAACAAAACUUCCAAAUUAUGCAUGUGGAAACUUACCCGGAUUUCCUCACUCCAAGAGACGAAGAGCCUAGCCUCUCAUCCUCUGAGGAAAAAUCCUCAGAGUUUGUUUGGCUAGCAAGAAAAUGAAAAUGAAAGAGAAGGAAAAACAGAGCAAGGCUCUGUAUAUUCUAUAUAUUUAUAUAUCUAUCUAUAUGAUGGAUCUCCUGGAACAAGCUCCUCCGAGAGUCCUCCAAGAGUCCCAUUUUUUAGUGUUUACAAGAGAGUUUAUAUAGGAAGGUAAUUUACCCUUCCUUGGAUACUUCUUAGCUAAGGAAUUACAUAAGUGGUUGAAUACAAGGAGAAAAUGGAAAUUUAGACACAAAAAUCUGAAGAAAAAUAUCUCAAAGUUUCGGUCGCAAAUAUCGGGAAGCACUAAGGACCAUUUCGCAGGUGAAAACGAGGUCUGCGAAAUUUCGCAGACGCACAAAAAGGGCUGCGAAAUCACUUCGCAACAAAAGGCUGAUUUCGCAGCGCUACGAAGUUGGCUUUCAACUUGCGGUGUUCGGCUUCCAAUGUGUUGCAACUAUCGGGAAACUUUAGGGGGAAUUCCACAGCACUGUACAAAAAGGCUGCGAAAUCAUCUUGCAACAAAAGGGUGAUUUCGCAACGCUGUGCAAAAUUCUUCCUUCAGCUUAGAGUGAUCGGCUUGCAAUGGCUGUAACUCCUUCAUUUCAACUCUGAAUUGUGUACCGUUUGAAGCAUUGGAUUCUUGACUUCCUGAGCUUUGAAAUGGUAUAUAGAAUGUAGAAAAUGGACUUCAGGAAGUGCUCCAAAAGUGCGAAAGAAGGCUGCAGCUGCUGUCCUCUGUUUUCUUCACUCUAUUUUCCUCUCUCCAGUGCUCUUUCCUUGCAUACUUUGAACGACUAAGGCAAAGGACUAUGAGGCUCCAAAGCUUGGUUCUUCAUGAAUUUGAGCUUCCAAAAGCUUUGCCAUGAACUAUAUACAACUCUCCCUCAUUCUUAAAUUGCUUUGGUGAGCAAAAAGCUAUCAAAAACACCAAAACUUAACACAAUUUGAUUAGAAACGAUUGCAAGGGUCCUUAACAUGUUAAUUGGGUUAAAAAGCAAUAACUACUACUCAAAAGUGUUUAAAAGAGUUAAUUACAAGGUAUGAAAUAGCACUUUUUGAGUAGUAAUCAUGAAUGAAAGGCGCAUGAGGAUACAGUGAGUGCAUAGGAUCAAUGAUAUUAAGCGAUGUGGGUUAGCGAGAAAUGGGUAUGGAGAAGGUAGUGGCUCUCAUGCACGUGGGUGGAUGGAUUUGGGAUGCUAGCAGAUUAGAGGAAGCUUGGGGGGGGGGGGGGGGGGGGGGGNNNNNNNNNNNNNNNNNNNNNNNNNNNNNNNNNNNNNNNNNNNNNNNNNNNNNNNNNNNNNNNNNNNNNNNNNNNNNNNNNNNNNNNNNNNNNNNNNNNNGGGGGGGGGGGGGGCGCAUAUAUGGCGUACUAAAGAUGAGACAAAGGGUCGGCGGAUCUUAUGUGAACCGGAGCAAAGGGGUGCACCCAUGAUUCUGUGGAACCUGGUAGCGGCUAAAACACCGACAGGCUCACCAGCAGGGAAGGGAUGCUCGGAGUUAGUUCUAGUCUUCACUCCAUACUCAAAUUGGAUAGUUGAAUUGCUACAAACAUUCCUCACUGUACCAUCAUAACAGAUAACAACAUCUCGAAGAGUGGCCAUUAAGUUUUUAAACAAAGUUCCUAGUCCAGACAAGCCCCUUGAUGAUCGUACAAUUAUUUCUCGUGGAAAUUGAAUGAACCAUUUCCUCAUAAGGAUCUAAGCCAUGGGAGAAACAGUUUCAUGAAAAGGAUACUUGCUUUUGAAUUAGAUAAGCCAUGCCCUCAACCCAGAUCCUGGAAUAGAACUUACCCUUUUCUGAAGGUUGUAGUCCUAGGAACCCCAUUUGUUGAACUACCUUGUUAAUAGCCGAAUCACUCUUAGAAUCAUUUAAAUUACCCAGUGCAGAUGAAUUCAAAAUUAAAUUAGCAACAAGAACCUUGGUAUGUCUCAAGUGAUUCUCUGCCUGCAACUCUAGCAAUUCAUUAUACUUCGACCUUAAGUUAUACAACAACGAUGAAAUGUCCUCAACCUUUUUUUGGAUAUUCUGUAUGACCUCCCUGGGAUCGGAAGAAUCCUCCAAGCUGACACUGAAACCCUCUGAAAAUAAAUUUUCCAUGAACAAAGGCGGUAAUGAAUCAAAGAACUUCAAGACCUCAUUGGGACCUUCCUCAGAGAAAAUGGAUGUGACAAUUUCAUUUACCAAAGAUUGCAACACAUCUCUAUUAUAAUCAACUUUCAAUAUAACACUUUUGCUAAUCGAGUGCCUCUUUCCAAUACAAUCAAAAUGAGGAGGUAAGGCAGUUUGCAUCUAUGGAAUGGACUUGAGUUUUUCCGUAAGCACCUCGACCCAGAUGACCAGUAUGAAGUGCGACACUCAACAUUUCAAAAAAAAAACUUAAAAGAAAAAAACAUGAGAAGAAAACAGAGCAUGUACACAUAUAUAUAUAAAAAGAAGGCUGCUAAGUCUCGCCCCAUUCCACAGAUGUCAAUGGGAGGGGUUUAGGUGGAACCAAAAGGAAACGUGGUCAUGAUCUCCAAAAAUCAAAUGCAGUGAUGAAUCUACACCCAGAACACUCCAAAACAAAAAAAUAAAAAUAAAAAUGCACAAGUAGUCUUCAAGUGUCAAAGGAAUCCACAAAUGAAAAGAAACAUAGGAGCAUGUACGAAGUGCGACACUCAACAUUUCAAAAAAAAAACUUAAAAGAAAAAAACAUGAGAAGAAAACAGAGCAUGUACACAUAUAUAUAUAAAAAGAAGGCUGCUAAGUCUUGCCCCAUUCCACAGAUGUCAAUGGGAGGGGUUUAGGUGGAACCAAAAGGAAACGUGGGCAUGAUCUCCAAAAAUCAAAUGCAGUGAUGAAUCUACACUCAGAACACUCCAAAACAAAAAAAUAAAAAUAAAAAUGCACAAGUAGUCUUCAAGUGUCAAAGGAAUCCACAAAUGAAAAGAAACAUAGGAGAACUGUUCAAAACGGGAGAAAUAAAACAGACUGAAUCCUCUUUGGCUUGCUCUCCUCUCCUCUCCGUCUCCUUCCCUCCCAGCUAUCCAACUCCACCCCCCCCCCCNNNNNNNNNNNNNNNNNNNNNNNNNNNNNNNNNNNNNNNNNNNNNNNNNNNNNNNNNNNNNNNNNNNNNNNNNNNNNNNNNNNNNNNNNNNNNNNNNNNNUUUAAAGGGGGGGGGUUUGGGGGGAACCAAAAGAAAAGGGGGGGCGGUCCCCCAAAAAAAAAAGGGGGGGGGAAAUCCCCCCCCGGACCCCCCCAAAAAAAAAAAAAAAAAAAAAAAAACCCCAAGGUUUUUUAAAGGGUCAAAGGAACCCCCAAAAAAAAAAAAAAAAAGGGGAAACUUUUAAAAAGGGGAAAAAAAAAAAAGGAGAAAUCCUUUUGGGGUUGUUUUCCUUCCCUUCCCGUUCCCUUCCCCCCCAAUUUUCAAACCCCCCCCCCCCCCCCCCCCCCCCCCCCAAAUAUCUCUCAAAACCCCUGUUUUUGUCUUCCCCAGCAAGCCAUACUACCCACUCCACUAUGCAUUGCUUAGGGAGGAUGUCAUCCUCAACCACCACCAUGGUCGCCUUUGCCACACGUCCAUACAGCUAGUUUCUUCUCCAGAAAGAGGUCCCUUCCACUUCAAAAAAAGAAAAAAGGAAAAAAUUUCUCUCCCGAGUGGUCCCAAAACGAAUGAAAAACCCCUGGUCUUUGAAGAGGUCUACAGUUUGAUUGUUAAGAAACUAUUAGAAGUUUUCUAAGCUAAAACUUAUUUUUAUGUAAUGUAUUUUAUGAUUUAUGAACAUUGUUGAGAUUAAUUUGUUAACUUUUUAUUUUUAAUUUGGGAAAAAAAUAAAUAUUAAUUUUGGAAAUUAAACAAUGGAUAAUAUAAUGAUAGAAUAAUAUUUUUUCCAUUAUGUUUGUUUAAUAGGUAGAUUCACAAAAUAUUUCAGACUUGUAUUUGAGAUUUACCAAUUUUUUCAAAUGAUUGGAUUAAGGUUCAGUCAUGAUUGGAUCAUAUAUAUUAUAUACUAUUCUAUUCAUGAGUAAAUCAAAUGAAUGAUGUAAAUUACCAAGUUCUGCAAACUUCAAGCAUUGCCAAAAGAAAAAAAAAACCAUUUUUUUUAUACGACAUAGACUAAGGACUUUGUAUAAGUCAAUAAUUAAGAUGUCAUCAAAGUCCUUCAAGAAAUGUCCAAGGAAAUUUUAAAAAUCAUGAAAAAAAAAAAGUUAUAAAUGGUGUUUUAAUGUAUUAUAUACAUAUUCUCUUCAAAAGGUAUUUUUAAACUCCUCUUAGAAUUUGCUAUUCCGACAUUCUUUUUUCUUUUUCUUAUCUCAAUUUAAAUAGACUUUAAUUUAACUUAAAUUUAAAUAGUAUGAAAUAUUAAGUGAUUUGUUUUCAAUUUUUUUUUCUUUGACUUAAUUCUUAAAAAAUAUUGUUUUAAUAUUUAAGUCAUUUUAAAGAUCGUUUAUUUGUUUAAUUUAUUAUUUUUUAAGACAAUUUUAUCUUAAUAGAAAAACUAAUUCAUUGUUUUUCUUUUAUCUUAAAUUUUAAAUUAACUUGUUUUAAGACUUAAGUUAGAAUUAAAAUUUUAAAUUUUAAAAAAACAAUAAACCCUUAAACUAUAUUUGUUUAUGAAAUUAAACUAAGAAAAAUAAUUUUUUAAUUAAUGGUUUCAUUGUGGAAAUACAAAUAUAUAUAUAAUAAAAAUAAAUUAAAAUUUUAUACAUUUUAAAAUUAUUUAAUUUAUAUUUAAUAAAAUAAAUAAAUAAAAUAAAUUAAAAAAACAUAUUAACUUCAAUUUUUUUUCCUUCACUUUUUUCUUCCCAUCUAUUUUUGUUCAUUUCUUUCCCUCACUUCUCCCCUCAAAAUUUUAAAUUUAUUUAACCAUUUUAAGUCUUCGUGCCAAUGCUAGUCAUAAACAAACAAUUGAUGAAGACCUUUCAGCCCUUUGUGGAGCAAGUAUCACAAGAAUAUUGAGCCAAUCAUGAACACCAUCCUGUCCUCAACUUCAUCUGUUGCUAUAAAUCUAAAUACUGAUGUAGACCUGUGGACCCCGCAUUUCGGCUCAUGCGUUUCCCACUCGAUGGCGAGCUCGAUUUUGAUUUCGAAAAAUUGAUUUUAUAUUGAUUAAGAAAAAUGACUUGGAGUCGCCACUUAUUUUUGUUUUAUUUUUAAAGGGUAAACAAAAUAAGAAAGAAAAACCCUAAGUGCGACUCCUUGUUUUGGAAAAGGUGGUCUGUGAAAAAUCGGAUUGGGUUCGGGGGUCAGGUUACUCAUCGGGAAGGUACGGUAAAGACCGUAGCACCCCUCUAAGCCCCUAAAGUCGGGUCUCGACUAUUAAAAUGAAACUGACGUGGCAACUGAUGAGUAAAUCAAUGAAUAUCCUGAAUGAGCAUGCACACAUAAGAAUCGAGACAUGCAUAGACAACGGUUAGAGGGAAAAUGGGUACAUACCUGGGCCACGAGCCACCAUGCGCUAUCAUUAGAGAGGGUUAGUACACCAUAUAGAGCACAAAACAUAUCACAUGCAUCACUGAACAGGGAUUAAAAUUGUUCGAAAGAACACUUGAUUUUUGAAAUUCAUUUGAGAAUCGGAAUCUUAGAGAUCAUUUGAAAAUUGGAUUCUUAGGAAUUAGAUGUAAUGAAAUUUUUAAGAGAAGUAAAUGGGUAAGUAUGGAAUAAUGUUACUAAUUAAUCAAAACGAUAUUUGGACGGAUGAAUAGUGAAUAGUGGGAUUUUGAAAAUUAAGUUUGAAAGUCGGAUCUCUGAAUAAUUGGACUCUAAUUAUUGGAAUUUUUAGAAGGAAGAAAUAAGUAAACGUGGAAUUUAUAACAAUGAUAACAAAGGCGACAUUUGGAUGAAUAAAAGAGAAUGGUGGAAUUUUUUAGUCUCAAGGUUAAAUUUGGAGGUCCGGCUUUGAAGAAUUGAAUGUUAAUGAUCGAAAUAAAUAAGUAAAUAAGUAUGGAGUAAUGAUACUGAUGAACCAAAAUAAUGUUUAAACGAAUAAAAAAAAGAGGAUAGUGGAAUUUUUCUAAUUGAGAAUUUGAAUUAGGGCGUUGGAUUUUUUAAGGGACAUGACUUUGACUAAAUAGGUAGGUAUGUGAUUAUAAUACUAAUUAACGAGAAUAACAUUUCGGUGAAUAAAGAUGGAUAGUAGAAUUUUUGGGAUUAAAGUUUUGAUUAAGGCAUGGGGUUUUCGGAAGAUUAGACUUUGAAUGGAUAUGGGAAUAAUGUUUCUAAUUGAUGAAGAUAAAAUUUAGAUGAACUGUAGAAUUUAUAAGAUUGAAAAAUAAGAUUGAAAAAUUGAAUUAAGACAAGAGAUUUUUGAAGAACUAGGUUUUAAAUAAAUAGACGAAUACGUUAUAAUAAUCCUAAUUGAUGGAAAUAAGAUUUAAACGAAUUACUGAGAAACUAAAUUAAGACAGGGGAUUUUGAAGGAUUAGAUUUUAAAUAACUAAAUAAAUGCGGGAUAAUAAUUCGAUUUAUGAAAAUAUGAUUUAAACAAGAAUUAAAUUAAAACUUAGGAUUUUUGAAAGAUUGACAUAGAUAGAUAGGAGAAUAUAGGAUAGUAGUUCUAAUUGAUAAAUAUGAGAUUUAAAAGAGUUUUUGGGGAAUUAAAUUAAAACAUGUGACCUUUUUUAUAGAUUGGGCUUUGAAUAAAUAAUAAAUAAGGGAUAAUGAUUUGAUUUAUGAAAACAUGAUUCAGACAAGAAUUAAAUUAAGACUUAGGAUUUUUGAAGGAUUGACAUAAAUAGAUAGGAGAAUAUAGGAUAGUAGUUCUAAUUGAUGAAUAUGAGAUUUAAAAGAGUAUUUGAGGAAUUAAAUUAAAACAUGGGAUUUUCUUAAUGGAUUAGACUUUAAAUUAAUAAAUGAAUAUAGGAUAUUAAUUCAAAUUAAAGAAAAUAACGUUUAGACAAAUAGUGGGAUUUUAGGAUCGAGAAUUGAAUUAUGACAUUGGAUCCUUUUUUUUUUAAGGGUUGAAUUUUGAAUAAAUAAACUAAUAUAGGAUGAUAAUACUAAUUAACGAAAAUAAUCAGUUAAAACGGGAUAACAAGGACAGUGGAAUUUUUAGGAGUUUGAAAAUUAAGCUAGGACAUUGGAUUUACGAAGGGUUGGAUUUUAAAUUAGUAUAUAAAUAUGGGAUACUAACUCUAAUGGGUGAUAAUGAGAUUUGAACUAAUUAUUGAAGAAUUAAAUUAAGACACAUGAUUUAUUUGGAAGCCUUAGACUUUAAAUAGCUAGACAUAUAUGGUGAUAAUUCUUAAUUGAUGAAAAUGGGAUUUAAAUAGAUUAUUGAAAGAUUAGAUUAGGAUAUGGGGUUUUUCAAGGAUUAGAAUUUAACUUUGAUGACUGAGAUUUUCAAAAGAUGAUAAAUAGAUGCGUACGAAGUAAUAAUAAUAAUUAACAAUCAUAAUGUUUAAACUAGUUAAAUUAGAUGAAAUAAGCUCCAAGAUAAAAAUAUAAUUAACAAUAGUAAUUUGUUCUUUAAUUGCCUUUAAGAUGAGUUAACUAAAUGGGUAAAAAUAAGGUAACAAAUAAAAGGAAAUGAUUUGAUUAAUUAAUUAUGGAAAUUAGAGGCUUUGUUUUAUUUUUAAAAAAAUGAUUAUUUAGGAAUUGGGCAGCCUGGAGGGCUUACUUGUUCACAAACUUGGGCUUGGUGCUCCAACCCAAAUCCAAAGCUACCAUGGGCGGGCUCAAAAACCCAUCCCAAACCCAAGCCCGAAACUCCAUCUUCUUCCUAGCUUACCCCCCUCUAAACGCACACCAUCCUCAGAGGAAGCCUUCAUGGCCAGCAGCAAGGUGGAGAGAGGAGCCGUGGCAGCGGUUCGACGGUAUCCAGAAAGUGUCGUCGUCAUGGUGGCUGAUGCGAGUGCUCACCUAGCCGGAGCGGGUGAUGGCGGUUGGUGAGGCGAGCCAGCGCCUCGCCGACGUGGUGCGCACAGCAAGAAGACGCAGGGAGGGAAGGCCGGCGUGCAUGGAAAGUUGCGAAGCUCUCCGGGCCUCUGGCAGACGUGCCGCCGAUGGAGACGGCGAGGGCGAUGGCGAAUAAUGAGGAGGGAGAUGGCGGAGGCAGCUUGCCUGCUUGGAUCCCACGCGUGCAGAAGAGUGGCUUUGGGAGCCCUUGCGGAAAUGGGUAUGGCGACUAGAGGAAGAAAAGGUGAUGGGGAAGAAAGGUGAGGGUAACGGCCAUGCCGGGAACAUGGGUGCACGGCUAUGGGGCUGCUGAACAAAAGGGACUGUUGGGGAUAUGCAUGGCAGCAGCCUUUCGAGUGCCAGUGACGUCCGCUUGAAGGGCAGGGUUCAAGUAUGGAUCCUUCAAGGCACUCUCGACUUCGGGGUUGGUAUUCUCUCCGACAACGAAAUGUCUGGGCAACUGAUUCCUCAAGUUUGAUGGGUCCAGAACCCUUUUAUCGAUUUAAAUCCAUUGCCUGGCUCCCCUUAGAUGGACAUCAGAAACAGGGGAAGGAGAGGAAACUACAAGAAAAUAAAAAGGAGGGCACCAGCUGACCAAACAACUAAGGCAAACAAACCUAUGUUUCGCGCUUGGAUCCAUGGGCUUCGCUGUAGGUGGGUGGAUCCGGAUGCAUUCCACGGGAGCGAGGACAAAAACAAAACUCUCCCAUGAAGUAUAGUGCAACAGAAACAGAGCCGAGUUGCUCUCAAAUCAUCCCGAGGAAAAUAAACGAGCUAGCCACAAUGAAUUCAUAGACCAAAUGGCGACCAUAAAACUGAACGUAUAACCAAAAAAUCCGUAAACACUAUCCAGAAAAAAGAGGAAUAGGAAUAUGUACCGAUAAAAUGAGUUCAAUGAUUCAUGGAAGACAUACCUUUCCUUUCUUCUCUCUCGGCGGAUCCUCUUGCGGACGUCCUCUGCUGCCCAAAAGUCCUCCUUCCUCCCUUCCCUUUUCUUCUUUUCUCCUCUGUUUUUCUUCUGUUCCUGUCUUCCUCAGCAAGCCAGUCGUAUCCCGUCCAAUCUGCCCCCCGAGAGCCGCCCACUUGAGUCCCCUCUCUGCCCCAAAAACCAGCUCCUGACCAUCAUGUCGAGCCCCGGGAAAAAGGUAGGAAAAGGAAAAGAAAUAAAAUAAAUCCAAAUAAAAAAAUCUCUGCCUCCAGGGGGGUCUACAAGACCCUAUCUGAAAAUGGUCCACUGGAUAGGUACCUCCCACAAGAAAAUUAAUGAAAGCUAGAAAAAUGAAAAAAAUAAAAUAAAAAUUAAAGCUUCAUUUUUAUUUUUUUUUUCCCAACUCACAUGGAAUAUAGACUAAGACUUUGUUUCAGUCAAGAGUCAACAUGUCACAAAAUUCCUGAAGUCAUUGUCUAAGGAAAAUAAUAAAUAAUACUUUAAUGUAUGAUGUAUAUAUUUUCUACAAAAGGCAUUUCUAGACUUCUACAAUUUUCUCCUAUGGACCACUGACCAACUUCAAUUAAUUGAGAAAGUUACGUGAAUGAAGGGACUUCCUACUCCAUGUUAAGUGAUAUGACAUAUAAAGGAAAAUAAAAUAUCAUGAAAAUUAUUAAAAUUUUUAUAUUUAUACAAUUCUUUAUUAUUAUUAUUAUUAUACAUAAAGGGUUGGAAAAAUGCAUAACAUGACUAAGUGGUAGUUUUUUUUUUUUUUUGUCUAAAAUGUAAAUAAAUCUAAAUUAUUAUUUUUUAUUCUAAUUCUAAAAUUAAUAAUUUAAGAAAUAGUAAUUUAAUAUAUUUACAAAUAUAUACAAAAAUUUAAUUUAUUACCAUAAUAAAUAUUUUCUGACAAUUAAUUAUGUAAUUAGUAGAAAAUUUAUAAUUAGAUAAUGAUUAGGAUUUUUAUUCAUGUUUGGUUGUUAAGAAACUAUUAGAAUUUUUCUAAGUUAAAACUUAUUUUUAUGAAAUGUAUUUUCCGAUUUAUGAAUAUUGUUGAGAUUAAUUUCAACAUUUUUUUAUUUUUUAUUUUUUACUCUUCAUAUGGAUAAUAGAAAGUGGAUUUGUGAUGCUUUCUUGGAUUUAUAGCAAUUAAAACUUAUUUCUUGAAUAUACAAUUUAAAAGUUCAAUUGUUAAAAUAAAGUCAUUUCUCAAAGAGAUUUCCUAUUUUACUUUAGUUAGUUUUGGAUUAGAAAUUAUACCUUUUAAUUUAUGCUCUCAUUAUUAUUCUAAAUCUAUUUGAGGUAAAUAUCAACUAGCUAGAUGUUGGAUUUGUUAGAUAAGGUCAUUCAUGUGUUCAGCUCUCAAGUUUGAUAUAUAAAAUCACCAUAGUACCCUUCACCUCUGUGUCAAGGUAUCGUAGUAUUAAACUUUUAAAAAACAUUAUAAACUUGAUGCAUUGGAACGGUAUGAUCAUUAUUGUUGAAUGAAUCUAUCAUUUUUUAUUGAGUGAAUAGCUUAAUUUAGAAUUUUUACGAUUUUUGUUUUAGUUAGAACUUUUAGACAAUAUUUGAUUCCUGAAAACUUGAAGGGAAAAUAUAAGGGAAUAAAAUAGAGAAGAAAAAUAUAAGGAAACAAAAGAUUUAAAAUCACUCAUUUUAACUCAUGUAAAUACUAAAUAAUUUUUAAGGGGUUGCUAUUCGCAACAUCUCUUUUGCUAAUGUAACACUUUUUUGUCAUAUUUUUUUUUUCAUAUAUACCCUUUUUAAUAAAGAACUCUCUCUAACCUCCUCUCAACAUAUUAAACCUAAAUUCUAGUUAAUUAAGGGUACGAAUCACAUACGAAAUACAAUGAAUAACGAAAUUCAAUCAUCUUAUGAUAAUUUUCAGGUAAGAUUUAUAACUUUUAUUUUUUUUAUAAAGAAGUAUAUUGUUUUGACAUUUUUUUAGGCUCUUGAUUACAUACUUUGUUUUAUGAGUCUUUACUUUGCAUACACAAAUAAUUAUUACAUUACUCAUAUUCUUAAUCAAUCUUUAGUUAUAUGCAAUAUUUUUGUUUGGGUUACAAAAAAAAUCAUAUCGAACACAAUAAAAAAAAAUAUUUUUUAAAAAACCAUUCCAAUUAAAUAUUGUUUAUUUUAAAAUUUUAAUAAUAAUAUUUAUUUUAAAAAAUUGAGUUAUGAAUUUCACAUUAAAACAUUGAAUAUAAUAAAAUCAUUUUACAUAAUAUACUUUUGGUGAAAAUAUAAUUUUAUAAUUUAUUAUUUAAAGAAAUUAUUUUGUUUUAAAAUAUAAGAAGAAUAUGAAAAACAAUUGAGUGUGAAAAAUAAAAUAAAUGAAAAGAAAAAAACACAAAGUUUACUUGGGGUGGGAGGUUGAGUAGGUAGAGAUGAAAAGAAAGAUAACAAUAAAAGAAAAAGAAUGCUAAAAUGUAGGGUGGGGGUUGGGAAAAAGAAAAGAAAAAUAAAAAAAGGGUGCAAUUGGGACAUGAGGUUGGGGAGGAGAGAGAGGAGAGGAGAGAGGAGAGAGAGGGGAAAGGAAUAAGGAAGGGUAGUUUAGGAAUGUAAAAUAUCAUAUUAGUAAAAAUGGUGUUGCGAAUAGCAAUUGAGAUUUUUAAAUGUAUAAAUUUUUAACUAAUUUUAAUUAUAUUUAAUUUUUAUUGAUAUUUUCGAUGAUAUAACAAUCCAUAACAUAAUCAUUUUUCCUAUUAUUAUUUUUUCUUUUCUUCGCACUUUCAAGGAAACAAAAAUAAACACCGAGUAAAAUUAUGAUUUUAAAGGUAGCUUGGUUAACAUUGUGUAUACUUUUUGUUGAACUCUUUUCGAAGUGGAAUUUUUGUUAUAAAUUUAUCUAAAUACCUAAAAAAUCUCGUAAGCAACAACAAUUAGGUUUGUGUUACAUCUCAUUUAACAAUUAUUGUAAAGCUAUAAUGACUAGAUGGGGUUAGAUAGUACACAAUUUGAACCUUUGGUUUCAAAAUUUAAUCAAAGAAAAUUCAGUAACCAAAUGUUUAAAAUUUAGGAAUGAUGAUGGACAGGUUUUGAAACUAUUUCAAAUUUUGAUACAACUAUAAAUCUAGAAGAAAUGAAGACCUUUUAGCAUAUAGAAGAAGUUUCACCAAACUAAUAAUUAACAUAUAAAUAAGUAGGAUGAGUGUUUGAGACACUUCUCUUUUUGUUGGAUUCGGUUCUAGUCUGACUCAAGGUUAAUAUAUUUUUAAUUUCCACUUUGUUCAUUUAUGCAUUGAUUCAAAAAAAUAUGUCAUGUACUAAUGUUAAUUCAAGAUACUAAUUACCAAGUUUUUGAAACAUGAAGUCAUGGUCCAAAGAAAACGAUACAAUAUUUUAUUUUUUGUUUCUAUUUCUCCAUUCUUUUGCUUAACUCACACGAAAUAGACUAAGGACUUUGUUUUAGUCAAGCAUCAAGAUGUCACAAUCACAAAGAAAAGAAAUUCAAACAAUGCUUUAAUGCAUGUUGUGUAUAUUUUCUCCAAAAAGCAUUUUAGACUCUUGUUAGAAUUUUCUCCUACGGAUUCUUUACUAACUUUAAUUAAUUGAAGAAAGCUAUACCAAAUUUCCUACUCCAUGUUAAAUAUUAUCGCCUAUAAAGGAAAUAAAAUAUCAUAAAAAUCAUUUAAAAAUUUAUAUAUAUUCAAAUUUUUUAUCAUAUAUAUAAAGGGUUGGAAAAAUGUAUAACAGGUUAAUGUGGUAUUUAUUUUUGAUCUAAAAUUUGAGUAGAUCUAAGUUUGACUUAAAUCUACUUAUAUUAUUAAGUGUUUAGGUUGCUUACUUUUUAUCAAUGUAUAAAUAUUGUUAAGUGUUAAAUUGCUUUCUUUUAUUAAUGUCUAAAGAGUUACACUUAUUUAUUUCUACAUGUUAAAAAUAUCUAUAAAAUUAAUUAUUAUAUUUUUUCUUAUUUUAAUUUUAAAAUUAACCAUUUAAGAGAUAUUAAUUUAAUAUAUUUAUAAAUGUACAAAAAUAUUAUAAUUUAUUAUCAUAAUAAACAUUUUAUAAUGACUAAUUAUGCAAAGUGUAGAAAAAUAACAAUUAGAUAAUUAUUAGGAUUUCUAAUUAUGCUUGGUUGUUAAAAAAUUUCUAUGUUAAAACUUAUUUUUAUGUAACUAUCUUCAAAUUUAUGAAUAUUGUUGAGAUUAAUUUAUUAAUUUUUAUUUUUAAUAUGGGAAAAAUGUAAAAAUCUAAAUUUUAUUUUUAAAAUUAAUUGGAUUUUUUUAUUCAAGCUAAUUACUAAAUGAGGGUAAAUUAGAAAUCUAAGAUCAAGGACAUUAGCCAACCAAACUGACCCAAACCUAACCAAUCCAAUCUUAUUCAUUUCAAAACAAUGAACCAAUAGAAACCGAUUCUAAUCAAACAUAUAUAUUAUAUAUUAGACUUAAAAUAUACAAAAUUUGAAUUUUCAAAAUUUGAAGUUAUUUUUUGAAGAGACUUCAUAUUUUGCUUCUCACAUUUUACUAUAAAUUUAUGAAAUUAUUUUUUAGUUGUCAUAUUUUAAAAAAAAAUAUUUUAUUUUUUCAAAAUAAAUUCACUAAAUAAUGUCUCACAUGUAUUUGUGGUUCACUAAAUUUUUAAUAAUCAAAUUAAUAAAUUUGUAAAAGAAAAAUAUUAUAUUUUCUCCAUUUUUUUCACUUGAUAAACAAAUCUACAAAAAUGUCAAGCGAAUGUUUGAAAUUUACCUCUUUUUUUUUGCUUUUUUUUUUUUUUUUGUAAUCUUUGGUUGAUUGUAUUUUUAAAAGCAUUAUAAAUCCCAAGAAAGAAAUAUUUUUUUCUUUACCAUUAUAGUUCCAUAGUGUUUGAACUUAUCUUUACCAUUUUUUUUUCUUGAUCUAACUACAAGCUUGACUACACAAACUUUGUCAACAAUGAGAAUAAAAGUGAGGAGGGUGAUGAAGUUCUCCCUAUACUCUCCUCCCCCUUUUUAACUUUCCACGUUUUAAUUGUAUAUCCCCCCUCAACAAUAUAGUUUUAAGGUAUGUACACUUUAAUCCUGAUGGACUAAAGGCCCAUAAUUCAUCUCAAUGGGUCAACUAAAAUAUUAUGAGGAAGGUGAAGCCAUGGGCCUCUGCACAAUACAUUAAAUUGAUUAUGGCCCAAAACAAUACCCAUGCACAACCAAAUAUAGUUUACAAUAUACGUAGUCCACAAAAAACAUUUGACAUUAAUAGGUGAAUUUAGGUGAUUAUGCUAGUCCAAGAAACAGUAAAAAAUUUUAUUUGAAAAUUUAUAUAUUUUCAAACUCUUAAUUCCUCUUUAUAAAUGUGGAUAAAGUUAGAGAAGUAAUGAUAAGAAUUAUUAAAAUUUAUUAAUCUUGAAGAGAAGUAUAGAAAAUGGGAAAUUAAUGAGAAUUUUAUUAUUAUCUUUUUUAGUUCCUUUAUUUUAAUUUUUUUUUCUUUAUUUUCCUUCAAUGUUGUCUUCCCUAGUAAUAUAAAUGUGGAUUUGGGAAGUACAUAUGCCGUUAUAUGACCCAAAAAUUAUUGGUUAUAGAAUACUAUAAAUUCCAUAAGAACAUAAUUCACAUACAUUUUGUCUCAAAGUUAAAAUAGUCUUACUAGUUGUUAUAUAUCUAUUGGUGCAGUAGAUUUUGAGCUUGUCUUAAAAGCUCUCGCCUAUUGAUGCCCUUAUCAACUACUUCGCAAACCAAUUUGCCAAACUUGCAACACAAGAUGGUUGGGUGGUCAUCCCGCACAUCUCCUAUGGUCAAGUAAGUGGAUAACAAGAAAAGGAAGUGUUGAGAGUAGAUGGAAAAAUAAAUAUGGGAAUAUGGGUGAGAGAAUAUGAUAGGUGAAGCUUAUUCUCUUUGUUAGAGCUUGAUCGUACCUUUAUAUUUCAUUACCCAAUGAUGUUAAGCUAACUAUUAUGAGGUAAGUAGUUACUGUCAACCCCUUAGCCACUUGACUCUACUAUGGAGGAAAAGACCUCAUAGGUAGGCCUUGCACCCAUGAGAGCCUAGGUGGAAAGCCUGGAGAUUUGGUGGUUCAAACUCCAGGGGCUAAGUGAGGAGGUCGCGGGCGAGCCAGACGCGUACCGCGAGCGGGUCAGAUGCGCAUCGCGAGCGCGCAUUGCGGGCGAGCCAGACAUGCACCACGUGCACACCAUAUGGGCAUCGCACGUGCACCAAACUUAGGUGGUGCAGAUGAAGGUUGAGGAACUUUUGAAAUUUUAAUUUAUAUUUAUUUAUUAUUCCAUUAUGUCUCCUCAGGCAUAUUGAUGUCUCCUCUAGAAACAAUGAAAAUGACCCGUAUUGCUCUUUAAGGGGGGAUAGGUGACUCAAAGGGGGGAGCACCAAGGGAAAGCCUUGACCGCACCAAGGGGCCACCAUGGCACGACCUUGGGCGUGCCUAGGACACAUGGACGGGACUCGAGCAUGCACACAUGGGCUCCACGACAUGUGUAGUAUGCACCCCGUGACCGCAACUGCACGGGGCCUGGUGCGGCCUACCUCCUCCGCGCGCAGGCACGAGGGCACCUAAACCUUGUGCGGUGAGCCAGUUGAGGAAACCAUGGGCACAAUGCCAUGGCUUGAUGAGGCACCAGACAACAACUAACUCACACCCAUGAUGCCUACGCACAGCACAGGGGCGUAAUGCCUUGUGAACCAAGAGGGAUCAGCCAUGAGCACAAUGCCAUGGCUCAUUGCUAUGGAGUUGGACCUGACAAUGGAAGUAAGCAACACGCCCAAGCCAUGGGCACCUAGACAUGGCAUGGGCUCACACAUCAGUGUGGGGAAGGCACACCGAUGCACUAGACACUUGGUCAGCUGGUUGGUGCACGUUGCCUGGUUCAGAAGGUCUUGAUCAAAGACACGCUGGUAGUCACCAAGUCACAAGAGGUACCUUGCGGGGAGGAAACAGCUUGCUAGGGGGACUCUCCAGCAGCUUGGUGAGAAAGGCUUGAGAAGAUGGCAAUACAGCUAGCUAGUGGCAGCUAGCUAGAACAGCAAGUGGCCAAGUCAAGUAGUCAACUACAAUUGACUUGCAAUUGGUUGAGGUGUUGAUGGUUGGUGCAAGUGGGUGGUUCACGAGCAGGCUAUUAUCUGGGUGGUGGGUGGUUAUGCAAGGUAGUUAUGGGCAGUUCUGGCCAGUUGCAUAACCACUAGGUUGGCUCCAACCUUUGAAUUUGGAAAAUUCAAAUAUGUAACUGCAGGCUGAGUCUUUUAAAAGGGUUCCUGCAUCCUUGAAACAGAGAGUCAGAGAUUGGGAUAGGGUUCUUCUCUUAAUGCUUGGGGUGUGAAGCAUUGUACUCUGACUCAGGGGACUAAUUUUAUCUUGUAGAGUGAAUUAAUACAAGUUGGGAAAGGUUUCCUGUAAAUCGUUGGUGUUCCUAUUACUGUGCUUUUACUUUGCUUUUACUCUGUUUUUCUAAAAGCUGGGAAGGAAGGUUGGCUAAGGAAGGGUCCUUAGCACCACACACUCGUGAAAAAUUUAGUGUGAUCUUCAGAGGUGUGACAAUUGGUAUCAGAGCUCACAUCAGAGAUGGUUGGUGGUAGUGCAAUGGACGCCCUGCGGGAAAUGAUGACUCGGAUGGAAGAAGGGUUGGGAGAAUGGCCACGUGAGGAUGACACUGUGGCUUCGUGGGCAGAACACACCGUGGGAGAAAUUCAAGUGCAAAGGAGUCUGUUGGAGACCCAUGACAAUUUCUUUGAGGAGAAACUUGCUGGGUUGAAAUCAGAGAUGCAGUCCCUAAUGGAUGACUUCAAGGGCGCCUUGCAGUCCUAUGGAGAGGACAUUGCAACCCUUAAGAAGGCUAUGUUGUAGGGGUCCUCGUCAGGUUCUGAAGCCCCUUCCAAAGUCUAGGUCCCAGAGCCUAAGGGCUUCAACGGUAACAUGAACGCGAAGGAGUUGGAGAACUUCUUGUGGGACAUGGAACAGUUCUUCAAAGUUGCUCACAUUCCUGAUGGCGAGAAGGUGUCCAUCACUAGUAUGUAUUUGACUGGUGAUGCCAAACUAUGGUGGCGAAACAGGAUGGAAGAUGAUGCAGAGUCUGGAAGGCCCUAAAUCACCACUUGGGAAACUCUGAAGAAAGAAUUGAAGGAUCAGUCUUUCCCACCAACACUGCUUGGGUGGCUAGGGAAACACUGAAAAGGCUCAGACACACCGAAUCUGUGAAGGACUACGUCAAGGAAUUCAGUUUCUUGAUGCUCGACAUAAAGAACAUGUCAUAGGAGGACAAAGUCUUCAAUUUCAUGUCUAGAUUGCAAGGGUGGGCUCAGAUGGAACCUAGGAGACAAGGGGUUCGUGAUCUCCCUGCUGCCAUGGCUAUAACAGAUUGUCUGGUAGACUACAAAAUGGGUGGCGCCAUCUCCACCAUGCAGAGACCCAAGUCAGAAGGCUAAGGCUGAGGGUAAGACUUCUAAGAAGUCUAGGUAGAAGAAACAGAACAAAAAGCCUACUACAGGGGGAAAACCAGUGGAAAAUACCAUAAAGUUUGUGCAACAGACCAUUUAGAUGGCAAGAUGCUUCAUCUGCAAUGGCCCUCAUCGAGCCAGAGACUGCUCUAAAAGAGAGAAACUCUCAACCCUUGUGACUGCAGACGACAAGUGAGAGUUUGACUUAGAGACCCCUCCUAGAGUCAACCCAUUGCAACUCCUGAACAGGAUUAAUGGUGAGACCCCAGUCCAAAAGUCCUUGAUGCAUGUCCAUGCAGUUGUAAAUGGUGUGCAGAUGAAGGCCUUGGUGGACAGUGGUGCCACUCACAACUUCGUGGCCACCAGAGAAGCAACCAGGUUGGGAUUGAAGUUGGAAAAGGAUACCAGUCAGAUCAAGGCAGUCAAUAGUAAAGCCCAGAAGAUCCAAGGUGUAGCCAAGAAUGUCCCCAUGCAAAUUGGUGACUGGAAGGGCACGUGCAACCUACUCUGUGUACCCUUAGAUGACUUUGACUUGAUCCUUGGUGUAGAUUUCCUCUUGAGGGUUAAGGUGGCCUUGAUCCCACAUCUUGGUCGACUGAUGGUGUUAGAAGAAAAGUAGCCUUGCUUCGUGAAGGCCUUAAGGGCAAAGGAUGGUGGCAAAGGUCAGCCUGAGAUGUUGUCUGCCAUCCAAUUGAAGAAGGGAUUGAAGAGGGGUCAGGAGACAUAUGUUACAGCCUUGAUCAAGAUCAAGGAGUGACAGUUUGUGGAAGUCCUUGAUUUAGUGGUCAAAAUCCUUAAGGAGUUCAGAGACGUGAUGUCUGCAGAACUUCCCAAGGAAUUGCCACCCCGACGGCCUAUUGACCACAAGAUUGAACUGCUGCCUGGAACAAAGGCCCCAGCUCAAGCCCCUUACAGGAUGUCUCCUACAGAGUUGUUGGAGUUACGUAAGCAAUUGAAGGAAUUGUUGGAUGCAGGCCUGAUCCAGCCCUCAAGGGCCCCAUAUGGUGCACCAGUGUUGUUCCAGAAUAAGCAUGAUGACUCUCUCUACAUGUAUGUGGAUUAUAGAGCUCUCAACAAGGUGACCAUCAAGAACAAGUACCCGAUCCCCUUGGCUGUUGAGCUGUUUGACAGACUGUCAAAAGCCUUUUACUUCACCAAGUGGACCUGAGAUCGGGCUACUGGCAAGUGCAAAUUGUAGAAAGAGAUGAGGGGAAGACCACCUGUGUAACUCGGUAUGGAUCAUACGAGUUUCUGGUAAUGCCCUUUGGACUGACUAAUGCCCCUACUACAUUCUGCAAUUUGAUGAAUGAUGUUUUGUUUGACUAUUUAGAUGCAUUUGUGGUAGUAUAUCUAGAUGAUAUUGUGGUUUACAAUAAAACCCUAACAGAACAUGAGAGACAUUUGAGAUUGGUGUUCCAGAGAUUGAGGGAGAAUAGGCUUUAUGUGAAGCCAGAGAAAUGUGAGUUUGCUCAGGAGGAGAUCACAUUUCUGGGACACAAGAUCAGUGCAGGCCUGAUCAGGAUGGAUAAAGGCAAGGUGCAAGCUAUUAUGGAGUGGCCAGUCCCUAGCAAAGUGACUGAGUUGCGGUCUUUCCUUAGCUUGGCCAAUUACUACAGAAGGUUCAUUAAGGGAUAUUCAAAGAGGGUGUCUCCCCUUACUGACCUAUUGAAGAAUGACAACCAAUGGGAUUGGAGCAUGCAGUGUCAGAUGGCUUUUGAAGGCUUGAAGGAAGCCAUCUCCACUGAGUCUGUGCUGUGGUUACCAGACUUGGACUUACCCUUUGAAGUCCAAAUAGAUGCCUCAGAUAGAGCUUUAGGUGGAGUCUUGGUGCAAGAAGGGCACCCUGUGGUGUUUGAAAGUAGGAAACUGAACAAUGCUGAGUAGAGGUACUCCACUCACGAGAAGGAGAUGACGACUGUGGUUCACUGCCUGCAAUAGUGGAGGCACUACUUAUUGGGAAGCAUUUUUACAGUGGUCACUGAUAAUGUGGCCAACACCUUCUUCAAAACUCAGAAGAAGCUGAGUCCCAGACAGGCACAAUGGCAGGAGUUCCUGGCCGACUUCAAAUUUGAAUGGCUGCAUCAACCAGGAAGACAUAACACUGUGGUUGAUGCCUUGAGUAGGAAAGAGGUGAUUGCCUACAUCAUGACCCUCUCAAAAGUCAUCUUUGACUUCAAUGAGAAAAUCAAGCAAGCUGUAGAGUAGAAUGCUGCAUAUAGUAGGCUGAAGCAAAAAGUUAAGGAGGGUGUGAUCAAGAGGUAUUGGCUAGAGGGAGACCUCCUUGUGGCAAAAGGAGGAAGAUGGUAUGUUCCUGCAGGCGGCCUAAGAAAGGAGUUAAUGCGGGAAACUCAUGAUGCGAAGUGGACAGGCCAUUUCGGUGAAGAGAGGACUCUGGCACUACUAGCUAGAUCCUACUACUGGCCUAAGAUGGGUGAGAAUGUUCAGGCAUGUGUGAAAUCCUGCCUGGUUUGUUAGAUGGACAAGACUGAGAGGAAGAAGGCUGUAGGGUUGCUGUAGCCCCUCCCCAUUCCAAAAAGACCUUGGGAGAGCAUUUCCAUGAAUUUUAUCACUGGAUUUCCGAAGGUUCGUGAUUUUAAGUCUAUCUUUGUUGUUGUAAAUAGAUUCUCUAAGUAUGUUGUGUUUAUACCUACCCCUGAUGCUUGCCCUGUGGAGGAAGCAGCUAAGUUGUUUUUCAGUAAUGUUGUCAAGCACUUUGGGUUGCCUAGGAACAUAGUCAUUGAUCGGGAUGCACGAUUCACAGGCCGAUUUUGGGUUGAGCUGUUCAAACUCUUGGGUUCAGAGUUGAAGUUUUCUACAACCAACCACUCUCAGACUGAUGGGAAGACCGAGAGGAUAAAUGCCUUGUUGGAAGAAUAUCUCAGGCAUUAUGUGAUAGCAACACAAAAGAAUUGGGUGGAUUUCUUAUAUAUUGCCCAGUUGUGCUAUAAUCUACAAAGGAGCUCAGCAACAAGGAUGAGUCCCUUUGAGCUGGCUAUUGGGGUGCAACCACGGAUGCCUUUGGAGGUGGCUAAGCAAAAAGCAGGAGAAAGUAGUCCUGCAGCUUACAAGAUGGUUUAGUUCCGACAGGAGAUGUUUGAUGAAGCCCGGGACAGUCUAGAGAAGGCAGCUAGACGAAUGAAGAAGUAUACGGAUUGUGAUCGUAGAUCCUUGGAAUUUCAGGUUAGGGACAAGGUCCUCCUGAAAUUGACUCCUCAGAUAUGGAAGAAAAUUAGCAGCAAGACAAGGUAGAGGGGUCUAAUUCCUAAGUAUGAUGGACCAUUCGAGGUGAUAAAACGGGUUGGGCAGGUGGCCUACAUGUUGACGUUGCCUGAGAGGCUCAAGCUUCACCCAACUUUCCAUGUUAGAUUUCUGAAGCCUUACCAUGAGGAUCUGGAUGCAGAGAUGGUGCAGACAAAGCGGGCCCCUCCCUUGGUCAUGAAGUAGUUUGAUCGAGAGAUAGAGAAGAUCUUGGAUCAUAGGACCAUGAGACAUAACAAAAAGAACCGGCGAACUGAUUUCUUGGUUCAGUGGAAAGGAACUUCAGAAGCAUAAGCUACUUGGGAGAGGGAUGUUACCUUGUGGCAAUUUGAGAUGGCGGUCUAGGCAUACUAGCAGACUAAGUCAACGAGGGCAUCGACUUCACAAGCGAGGGUAGGUUUGUCAGCUCCUUAGUCACUUGACUCUACCAUGGAGGAAAAGGCUUCAUGGGUAGGCCUUGCACCCAUGAGAGCCUAGGUAGAAAGCAAUGAAAGCCUGGAGAUUUGGUGGUUCAAACUCCAGGGGCUAAGUGAGGAGGCCGUGGGCGAGUCAAACGCGCACCACGAGCGGGCCAAACGUGCACCGUGCGCGCGCAUUGCGGGCGAGCCAGACAUGCACCGCGUACGCACCAGAUGGGCAUCGUGCGCGCAUUAGACUUAGGUGGUGUAGAUAAAGGCUGAGGGACUUUUGGAAUUUUAAUUUAUAUUUAUUUAUUAUUCCAUUAUGUCUCCUCAAACAUAUUGAUAUCUCUUCCAUAAACAAUGAAAACAGCCCGUAUUUGCCUUUAAGGGGGGGUAGGUGACUCAAAUGGGAGAGCACCAAGGGAAAGCCUUGAUCGCACCAAGGGGGCACCAUGGCACCAAGGUGACUCCUAGAGUCUUCAUAGGGAUGCCUUCUCGGGAAGUUAGGCUUACAUUAGUUGAAGAUACAUUUAGCAAAUUUAUAUGCUGGUGGAGUGGACAAGUUAUCAUAUGAGGGUUAGGUAGCAUUUAUUGAGAAUCAUUUGGAAGAUAUCUUUGAGUCCGCAGAUAAACCUCUGGAAGGAAGAUGUUGGUGAUUGUCUAUCGAGGAUCCUUUUCAAUGCUUGUCAAUGUGUAUUAAUCUAUCGGAUGCAUUAAGAAGCUCCCCUCCAAAGACUACCAUUUCACACAUGCCUGUCCACCAGGUACUUCAUUCUUAGCAUGGUCACAUUCAAACUGAGAAAUGUUUACCGAGUGAAAUCAAAUUAAUCCCACCUCCUCCCUAGUCCACCCAACCCCACAAUAAAAAAGAAAUCUCAAAACUAGCUUUUAUUGGAAUUGUGUUCUAUGCAUAGGCAUAUCAUUUGUUGCCCUGUGUAUUUUGUAUAAACUCCUCCAAGCAUAUAGCUCCUCUGCAUUUACACAUGGAAAAUGACAGUCACAUGAUUGUACAUAUCCUUCAGAGUACCCCAUUUGUUACUCCAUUAUUAGGAGCAAAAAUAAUGGAUUGACCACUUCUUUCAUAGCCCUGUCUUAUGUUUGUGCUAUCCUACUAUAGUACGCUUGAGAGGAUAACAGACAUUUCCCUGACUUUACUUUUGUUUUCAUAUUAAAUGCUUAGAUUCAGGUCAUUUGGUUAUCCAAAACUUAAUCUAUGAUUGUAUUGUUCCAUCUUUUUCAAGGAUGGCUCUUGCAAUGGCUUACAACACCAUGCUGCCCUUGGAAGGGACAAGGUAGUGGAAUUUUCUAUUUUUGGUUGAUUGUUGUGGAAUUCUGAUUAUGUGAUAUGGAAGCAUGGUUUUUGAUUAGUUAGACAGUUUUUCACUUUUUUUUUUGCUUUGAGGCUAAAUGUGUCUCAGCUUUGAUCUUCUCUCUUUUUGAUAGAAAAAAGGAACUUUGUUAAGGAAAUAUGGUAAAAGGAUAAGGAGUUGGAAAUUGAAACCCAAGAAAGAAACCAAACUUUGUUUGAGUUUAGUGCAGUUUAUUUAAUUUGAUUUUUCAAGUAAUUUCAAAGUUUGGUUGUUUCAAGAAAGGGGAUUAUCAUCUGUAUUUGGCGAGUUCAAAGGCUAGGGUAGCAAAUCUGUCUCUAAAGAGUGAAUUUUAGUUAGACCUUAGUAUUGGAGGAGAUAAAUUUUUAUUUAUUUAUUGAAGUUUCCUUGUUCUUUGGCAAUAGAACUUUGUAUUGGGGAUUAUUAUUUGAUUAUGCAGUUUGGAUACAUAUACAUAUUUGGAUUAUGCAAUAUUGGAAAUUCUAAUUUUGUUGCUUCAACUCCCUAUCAAAAAAAAUAAUUUUGUUGCUUCAACUAAAGUUUUAUAUAUGUAAUAGAAAAUAUAUACCGGAAAAAGUGGUACCUCUUCAAUUUUGAAAUGAGAAUUUUAAUUAAAAUAUUUGAAAAUAUAUAUAUUCAAGACUUCAGCUGUGGCGAAAUAUAAGUUGUGUCCACUUAAUCUAUGGCAGCGGAUAAGGAAAAGUGGCAUCCAUAUGAAGCCCUAUAAUUGCAGCUGACAAAAGGUCAUGUCUAUAAUACUAUGUAGUAUUAAAUUCUAUAGAUAUCACACCUUCAUAGCAGCAACUAUCAGCUCUCCCAACCACAUAUAGAGCUUUUAGUUGAGGAAAAAACAUGAGCACAGGGAUAGCUUCACAACUUCUUGUGUUUUUACUGGUGGCUUCAACUAUAGGAUUUAUUUGCAUUCCUAUGGCCUUCGCAGCUAUGAACUUAACUUCUUGUAGUGUGUAACACUCUCGCCUCGUGUAUGAUUGCAUGAACUUGCAACACAUGUGCUGCACAACUCUUUGUUAAUGGUUAUAAAAAAUAGUUUUAAUUUCUAUUUUUGAGAAUUGAAAAUAAGAAAAUCUUGUUUGACAAUAAGAAAAUAGUAAACAAUUUUUUUAUUUUUAAAAACAGAAAAGUUUUUGUUCUUAAAAAAAAUGUUUUAUGAGAACAUAUUUUAGUUGUUUUUAAUUGUUUUCUAGGAUUAUUUUAAAAAUAAUAAUAAUAAGAUUAAUAUGAAGAAUAAUUAAAAAUAAAAUGCUACAUACAAAACUUAUUUUUUUUGAAAAAUAUUUAAAUGUAAAAAAUAAGUUAAAAAUAUUUCAAAUUCUCAAACAAGCUUUAUUUUAUUUUUUUUAGAAUGGUUUUCAAAAUCAUUUUCUAACUAAUUUAAAGUAUACUUGAUAGUGAUUUUAUGAAGCGUUUUUUAAUUUUUUUUUAAUACUUGAAAGAUAAAAAAUUUUAAGUGUUAAAAAGAUUAGAAACCAUCCUAAAAUCACUACUAAAUAGACUCUAAUUCUCCAUUUUAGAGGCUUGUAAGGGCUUUUAUAAUUUGCUUACCAAUCAUGUUAGACAUGUGGUAACCAUGUUAUGAGAUUUUGGGUUAGCAUCGGCUAGUUUGUACUUGUAUGUACUUAAUUUUUGUUUUUAAAAAUAAAAAAUGAAACUAACGUCGAUAUAAAAUAUAAAAACUUUUAGAAACUUACGUUACUUCAAAUUUCAAAUUUUUUUAUAGUGAAUUUUAAAGAUAUAAGGUGAGUUUAUACUUUUGAUAUAAAAAUUUCUAUUUUUUAUAUAAAAAAAUAUUACUAUUUUUUGUUGUAAAAAAAAGUCAAUAUAUAAAUAAUGAAAGUUGAAAGAACAUUUUUAAUGCAUAGAUUAUCUCAAGGGUUCAAAUGUGGGCUAAGUCUAAAACUUAAUAUUAAAUCUUCUCUCAUUCAAAUAAUAGUAUUUAUAAAUAAUAGAAUAUCCUAAAUAAAUAUAGUUAUGGACAAAUAUUUCAAACAGGUUUCUCAAAUAUUAGUAUCAAAAGAAAAUUUCAUUAACCAUAACAAGCUCCCUGUUUCAAUCUAAAACAUGUAAAUAAACAUAAUUAAUUUUAAUUUAACAAGAUUUAGAUUUAUAUUAUGGACAAUAUAGUAAACCUAAAAGAUGAUCAUAAGUUUCUUAGUUCAUGACUUCAACUAAUAGAAAAAAUAUUUACAAGCUCAAUUUUGUUGGAAUUUUAUUCAAUUCAUUCUAGUUUGAGACUUUGUAUAUUUUCCUGUAACUUACCCUCCAUUAAAGAUACAAAAUUAUUUAGAGUUAACUAGAGAUCGGAUAGCACAAGUACAAAGAGUUAUGAAAAGAAUAAUAACUUUUAAUUGAAAAAGAUUUAGGAGAUCGAGUGCUCAAGCACUUGAAUCUAGCUUUCAUGGCUUAGAGCACUCAAGUAUUGCUAGGAAGUACCCAAUAGCAAGCAAUCAAGUGCACUUGCCUCGUGCUUGAGUACUCAAAAGUGGGGUUUCCAAAAAAUAAGUUUGCAUACAACACUCCUUGAGAAAAACAAUGAUCGCAUACAUGUAUAUGAUCCAUGGUUUAAGUAAAACAUUUCUUAUAUUUAUAAUAAAUUUAUUUUAGAAUGUUGUUAUUAUAUUUGUGAAACCAAGGUUUGGUUAAUCUUGAUUUUGAUGAUAACAAAACAAGGUUUAGAACUAAUGACUACAUUUUAAGUGUGAUUAGGCAAGAUGACUUCUAAAGUGGAAAUCCAAAGACAAAUCAAGUCAAGGAGAAAUCAUGAAGAAGAAGACCACCUCAAAGAGAAGAGUUUUUCAAGACCAAAGCUUCUUAAGUCUCUUUGUAAGGUUGUUGGUGCACUAGGAUUUCCAUGCAUUAUUUUCCUUACUUAUGCACCUAAAUCAUCCAAGAGUUAUUUUGUUUUAAAUAUUUUUAAAAUUGGAUGAUUUCAUGUUUUCAACUAAAACCUUGUGUUAAAUGUUGUUUCAAACUUGUUUAAAAGGUUAUAAAUUGGAAAAGUUGGUUGUUGAGCAAAAAACGGCUCAAUUGCCUAAAUCGGGUGAACCGUAUGAACAGUAACCGGUCGACCCCUAGCUCAACCGGUUGAGGGUAUGAACAGUAAUCGGUUGACCCAUGAACGGUACCCGGUCGACCGGUACAAAAUUUUCUCUCUCUUCCAGAAUGCUUGUUCAACCGGUUAAGGUUGAACCCUAACCGGUUGAGGUCCGGUCGAGGUCCGGUCGAGGCCUAACGGUCACCUGCCAACAUUAAAUGCUAACGGCUAGUCAACCAGUCGACCCAUAUCUCAACCGGUCGAACCUCCAACGGCUAGUUUAGCUUUUUUCUUCUAUAAAAAGGCUCCAAUCUUCAUUGUUUCAUGAGCUUAACCUUCCCAAAUCAUUCUUGAUUAUAUUUGAGCCUUGGAAGAGUGUUUUUGAGUGCACCAUUGUUUCAUAACUUGCAUAUCUUUAGUGCACCAUUCAAUCCUAGUUUUUCUUGUAUCAUUUGAGCUUAAAGCUAAUACUAGGAUUUUGUGAGAUCAAUCAUUUGUAAACCUUGAGAGGAAGUUUCAAGAAAGGGAUAUCUCUUGAGAAUUGUAAAGGGUGUUUGGAAGCCAAAAGUCCAAGAGGGUGAAUUGGAACCAUAAUCCAAUUGUAAAGAGAUUGAAACCUUGGUUGAAGCUUCAAGAUAGUGGAACCCUCACUCGGUUAGGAGGUUGAGGAGAGUGGACGUAGGCAAGGAAGUGUCGAACCACUAUAAACUCUCGUGUUUGCACUCUCUCUUCCCUAACUCUUUUAAUUUAUAUGCAAUUGUCUUUAUUUUGCUUAUCAUAUACUUGCAUAUAAAUUGUCUCUUAUUUUUACUUAGUUUAAAUUUGAAAAAGAGACCAUCACCCUAUUCACCCCCCCUCUAGGGUGACUACCAUAGGUUGGAUUAGCCUCAAAUUCCUAACAAUAUUAUACCAAUGUUGUUAGGUCAUAUUUUGUUGAAUCAAAUGAAGAGAAAAUAUAUUAUUUGACAAAUAUUUUACAAUUAGAGGCAAGGUUUGAAAUAUCAGUAAAUACAAAUAUAUUAGUACUUAGAUUUUACGGUUAUAUCGAAAAUAUUGAAUAAAUAUCGGUGAACAUUUUGACAAAAAUAUAGAUCUUGUUUUAAAAUUCAUGAAAAUACUUAAAAAAAACUUUCAAAAAAAUGAUAAAAUAAAGAAUAAUAUAUAUUAAAGUUAUUUUGUAUGCUUAAAUUCUUUUAAUAUAUUCGUAUUUAUUUAUUUUUAAAUUUUAAAAAUACUUUUAUUGAAAGAUGUUUUAUUACAUUUUAAAUAAAAAAUUAAAUUGAUUUAUAUAAAAUAUCCAAAACCAUUACCCGAUAAAGAUGUCUUUUGUGUGGGGAAGUAUUCGUUGCCAUCCAUGCAAAUCAAACCCACCUUUGAUCUUUAUUCACAAUUUCAUAUAUCAUAUAUAUGUCUACUAAACUUAUGUAUGUUUAUAGCUAUAUAUAUAUAUGGGUUUGUACAUGUGGAUGUGUGAAUGAAAAGUUGGAAAAUAGUCUCUAUUGUUCUUUAUCGAAAUGAUAGCUAGGGUUUCUAUUCGUCUCUCAUUCUCUGUAUUGUUUUGUUUCUCUUUCUUGGGGACUUACCUUUGUUUGUGAAUCGGAACCUAUGCUCAAUCAGCUUAAGAAUUACCCAGUAGUUUGUUUGAAUCAGGGGGAGUUUGGGUGGGAGAGUCUUAAGGUUUGUGAUUUGGGGGGUUUUGGUGUUGUGGGAGCUGAUUGGUGUCUGGGUUGGGAGGAAUCUAGGGUUUGUGAUAUGGGGUUUUGGUGUGGUUGAGGUGGGGAGGGAAAGAUUGAAUCUUGGGGAUUGUUUUUGUUGGUGGGGUUUGGAAGAUGGUGGAGAAUCGUGGAUCAGGUGUCGUCUGAUCGCCGCUUUUCUGGUGGCAAGCAACCAUCCGAUUGGAGGGGUGGGGGCUUUUGUAUGGAAACUCGGAGCCCCAAGUGGGCGGAGGCGUCCUCAACAGCCCGUUCUUCUGGACCCACUACCCGGUCAACCAAGCGAUCUCGUAUCUCCUUUUCUUCUUCAAUGAUCCCAAUUUCAUCGAACCCCAACGCCCAUGCUACAGUGAAAAAUUAAUUUUGAGGGGAGUGGAGCUACACUUUGACCGAAGCCAACGUUGACCGAUAGAAAUAUCGGUAAAUUUCCCAACAAAUCGGCAAAAACCGAUAUUUCGGCGACAAUUUCAGAAAAAGAGCAAAAUUCCUUCCAAUUGAUUAUCUGUCCUCAAUAUCGUAUCGAGCUUCACCGAUAACCGAAAUAUCGGAGAAAUUUCGUCGAUAAAAAAGACAUUUCAAUCACUGACUAGAGGUGAUGAACACUGAUGUUAGUAAUUAGGUUUGCCAUAUUUUUCAAUAAUGUACAAUUAGCUCAAUCACUUGAAGCUUAUACCAAAAAUAUAUUUGAAUCAAUAAUGGACAAAAAUUUCUGACUGGUACUUAGUGAUAAUCAACUACCAAAUUAUCAUAAACAUAGAAGUUGAAAGGAUAAUUUUAAGGCACAGAUGACUCUAAAAUAUCAAAACUAGGCUGAGGUGGUGUUUGUUUUUUUACUUAAUUCUAAAUAGAACCUUAAUACUUAAUAGUGUUAAAUAUUAGGUUGUUUGAUUUUGUAAUAUUUUAUUUCUAUUAAGUAUUAAAAAGUAAAGAAAAAUCAAUAUGUUAUUUUUUCCGUUUAGAAAAAACUAUAUAUUUUAGCUUUUUCUAUUUAGUAAAAAGUCUAUAAGUCAUGAAAAAGUAGAAAAACAAACAACCUAAAUUCUGAAAACAAAUUGCUUUCAGCAAAAAACAAACACCAUCUGAGUAUCCAACUUAAUAUUACAACUUUUCUUACUUAAAUGACAGUUUACAAAUAACAAACCUACCUAAAGAAAAAUAAUUGCUUGCCAACAUUUCAAAGAUAAGUUCUCAAACACUCGUGCCAAAGAAAUCUUCAUUACCACUAAGAAUUCAUCAUUGUAUUCAAUCUGAAACAAGUAAAUACACAUAAUUAGCUUCAAUUUAAGCAACAUUUAGAUUUUCAUCAUGGAAUAUAAAUAGCAUGUUCAUUAUAUAAUUAAUUAAUUAAUUAACAACAUAAUAUUAACAAACUUGGUUAUAGAGACUAUUUAAAUUCUUAUAGUUUUCAUACUUAUGGUAUUAACCAUACUCAAAUGAGUAUAUUUGUCAAUAAAUUUAGAGUUUCAACUAACGACCUAUAACAAUCUAUAACCUUAGCUGCUUGUUUGUAUAUUUUUUGGAAUUCAACCUUGGAAAAAAUUUCAUGUAUCUUAAUCUUUCCUAUGAAAAUCGCAUUCUAUAACUUCAAAGAGUUGAACCCAAUUAUAAACUUCCUCAAUCCUCUUUCUAAUGACUCAAACUAAGAAAUUGAUUACCCUAUGCAUUGUAUUUAGGAACUUAAUUGUAGUAAGGAAAGAGAAACAACUUAUAUUCAUAUGCAUGGUUGAAGGGUCUAAAAAUAUGCCCCUUACUAUAACAUGCUUUGAACAUUUAAAGCAAUAUACUUUUAGUAAAAUCUAAGUCCAACAAGACUACAAUUCAAUUUCUUUUGUAAAUUUAAAUCAUUAUUUCCAAUUCAAGAAUUUAAGAAAUCAUAUAAUAAAAUAUAAGUAUAAAAUGAUUAAUAGCUAACAAAUAUGUACCUAAACGGAGAUGACCUUACAUUACAUUGUAAUGAAAUUCAUCUUACCUUCUUUUUGUAUGAUGUUUGUUAUUUUGAAACCUUAUCACCCUCUGCAAAAGAGCUGAAUUCAUUGUGAUGAUAAUCAUAACACACCAAAAAUACAAUGAAAUUAAAAAACAAACAAGGAAGAAAAAAAGAAGGAAAAAGAAUGGGAAGUGAUGUAAGAUAUUUCACCUUUUUAGCCAUGAACUCCAUUUGCUUCCAUCUUCCUUUUCAGACAAGCCGCAUUCACUGCAGUGAAGACAUAUAGCCUAUCUCUGGUUUCAUCAAUGAACCGGAAAUAUGCCUGCCUCCAAGACUUCUUUAGAACCAAACUGCCACAUACAGCCCAAAAUCCCACCGGAAAGCCCAAUCCCAUGCUUAUGAAGAACCAUGACAUGUCCCAUUCAUCUUCAUCUUCCUCCUCAUCUUUGUGAUCUUGAUCAUUUAAAGUGGAGCAGUUGGUGGAGCAGUUGGUUGACAAUGGAGGCCCAUAAAGUCCCAGGUUCGCCUCAUAAAUGGAUGGAUCGUUGAAUGUCGAGAACUGGUUGGUUGUUGGAAUUGGUCCUGACAGGCGGUUAUGCGAUAGGUUCAAAUGGUUCAAUGAGGUUAUAGAAGACAUGCUCGGAGGAAUUGGGCCUGACAGGCAAUUGCAUGAGAGGUCAAGAGUUUCUAGCCCUUGCAUGGCUCCAAUCUUCUCAGGUAUCUUUCCAGUCAACUGGUUUCGGGACAAAUUCAAGGUACCCAGGGUCGAGAGAUUUGUGAUCUCUUUUGGGAUCUCUCCCCAAAUGUUAUUGCUAGAAAGAUCUAUCAACUUCACAAUUGGCAAUAUGCUAUCAAAUUCCAUAUUUUGUCCCUUUACAACUAGCUCCAUGCGCUCCGAAUAGGCGGCACGACCACUGGGGUCGUCAAAAUUUUUGUCUAAUAAGGUCACAAAACUUAAAGCAGUUAAAUUGCCUACGCAUUGUGGGAUGGAUCCUGAUAAAUUGUUCACUGCAAGAUCCAAAAUGUGGAGAUCAGAAAGCCAACACAAUUGCUCAGGAAUAUCUCCUGUCAACAUAUUGCCCCGUAGACGCAGCUGCUCCAGUGUUGGCAUUCUUUCUCCAAUCCAUUUGGGUAUCUCCAAUCCAGUGUAGACAAGCUUGUGCAGUUUUGUAAACUUGGAGCGAGUUCCCCAGUAAGAUUGUUGUCACCCAAUAUCAACUGAGUAAGUGAAGAUUUUGAACACAUCCAACUCGGAAUCCCACCAGACAGUUUGUUCUUGGAUAGAUCUAUGGUCCUAAGCCUGUGCAAAUCAUUCCAAUUCUUUGGAAUCUUUCCAGAUAAAUGAUUGUUUGAGAGAUCAAUUACUUCCAAAUCCUUCAGUUUACUAAUUGAUGAAGGAAUGCUGCCAUUUAACAAGUUACAAGAAACAUCAAGGAUUUCCAAGCUUGAUAAUUCCCCGAUGUUCAAGGGAAUUGGACCUGAAAAUGAAUUGUUUCCCAAAUACAAAGAUCCCACAUUAAGUCGAAGUGGGAGUGGGCCCCCCAAGCGGUUGAAACUUAAAUCCACCAAUGCGUCUUGGCUAAAGGAUGAUGAGUUGGGAAGCGUUCCAUACAAUUGGUUUCUAGAAAGAUCUAACCACGAAAAAUCUUGUUUCCAAAGCAACGCGGCUUCAUUUUUUAACUAAAGCCGCGAUUGGCAACCGCGGCUUUAGUUCAUUUUUAUUUAAAUUUAAAAUUUAAUUAAAAAAUUAUUAAAUUACAAUUUAUGAAUGAAAUUUAAAAAUAUACUUAAAUAAUAAAUUAUUUAUAUUUAAAUUUAAAAUUCUAGUAUUACUUCAACAAACAUAAAUUGAUAAAUAGAAGAUAUUAUAAAUGAAUAUUUUAUUUAUUAAUAAAUUAAUAAUCUUAAAAUAAUAAAUUUAUAUAAUAUAUAAAUAAUAUAUAAAAUUGUAUAAUUUAUUAAUUUAAGAUAUUUAAUUUGUUAAUUUUUAAGAUAUUAAUUUAUUUAUAUUAUGAUAAAUUUAUCUUUAUCGAAAUAAUAGUAUAGUAGUUAAUAACUGAGAUUUCAAUUAUAAUAUUUUUUUUACUUUCAAAUUUAAUUAAAAACUAUUGAAUUACAAUUUAUGAUUGAAAUUUUAAAAAUAUACUUAAAUAAAAAAUUAUUUAUAUUUAAACUUAAAAAUCUAGUAUUAUUUCAACAAACAUAAAUUGAUAAAUAGAAGAUAUUAUAAAUGAAUAUUUGAUUUAUUAAUAAAUUAAUAAUCUUAAAAUAAUAAAUUUAUAUAACAUAUAAAUAAUAUAUAAAAUUGUAUAAUUUAUUAAUUUAAGAUAUUUAAUUUGUUAAUUUUUAAGAUAUUAAUUUAUUUAUAUUAUGAUAAAUUUAUCUUUCUCGAAAUAAUAGUAUAGUAGUUAAUAACUGAGAUUUUAAUUAUAAUAUUUUUUUUACUUUCAAAUUUAAUUAAAAACUAUUAAAUGACAAUUUAUGAUUGAAAUUUUAAAAAUAUACUUAAAUAAAAAAUUAUUUAUAUUUAAACUUAAAAAUCUAGUAUUAUUUCAACAAACAUAAAUUGAUAAAUAAAAGAUAUUAUAAAUGAAUAUUUGAUUUAUUAAUAAAUUAAUAAUCUUAAAAUAAUAAAUUUAUAUAACAUAUAAAUAAUAUAUAAAAUUGUAUAAUUUAUUAAUUUAAGAUAUUUAAUUUGUUAAUUUUUAAGAUAUUAAUUUAUUUGUAUUAUGACAAAUUUAUCUUUAACAAAAUAAUAACAUACUCUUAAGCCGUAGUUGUCAUAUAUAGAUUUUUUUACAAAAUUAGUUAAUGAAAUUAAUUACAAAAAGUCUACUACAAAAUGUAAUUUUUAAUAGUUUAAUUAAAGUCACAAAAAAUAUCCACUAAACAUUAAUAUAGUGGAAAAUAAAAAACAUAUAUAAUCUCACAUGCCUCCACAAAGAGAGAACCUAUGUGUAAUACUCUCUUCCUUUUUGGACGCCCCUCUCUAACUGUAGCAGGUACUGCAUGUGACACAUGAAUAACAUCUGUCUGUGAUGGGGCUAGAGCUGGAAAUGGAGGUGGUGGUGGAGGUAGCAAUCUAGGUCGACGUAAGCCCCGCCUACCCCUCGGAAUGACUGGCGGUAAAUCUAGCUGAGUAGUCCGCCUAUUUGAUUAUAGAAAACCAUCCUAGUGUUGUCAAAUAUCAAGCAAUCAAUUACACACAAAAUGUAAUCACAGCAUUCAAAAGAUCACCAACCAAAUCACAAAUGAAAUUUAAUGUCAAUGAAAGUACGUAUUUUCAUCUUUUGAAUGGCUCAUAAUGAUCAUGAUGAUACAAUAAGUUUCUUGAUGAACUUAACACUAUCAAAGAGUUCUAAGCAGGAUGAAAAAUAAAUAAAAAGUGAAACCAUGACUAGUUAGCAACUUAGCUUACCUCAAGUGAAUCAAGAUGUUCCAAGGUUUCAAUAGUUAUAUUAUUAUCAUCCAUUAUUAAGUAUUUACUUUGACUUUUCCAAUCAAUAUAAAAAACAAACAAUAAAACAACUAUUCCAAUUCCAAAGUUUCAAAUUUCAAACCAACCAACUACCCUUUUGAUUUGAAUAAUUAACAAUUACUAGGGUGGGUCCCCUUUCUUAUUCAAAAGCCAACAAUUAUCUAAUUGAAUUUUUUUUUUUUGAUAAAUAAAGAGAAAUUUUUCUAAUUGAAAUUUGAUAAUUGAUUAAUGAACAUCAUGCAUAACUGUGGUAUUAUGUUGACUUGUUAUGAAAUUAAAUAAUAUUUUUUAACAAAAACAAGAUAUUAAGUAAAUUAGCAAUUGAAAAUAUGAAAAUAAAAAUAAAUAACACUAUAUUUUAUAAAAUUUAUUUAAAAGUGAAGUAUUUAAAUAUGAUAUAUUUAUAAAAAUGACUCUACUACACCUUCAAACUUUAAUUCUUAUAUUCAUUUAUUCAUUUAAAUAUUCAAAUAUAUAAAUAUUUUAUAAAUUUAGUAAUUUACUUAAUAUCAAUAGGAAAAUUUAGUAAUAUUAAUAUAAAUUUAGUAAAUUCAGUUAAUUCCCUAGGAAAAGUGAUAAGCUGAUGUACCAAUACCAAAGCAAGCCCAUAAUAAUAAUUCCACAGGAAAAUUUCAUAAUAAUAAUAUGAUAAAAUUAUUUUUAUUAAUAUCUUUUUUAUUUAAUCUUUAAUUUUAUUAAAAAUUAUAAUAUAUUCUAUUAAGAUGAGAUAAAAUUGUUCUCAUGAUUUGUUUUUUUUUUUUUUAACUCUAUUAAAUCUAAAAAUCAAAAGGCUACCCACUUCUCUCACUCGGGCAUGAAGAACCCCUUUUCUGAAGUUGCCCUCCAGCCGGGAGAAUCCCUAAAAAAGCCCUUCUCUCACUCUGCCACUCUCAAUCCUCGCAGGUACUAAUCUAAUCAUAUUAUUAUUAUUAUUAUUUGCAACCCCCCUUUGAUUCCCAAUAAAAUCCAUGCCCCAUUCGAUUUCCGCGAAAAUUCAUCCUCGUUUGAUUUCCGAGAAAAUCCAUGCAAAACCCCCAAGGAAAACCAAAAAAAUUGCUUUUCUUUUGCUCUCUGUGUUUUUUGGAUCCGUUUUAGGGGUCUCUUUGCUGUUGUGCCAUUGGAUUUAAAUUUCAAGAACCCUAAAUCAAAACUGAGAAACGGGAAAAAUCAAGAAUUUUUUUCUUUCUGUUUUCAUUCUCGUUUCCCACUUUUCUCAGCAUCCAACGGGAAAAAUAAAAAUACUAACAACACAUGAUAAAAAAAAGCUCAGAUCUAAAAAAAAUUAACACUAACCUCAACCUCCAACGUCUCCCUCAGUGGCCCACUGGUGGGGCUAGGAUUUUUAAGGAAAAAUGAGCACGGGCUAGGAAUAGAGAGUAGCUCGGAUGGAAGUUGUAGCUCCAACGUCUCCCUCAGUGGCCCAUUGAUGGGGCUAGGGUUUUUAAUGAAAAAACCACACGCAGAGCACAGGGGAAGAGAGCAACUCGGAUGGAAGUUUGGGAUUGGGAAAGAAAAAAUGCAGCUGAAGUUUGGGAAAGUAAAAAAUAAAAGGAAUAAAAAAUUACUUUGUAUGCGGACUCAAAAUGGUUAUUUUGAACAAUUGUUUGAAAAGUAGGUCAUUCUGAACAUUAUGUUUCAGCGGAAGGCUAUUUUGACCCAUUAUUCUUGGUUGAACCAUGUAGAUCUUAUGUCAAAGGAAAUUGGGCUGUCGGGAAGCCAUCUUCCUCUGUGUUGGUCACCGUGCCUAGAAGUGGAGAUAGUUGAGUCGAUUGUAUCGACCAUGGCCUAAAUGAAGCUGAUCCUACAGCGUGAACCAUUAGUUACAGGGAAGAGCAAUGGCAAAUGGAAAGCAGUACCGUCUUAAUCCACAUGCACAAGAACCAUGCAAGUGUGACCGUCCAUCAUUUCUAUACCAUUAUCUCACAACACCCCCCCCCCCCAUGCAUUUCAUCAUCAUCAUACCCAUGUAGCCUACCUACCAUCCCAUUUCGUUUUUCAUCUACCAUCUACUUCCUACUCGUUUAUCUCUCUACACCACAUAUCUAUGUACCCCAUCUAUCUUUUCAAACCUCUCUCCAAUCAUACCCUAUACCCGCUCUCUUUGCCUCAUUUCUCCUUCCCCAUCUGCAUGUCUAUAUUUCACACCCGUUUACUUUAUCACUCCAUCAUCACAUCUCCUAUACCCAUCGCUUGUAUACGUUCACAUCCAUCCCAUUUCACCAUAUCCAUCUACCCGUAAAUCCCAUUCCAUAAUAGCCAAUUUUCACUCCUUUAUUAUCCUUCAAUACCCACUGUUUGUCCCCCACCGACUUGAUUCCUAUGCUUACCCAGGAGCAUGCAACUACUUUUCUUCACAGCCACCACCAUUGCCAGGCUGCUCAGCAACUGUUGAACAACACUUUCAACGAGGAACUAUCCAGCUACCAGCGAAGCUUUCUCAGAAGCACCAUCAACUCUGGGAAAAUCAAUCAGCACAGAAUGUUUCAAUUGUGGACUGUUAUUAGUCAGUUGCAAUCAGAAUUGGCUGAUUAUAAGAGCCAUUUAUGGAAGUUAGAAGCAGAGGCGUCAUCUGCAAAAGUGACAAGGACAGAGUCUCACUCUCCCUUUCUUUCUCUAUCAAGAAAUCACGGGUUGAGAAGAGGUGAAGCAUGGGAUCAUUGGCGAAGAAGGGUUUGCAGCAGUACCUUUGACAACUUCAGUGUCACCCUUUGAGAACUAAGACCAUUAUAGCGGCUAUGUUGUCAGUUGUCAGUGACAUAGUUUCUCCAAAGCUAUCUGGUAUGCAGAAACUUCAACUGAAGCGUCUUCUUCUCAAAGUGCUUCUUGGAUCUGGUUAUCUUAGGCCCUUCGGACAUUUUCUGCAUACACUAUUGGAUAGGCUUUUUAAAGGGAAGAAAGAUUCAAAGACAGUGGCCAAGAAGGUGGUCCUCGAACAGUUGACUACUUCAACUUGGAACAACUUUGUAUUCAUGAUGGAGAAGUGGUUGGAGUUGUCAGUGAUUAAAAUAAAGGUGUUUUCAAUAAUAAGUGGGCUUGGCACGAAGCAGACAUGAAUAGGGUUGUUGAUGACCUGGUUGCUUUCUCUUCAUCCUACAGUACAAAUGGCUUGGCUUCGCCUAUUGCCGUUUCCUUUUGCUCUCCGUUUGAUACAUUGGAGGCAGACCACCAACCUUUUGGUUAUAUCAUACCAGGAAACGAAGGACCUGGUAAGGUGCUGCAUUCUUCUUCAGCAUCGGCAGAUACAUUGUCAGAGAAGAAAGUUUCUGGAUCUUUGGCAAAUUUACCUGUUAAUGUUGAAGGGAAAUCAGGAGAUCCACUUCCUUACUCCCUCUUGCCACCAAUUAUCAUUCCCAAUAUUAGCUAUAGUUUGAGAUGGUAAUGGUACCCCAUCACCCUCUUCAAUGAGCUCCACCAUCUUAAUUCAGAGGAAGGCAUGAUAGAGAUCUUGAAGGAGAAGGGGAAGGAAUUAUUGGUGCUGCGGGGACUGCUUGCCUUGGAGAUAAUUCUGUAGAGUGCUGUCAAUGGCGAUCUACACUGCGCUGUUAGUGGCUUUCUCAUCGCUAUUUCUGUAACAGCUGGAGUACAAAAGAGGUGGAGAAUGCUAGUAACCAUCAUGAAGCUUUCGAUACAUAUGGCUUUGAAGGAGACUCACCUUCGGGCUAUGCACAGAUGCAGUUGAUGAGCUAUUGGAAUGCAACUCUUGCUUUGCCAAUUGUACUAACUUGCUUGAAACAAAGUGGCGAGCGAGAGAACCACCCUGUUUUAUCAGCUGUCACUGUUUCUGCUGCUCAAAUAAUAAAUCCUUGUCUCCACAUUGAGGCUUUACAAAGUUAUGUGGGACCCUCAUGACAAUAGCUUCCAAAUCGAAAAUCCCAAGAUAUGAGGCACUAAUGCAACAAAAUGCUGCAAUAUCUGAGCGUGGUAAUGCUUUUCUGGAAUGCGACAAUGCUAUUGCUGCCCUUCGAUCUUUAGAAAGUGUCGUCUCAAUUCCACGUGGAACGAAAUGCAUGGAUCACCUCCCAAGUCACGCAGCUAAUGGAGGGGUGGAACUUGUAACUGACAGACAAGAGAAAACUCCUGCCAAAGCAGAAACUGCAGUCCUGUUUGAGGAUCUUCGAGAGCUCGGUAUUCUUAUCAGAAAGGGAGAACUCCAUGGAAACGUCUUCAGAAUAAAGCCACCUAUGUGUUUCUGCAAAGAUGAUGCUGAUUUCCUUGUUGAUGCUUUAGAUUGCAGCGUAUCAAAAUUGUGAGGAUCAAAUCUUCCAAGAGCUGGAGGUGAAGUCUUCACGCCCUUUGGCACCCUUACAUCCCUUCUUUAAUUUCGAAAAUAACUUUUUCUAAAUCCCUCUUUUCAAAUAAUUUUCUAAAUUUAAUUUGUUUUAAAAUAAUUUCAGACUCUUUUAUAUUUCCUCCUUAGCAUUAUUUUUAGGUUCCAAAAAUCCAUUUUUUUUAAUAAAAUUCUGCUACCAUUUUUCUUCAUGGCGAGCAAUUUUCACAUUUUCUCUAUUCUUAGAAGGUUUUGAGAUAAGCAAGGAUUCAAUUUUGUAAUUCCAAAAUAAUGGGGUUAUUGGAAUUAAUUCAUGCAAAAUAAAUGGGCUUUGGUGGGGGCCCCACAUAAGUGACUUUAUAAUUGAUUUAUGGAUUGAUUGAUUUAAUUGUCCCGCAUGAUUGAUUUUAUUCUACUCUAUAACAUGCUCGAAAUUAUUUCUUAAUUGUGCACUAACCUCGCUUUUUGAUAGCAUAUUAUGGCUCGUCGCCCAGGUACGUAUCUAUUACCCUUCUAGUCUUUCUAUAUGCAUGCUCUAACUCUCAUACGUGCAUCAUCGGUCUGGGUAUUCAUUGAUUUACGCAUCAAUUGCCACAUCAGCUUUAUUUUAUUAGUAGAGACCCGACUUUAGGGGCUUAAAAGGGUGUUACGAUCUUUACCGUACCUUCCCGAUAAGUAACCUGACCCCCGAGCCCGAUCCGGUUUCUCACAGACCACCUUUUCCUAAAUAAGGAGUCACAUUUAGGGUUUUUCUUUCUUAUUUUGUUUACCCUUUUAAAAAUAAAAUAAAAAUAAGUGGACUCCAAGUCAUUUUCUAAUAAAUAAUAAAUCAUUUUUUUUUAAUAAAAGUCGAGUUCGCCAUCGAGUGGGAAACACAUGAGCCGAAAUGCGGGGUCCACAGCAAUAUUUUUGUUUGGGUUACAAAAAAAAAUCAUAUUGAACACUAAAAAAAAUAUUUUUUAAAAAACCAUUCCAAUUAAAUAUUGUUUAUUUUAAAAUUUUAAUAAUAAUUUUUAUUUAAAAAAAUUGAGUUAUGAAUUUCACAUUAAAACAUUGAAUAUAAUAAAAUCAUUUUACAUAAUAUACUUUUGGUGAAAAAAAUAAUUUUAUAAUUUAUUAUUUAAAGAAAUUAUUUUGUUUUAAAAUAUAAGAAGAAUAUGAAAAACAAUUGAGUGUGAAAAAUAAAAGAAAUGAAAAGAAAAAAAAAACACAAAGUUUACGUGGGAUGGGAGGUUGAGUAGGUAGAGAUGAAAAGGAAUAUAAAAAUAAAAGAAAAAGAAUGUUAAAAUAUGGGGUGGGGGUUGGGAAAAUGAAAAGAAAAGAAAAGAAAAAUAAAAAAGGGGUGCGGGACGUGAGAUUGGGGAGGACAGAGAGGAGAGGAGAGAGGAGAGAGAGGAGGAAGAAAUAAGGAAAGGUAAUUUAGGAAUGCAAAAUGUCGUAUUAGUAAAAAUGGUGUUACGAAUAGCAAUUGAGAUUUUUAAAUAUAUAAAUUUUUAACUAAUUUUAAUUAUAUUUGAUUUUUAUUGAUAUUUUCGAUGAUAUAACAAUCCAUAACAUAAUCAUUUUUCCUAUUAUUAUUUUUUCUUUUCUUGGCACUUUCAAGGAAACAAAAAUAAACACCGAGUAAAAUUAUGAUUUUAAAGGUAGCUUAGUUAACAUUGUGUGUACUUUUUGUUGAACUCUUUUCGAAGUGGAAUUUUUGUUAUAAAUUUAUCUAAAUACCUAAAAAAUCUUGUAAGCAACAACAAUUAGGUUUCUGUUACAUCUCAUUUAACAAUUAUUGUAAAGCUAUAAUGACUAGAUUGGGUUAGAUAGUUCACAAUUUGAACCUUUGGUUUCAAAAUUUAAUCAAAGAAAAUUUAGUAACCAAAUGUUUAAAAUUUAGGAAUGAUGAUGGACAGGUUUUGAAACUAUUUCAAAUUUUGAUACAACUAUAAAUUUAGAAGAAAUGAAGACCUUUUAGCAUAUAGAAGAAGUUUCACCAAACUAAUAAUUAACAUAUAAAUAAGUAGGAUGAGUGUUUGAGACACUUCUCUUUUUGUUGGAUUCGGUUCUAGUCCGACUCAAGGUUAAUAUAUUUUUAAUUUCCACUUUGUUCAUUUAUGCAUUGAUUCAAAAAAAAUAUGUCAUGUACUAAUGUUAAUUCAAGAUAUUAAUUACCAAGUUUUUGAAACAUGAAGUCAUGGUCCAAAGAAAACGAUACAAUAUUUUAUUUUUUAUUUCUAUUCCUCCAUUCUUUUGCUUAACUCACACGAAAUUUGUUUUAGUCAAGCAUCAAGAUGUCACAAUCAAAAAGAAAAGAAAUUCAAAUGUUGUGUAUAUUUUCUCCAAAAAGCAUUUUAGACUCUUGUUAGAAUUUUCUCCUACGGAUGUUUUACUAACUUUAAUUAAUUGAAGAAAGCUACAUGAAAUUUCCUACUCCAUGUUAAAUAUUAUAGCCUAUAAAGGAAAAUAAAAUAUCAUAAAAAUCAUUUAAAAUUUUAUAUAUAUUCAAAUUUUUUAUUAUAUAUAUAAAGGGUUGGAAAAAUGUAUAACAGGUUAAUGUGGUAUUUAUUUUCGGUCUAAAAUUUGAGUAGAUCUAAGUUUGACUUAAAUCUACUUAUAUUAUUAAGUUUUUUAGGUUGUUUACUUUUUAUCAAUGUAUAAAUAUUGUUAAGUGUUAAAUUGCUUUCUUUUAUUAAUGUCUAAAGAGUUACACUUAUUUAUUUCUACAUGUUAAAAAUAUCUAUAAAAUUAAUUAUUAUAUUUUUUCUUAUUUUAAUUUUAAAAUUAACAAUUUAAGAGAUAUUAAUUUAAUAUAUUUAUAAAUAUAAAAAAAAUUUAUAAUUUAUUAUCAUAAUAAACAUUUUAUAAUGACUAAUAAUGCAAAGUGUAAAAAAAUAACAAUUAGAUAAUUAUUAGGAUUUCUAAUUAUGUUUGGUUGUUAAAAAAUUUCUAUGUUAAAACUUAUUUUUAUGUAACUAUCUUCAAAUUUAUGAAUAUUGUUGAGAUUAAUUUAUUAAUUUUUAUUUUUAAUUUGGAAAAAAUGUAAAAAUCUAAAUUUUAUUUUUUAAAUUAAUUGGAUUUUUCUAGUUAAUUACUAAAUGAAAGUAAAUUAGAAAUCUAAGUUCAAGGACAUUAGCCAACCAAACUGACUUUAAAUCUAACCAAUCCAAUCUUAUUACUUUUUAUUUUCAUUUAAAGAUGUUUGUUUCUAUUAAAAAAGAAAUGAUUACAUUGGUUCAGUGUUCAUGAACCAAUCGAAUCUAUCUAUUAUAUAUAUAUAUAUAUAAAAAAUGAUCACAUUGGUUCGGUAUUCAUUUCAAAACAAUGAAUCAAUAGAAACCGAUUCUAAUCGAACCUAUCUAUUAUAUAUUCGACUUAAAAGAUGCAAAAUUUGAAUUUUCAAAAUUUGAAGUUAUUUUUUGAAGAGACUUCAUAUUUUGCUUCUCAUAAUUUACUAUAAAUUUAUGAAAUUAUUUUUUAGUUGUCAUAUUUUUUAAAAAUAUUUUAUUUUUUCAAAGUAAAUUCACUAAAUAUUGUCUCACAUGUAUUUGUGGUUCACUAAACUUUUAAAAUCAAAUUAAUAAAUUUGUAAAAGAAAAAUAUUAUAUUUUCUCCAUUUUGUUCACUUGAUAAACAAAUCUACAAAAAUGUCAAGCGAAUGUUUGAAAUUUACCUCUUUUUUUUUUUUUUUUGUAAUCUUUGGUUGAUUGUGUUUUUAAAAGCAUUAUAAAUCCCAAGAAAGUAAUAUUUUUUUCUUUACCAUUAUAGUUCCCAUAGUGUUUAAACUUAUCUUUACCAUUUUUUUUCUUCUUGAUCUAACUACAAGCUUGACUGCACAAACUUGGUCAACAAUGAGAAUAAAAGAAUAAAAGUGAGGAGGGUGAUGAAGUUCUCCCUAUACUCUCCUCUCCCUUUUUAACUUUUAUAUCCCCCCUCAACAGUAUAGUUUUAAGGUAUGUACACUUUAAUCCUGAUGGACUAAAGGCCCAUAAUUCAUCUCAAUGGGUCAACUAAAAUAUUAUGAGCAAGGUGAAGCCAUGGGCCUCUGCACAAUACAUAAAUUGAUUAUGGCCCAAAACAAUACCCAUGCACAACCAAAUAUAGUUUACAAUAUACGUAGUCCACAAAAAACAUUUGACAUUAAUAGGUGAAUUUAGGUGAUUAUGCUAGUCCAAUAACAUAAUUUCAACAUAUGAUUACAUUUUACUCUCCCUUUAAUGUUAAAUGACCAAUCAUGAAACAACAAAAAGUUUUAUUUGAAAAUUUAUAUAUUUUUCAAACUCUUGAUUCCCCUUUAUAAAUAAUGUGGAUAAAGUUAGAGAAGUAAUGAAAAUAAUUAUUAAAAUUUACUAAUCUUUAAGAGAAGUAUAGAAAAUGGGAAAUUAAUAAAAAAAUUUAUUAAAAUUUGCUGAGGUUGAUAUUUUUUAGUUCCUUUAAUUUUUUUUACUUUAAUUUCCUUCAAUGUUAUCUUUCCUAGUAAUAUAAAUGAGGAUUUGGGGAGUAUAUAUGCUGUUAUAUGACCCAAAAAUUAUUGGUUAUAGAAUAGUAGAAAUUCCAUAAGAACAAAAUUCACAUACAUUUUAUCUCAAAGUUAAAAUAGUCUUACCAACUGUUAUGUAUCUAAUGGUGCAGUAGAUUUUGAGCUUGUCUAAAAAGCUCUCGCCUAUUGAUGCCCUUAUCAACUACUUGGCAAACCAAUUUGCCAAACUUGCAACACAAGAUGGUUGAGUGGUCAUCCAGCACAUCACCUAUGGUCAAGUCAAUGGAUAACAAGAAAAUGAAGUGUUGAGAGUAGAUGCAAAAAUAAAUAUGGGAAUAUGGGUGAGAGAAUAUGAUAGAUGAUCGAAGCUUAUUCUCUUUGCUAGAGCUUGUUCGGACCUUUAUAGUUCAUUACCCAAUUAUGUUAAGCUAACCUUACCAUGUUAAAAAAUUGGAAAAUAUUAAGGAAUUGAAUUGGUAACUAUUGACUUCCAUCUUGAUUGUUGACUUUGGCAAAAUUAAUUUAGAUUGUUGGACCAAGAUAUAAAGAAAUAAGGUCAAAGUAUAAAUGUAUGAAUAAAUAAAGGUACCAAGUGGUGACCAAGACACCGAUUGGUGAUGUCUUUUCAAUAUCUAUCGGAGAAAAAGUACCUUUCAGUAUUAUGGUAAGAUCCUAAAACCCUUCUGUAUGUCUAGUGAUUGUUCAUUUUCUGGGGCAUCGAAAAGAAUUGUUUCUCCAACUACAUUACUACCAUCAAUGACGAGGCCUAGAUCAACGACCAACUCUGAUUCUCUCUUUUCUUCUCCGAAAUACUCUUGUGUAUUUCAAAUUCGGAGCCGAAAUCUGGUCAAAGAGAAACAUAACCCGAAAUUCAACCCGGUUGGCCAGCCAUUGAUGAAAGGUCUCUAAAGAUUGUAGUCUUCUUCGCUUCACAGUGAUGAAAUGCAUAGCCGGGGACGGAAUCACCUACUAUCUGGUUCGGCUUUCAAAUCUCUAGUUUCGGUUCUCAUGCUAGCCAUGUUCGCCACCAUGGCAUCGAUUUAUGUCACCGGCCCGUGAGUUCUCACACUGUAUCGUAUUGUGAAAUGAUUUUCAUUUCUUAGCUGUAAUAGUGUUUAUAGUGUGGUUAAUUUCGUUAAUUUAGGUUUUUGUUUUGUGAUGCUUUGAUUUUGAUUAUAAUUGGUCUAUGUUUUUCAAAAGAAAAAUUGUUUUUAUGGAAAUCUGUUAUUGGUAGGCUGUGGUUGGAUUCUGAGAAUAAGGUUUAUUUGAUUAAAGAGCUUGAUAUUGUUAUUCAAUUGUAGCUUCAACUUUUCUUCCCCACAGUUUGUUAAUGCAUUUUUUGGGACUGUUUUGUUAUUGAGACUAAAUUAUAGUGAUACAAAGAGGGUCUUGACAUUGAAUGGAACCAGAAUCAGUCCAUCAUGGUAUAUGUUCUAUAGCAUUACAUUACAAUGCCAAAUAAACUGGUGAUGUGCAUAAGCUCUUGCCUUUUUCUUUCUUUUAUUGAAACAAUCAGAGUUGAUACCAGCCGAUUUUCAUUUUUUGAAAUUAAUCAUUCAUAGUAAAAGAGGUAAAUAUCUAUACUUACCAUUUUAAUAGUUUUCAAGUGGAAUCAGCCAAUGACACUGAAAAUUACAGAGUAAUUGGGGUUCUUUUUUUGGGGCUUUUGUUAUAAUAGACAAAAUAUAAUCUAGAGGUCAUGGUGAUGGUUCUUCAAUUUUAUAGGAACAGCAGAAGUUAGCAGCCUUUGAGAUGGAGUUACUUGCAGUACAACAGGAAGAUUUUGUCUCAAAGAACUUGUCAGAAAAGAAGGAACUCCUCCUAAGAAAAAACAUUUAGCUGUUGUAGGAAUUAUAACAAAGUUUGGCCACAAGAACAAUAGAGAUGCAAUCCAUAAGACAUGGAUACCAACUGGUAGAAUACCCUUCUUUUUGUAAGUUUCUCUCUUUACUCUUUCUAUGAUUUACAUAGAGAAUGACCCAGUUGGCACUUAACAAAUUGACAUUUCUGUUAUAAGCAUAUAAGGGAUAAAAACAGGAGGCUUGUAGGCUGAACUCUUGUUAACAUGAAAACUUUUAGGGAACUUCCAUUUGUCUUCUAUUCUUUUUUCAUUGUUUUGUUUAUUUUCUCAGUUUGCAAUAGUCAUCUUUCAAUAGUUUGCAAACUCCAUCAACCAAUUUGAAAAGCCUUAGAGCUAACAAGUGCAAAUUAUGAGAAGCUAAAAUCUUGUUUCUCUAGGAUUUUUCUAAAGUUGCUCAAUUGAAUGGAAAGCAGAAAACCAUCAAGAGGCCCUGCCCUUGCCCCUGCCCUGCACCCUCUAUACUCCUGUUUACAGAAAUUUGGAGUUUGUCUUUAUUGUAAUAAGGGAGACAAUAGUCUGCAUAAUAAUGGAACAAAAAGUAAUAUUGUGAUUCACUGCUUCAAAAAGUAAUUUUGACAUAACUUAUGUGCUAAACUGCACUAAAAUGCUUAGCACAAAAAGUAUGUUAUUCUUCAUUUGAGAGCAUUACAUUGAACAUCAUAUGUUAGCAUCACUUUUGCCAUAACUAAUCUUUCUUUCUUUCUUUCUUUCCCCUUAUCCAAGACAAUGCAUAUUGAGUGAUUGAUACGUAAGUUAAUAGCCUUAGCACCCACAUGGGGUGAAGUUUGAAUCCAAAAUUUCCCAAUAGUCUUAAUACGCUUCCUCGGGUGUGUUCGAACUUAAGACAUCAAUGUUAAACCACCACCUUACCCAAAACCUUUAAGUUGCUCGGUAAUAGGCCAACAAUGGGAUAUUAAGGCGACUAAUAGGUAGGCUAAUAGCCUGAGCAAUUCUCUUAUAAUGUUUAAUGGUUCAAAUGUUGACAAUUAAAACAUUUACAAAAGCAUGAUGACUUAUCCAUCGUUUUCAUACAGAUACUCUAGAAGCAGCUCUUGCUCUACCCAUUUGAAUAAGCCUUGAGUUUAUAUUGGGUGUAUGAAAUCAGGUGAAGUUUUCUCAAAGUUGUGAGUAUAAUCAAAGGGUUUUUUUUUUUUCUUUUCUCUAAUGAUGAGAAAACGAGUUCUUUAUGAUAUUCUAUUUUCACAUAUUGUAUUAUCUUUUCAUAUUGUCUUAAUUAUGUAGGAUCCACAAGUAGUAAGAACUAGACUGGUAGAAAUUUGGUGAUGGAAAAUCAUGAGUAAUUCUGUAUUGAUUUCAUCUUGUCUCUUAUAUUAAGAUAAGUAAUUAUUACUUUCUAGUUCUGUUAACUAGUCAGGAAGUCUCUUAGUAUCUCCGAAUUCAUCUGAUAGGUGAUAGAAGUCCCAAUGAAUAACUAGGGCAUUGUCCCAUAAGAGGCUUGCUUGAUAGAGAGUUAGAGCACCAUUUCUGAAGUUUUUUGGGCAUUUAAACAAUUUAUCAUUCCAUCAUAUUCUUGACAUCUGUUACACUUGAUUUGCCCACCCUAUGCACCCAUAUUUAAACCAUCUCAAACUCUGAUUUGUGUUGAGGUAUCCUGGAGUUUGCAGAGGGACGCCUUCUCGGGAAGUCAGGCUUACAUUGGCUGAAUAUACAUUUAGAAAAUUUAUAUGCUGGUCGACUGGACAAGUUAUCAUACGAGGGUUGGGUAGCAUUUAUUGAGAAUCAUUUAGAAGAUAUAUUUGAUUCCACAGACAGACCUCUGGAAGGAAGACGUUGGUGGUUGUCUGCUGAGGAUCCUUUCCAAUGCUUGGCUGCAUGUAUUAAUCUCUCAGAAGCAUUAAGAAGCUCCUCUCCAUAGACUACUAUUUCACACAUGCCUGUCCACCAGGUACUUCAUUCUCAUCAUGGUCACAUUCAAACUGAGAAAUGUUUACUACCGAGUGAAAUCAAAUUAAUCCCACCUCCCUCNNNNNNNNNNNNNNNNNNNNNNNNNNNNNNNNNNNNNNNNNNNNNNNNNNNNNNNNNNNNNNNNNNNNNNNNNNNNNNNNNNNNNNNNNNNNNNNNNNNNACUAGUUUUUAUUGGAAUUAUGUUUCUAAGCAUAGGCAUAUCAUUUGUUGCUUGUGUAUUUUGUAUAAAAUCCUCCAGGUAACUAUAUAGUUCUUCUGCAUUUACACAUGGAAAAUGACAGUCACAUGAUUGUUCAGACCCUUCAGAGUACCCCAUUUGUUGCGGAGCAGAAAUAAUGGAUCUACCACUUCUUUCAUAGCACUACCUUAUGUUUGCGCUAUCCUAUUGAAGUAGGCUUGAGAGGAUAACAGAUAUUUCCCUGACUUUACUUUUGUUUUCAUAUUAAAUGCUUAGAUUCAGGUCAUUUGUUUGUCCAAAACUUAAUCUGAGAUUGUAUUGUUCUAUCUUUUUCAAGGAUGGCUCGUGCAAUGGCUUACAACACUAUGCUGCCCUUGGAAGGGACAAGGUAGUGGAAUUUUCCGCUUUUGGUUGAUCGUUGUGGAGUUCUAAUUAUGUGAUAUGGAAGCAUGGUUUUUGAUUAGUUAGGCAUAGCUUUUCACUCUUUUUCUGCUUUGAGGCUAAAUUUGUCUCAACUUUGAUCUUCUCUCAUUUUGAUAGGAAAAAAAUGAACUUUGUUAAGGAAAGAUAGUACGAGGAUAAGGAACUAGAAAUUGAAACCCAAGAAAGAAACCAAACUUUGUUUGAGUUUGGUGCAGUUUAUUUAAUUUGAUUUUUUUAAGUCAUCUCAAACUUUGUUUAAUUUUGUUGCUUCAACUAAAGUUUUAUAUAUGUAAUAGAAAAUAUAUACCGGAAAAAGUGGUAGGACCUUUUCAAUUUUGAAAUGAGAAUUUUAAUUAAAAUAUUUGAAAAAAAAAUUUCAAGACUUCAACUGUGGCCAAACAUAAGUUGUGUCAAGAGAAUAAACCUAUGGCAGCAGGCAAGGAAAAGUGGCAUCCAUAUGAAGCCCUAUAGUUGCGGCUGACAAAAGGCCAUGUCUAUAAGUACUAUAUAGUAUUAAAUUAUGUAGAUAUCACACCUUUAUAGCAGCAACUAUCAGCUGUCCCAACCACAUAUGGAGCUUUUAGUUAAGGAAAAAACAUGACAACGGGGAUAGCUUCACAACUUCUACUUGUGUGGGGUGGCUGCAACUAUAGGAUUUAUCUGCAUCCCUAUGGCCUUCGCCGCUAUAAACUUACCUUCUUGUAGUGUGUAGCACUCUUGCCUCGUGUAUGAUUGCAACACAUGUACUGCACAACUCUUUGUUAAUGGUUGUUAAAAAUAGGUUUCUAUUUUUGAAAAUUGAAAAUAAGAAAAUCUUGUUUGACAAUAAGAAAAUAGAAACCAAUUUUUAAAAAAAUAGAAAAUAGGUUUUGUUCUUAAAAAAAAAAAAUGUUUUCAAUUGUUUUCUAGGGUUAUUUUUAAAAAAAUAAUAAGAUAAAUAUGAAGAAUAAUUAAAAAUAAAAUGCUACAUAUAAAACUUACUUUUUUGAAAAAUAUUUGAAAGCAAAAAAUACGUUAAAAGUAUUUCAAAUUUUCAAACAAACAUUUAUCAUAUAAAUCUCAUAGAAUUAUUUUCGAAAACUAUUUUCAAAAAAUAUUUUUUUUUAAUGAUUUUCAAAAUUAUUUUCAAACUAACUUAAAGUAUGUUUGACAGUGAUUUUAUGAAGUAUUUUUAAUCUUUUUAAUAUUUGAAAAAUAAAAAAUUAUAAGCGUUUCCUAAAAUCAUUACCUAAUAAACUCUAAUUCUCUUUACUAGAGGCUUAUACGGGUUUUUAUAUUUUGCCUCCUAACCAUGUUAGAUAGGUGGUAACCAUGUUAUAAGAUUUUGGGCUAGCAUUGGCUAGUCUACACUUGUAUGUACUUAAUUUUUGUUUUUAAACAUAGAAAAUGAAAGUAACUUGGAUAUAAAAUAUAAAAACUUUUAGAGACUUACAUUAUUUCAAAUUUCAAAAUUUUUUAUAGUGAUUUUUAAAGAUAUAAGGUGAGUUUAUACUUUUGGUAAAAAAAAUUUCUAUUUUUUUAUAUAAAAAUUAUUACUACUUUUUGUGAUAAAAAAAUGUAUAAAAAAAUGUCAAUAUACAAAUAAUAAAAGUUGAAAGAACAUUUUCAAUGCAUAGAUUAUCUUAAGGGUUCAAAUGUGGGCUAAGCCUAAAACUUAAUAUUAAAUCUUCUCUCAUUCAAAUAAUAGUCUUUAUAAAUACUAGAAUAUCCUAAAUAGUUAUGGACCAAUAUUUCAAACAAAUUUCUCAAACAUUAGUAUCAAAAGAAACUUUCAUUAACCAUGACGAGCUCCCUAUUUUAAUCUAAAACAUGUAAAUAAACAUAAUUAACUUCAAUCGAAGCAAGAUUUAGAUUUGUAUUAUGGAUAAUAUAAAUCUAAAUAUUUUCUUAAAAGAUGAUCAUAAGUUUCUUAGUCCAUGACUUCAAUUAAUAGAAAAAAUAUUUAUAAGCUCAAUUUUGUUGGAAGACUUUUUAUAUUUUCUGGUAACUUACACUCCAUUAAAGAUUCAAGAUUAUUUAGAGUUAACUACAGAUUGGAUAGCACAAGUAUAAAGUUAUGAAAAGAACAAUAACUUUUAAUUGAAAAAGAUUUUGGAGAUCUAGUGCUCAUGCACUUGAAUCUAGCUUUCAAGGCUUGGAACACUCAAGUAUUGCUUGAGAGUACCCAAUAGCAAGCACUCAAGUAGUGUACUUAUCUCAUACUUGAGCACUCAAAAGAGGGGUUUCCAAAAAAUAAGUUUGCAUACAACACUCAUUAAAAAAAAUGAUUAUAUAUAUAUAUAUAUAUAUAUAUAUAGGGAGAAUUGUGUUUUGGGCCCAGCUGGGCCCAAAAAUUAACAAAUGGUCCAUAUAUGUUACAGAAUUAAUAGAAAGGCUAUGAGAUAUUGAGUGACCUAUAUACCCUUCAAAUUUCCAAGUCAGAUUGCUGUAAAUUAAAAGGGAGAAUUGUGUUAAAUGUGAAAUGCCAUGUCACCUGACUACAAAAAGGGUCACCACCAUCCUACCCCUUUAUCUCUCUUCGUAAACACCAUGAUCAAAGAGGAUGGCCACUGUGAAUGUCCCCCAACCGAUUUCUUCGGCAGGCGAGGGUUGUGAGCAAGUCAAAAAUCAGAAAAGCCUUGCAUCUAUUUUAUCAUCAUCAUCAUUUCAAAAUCCAAAUGACAGUGGGUGUAAAUUAUUUUCUCUCACAUUUUGAUUUGAUCAUAUCCAUCUUGGGUCAUAGGAAUGAAGCAUGAGGUAAGUAAAUUGAAGAAACUUACAAUGAAUAUUUUCGAAAAGAUCUCCUAUUAAAUGGCAUUUCACCUGUUUGAAAAUUCUUCACUUUAUAAUCUGGUUGUUGGCUUUAUAGUGUAGGCAAUAAAUGGGUAUGGUGGAGACGGUGAGCUAUGGGGAUUAGUUAGCGUACUUAUGAUGAAUAGGAAAGUAAAUUGGGUUUCAUUUUCCCCCUUUUCAGUCAGCCAUGACAUUGGGAUGUGGUUAACCUGGCCAUAUGCACUCUUUAAGUUAUAGGUAGGUCAAAUUCCUGCAACUGUACAAGGCAUUUACACCAACUGUACAAGGCAUGUACACCAACUGUACAAGGGUGUGUAUCUUAAGGGAUUUCGAGUGAUUUUUAAGAACUUGCUCAUUUACUUUUUCCAAUCGUGGGGGACAUUCCUCACACUUAUUGGUUGACAACAUACUCAUUGCAUGCAUUUUAUUUGAUAUCUACCAUGUUAAUUCAUUGUUUUAUCUCCCCUACAUUACUUAUGCGUAUGAACGGAAAUGAGGGUUCAUUUUUUCCUCCUUUUCCCUCAUCCACGAGAAUGGAAACAUUGUUGCCCCACCCAUAUGCACUUGUUCGGUUGUCCCUUCGGUGGAUUGCAUAACUGUACAAGCCAUUUACACUAACUGUACAAUCCAAAUGUGUUAACUGUACAAGUGUGUUCAACCCUACCUAUAUUGAAGGAUUUCAACUUUUUUUGAAAACAAUCGUUGCUCAUUUCCUUCUUUUUUUUUACUAGAGGGACAUCCCUCAUAGUCAUUCCUCAUUUCCCUUUGUACACAUUCAAAUGCCUUGUGGUAGCCCACUUAUGUUGCAUAGGAACCUAAAUUGGGUUUCAUUUUCCCCCUUUUCACUCAGCCAUAUCUUUGGAAUGUGGUUAACCCGCCCAUAUGCACUCCUUUAGUUGUAUUUAUGUGGAAUUGCUCCAAGUGUACAAGGCCUUUACACCAAGUGUACAAGGCCAAUGUACUAAAUGUACAAGGGUGUGUAUCUUAAGGUAUUUCAAGUGAUUUUGAAUAACUUAGUCAUCAACAUUUUCCACUCGUUGUGAACAUUCCUCACACAUAUCGGUUGACAACACACUCCUUCCAUGUAUAUUAUUUUAUUUGUACAAUGUUAGUUCAUUGUUUUAGCUCCCCCACAUUACUUAGGCGUAGGAAUCGAAAUGAGGGUUAAGUUUUUCCUCCUUUUCCCUUAUCCAUGGUAAUGGAAACAUUGUUGCCCCACCCAUAUGCACUUGUUCGAUCGUCCAUUUGGUGGAUUGCAUAACUGUACAAGCCAUUUACACUAACUGUACAAUCCAAAAGUGCUAACUGUACAAGUGUGUACAACCCUACCUAUAUUGAAGGAUUUCAAUUUUUUUGAAAAAAAUUCAUUGCUCAUUUCCUUAUUUUUUUGCUAGGGGGGCAUCCCUCACAGUCAUUCCUCAUUUCCCUUUGUACACAUUCAAAUGCCUUGUGGUAGCACACUUAUGUUGCAUAGGAACCUAAAUUGGGUUUCAUUUUCCCCUUUUUCACUCAGCCAUUUCUUUGGAAUGUGGUUAACCCGCCCAUAUGCACUCCUUCAGUUGUAUUUAAGUGGAAUUGCUCCAACUGUACAAGGCCUUUACACCAAGUGUACAAUGGCAAUGUACUAAAUGUACAAGAGUGUAUAAGGGUGUGUAUCUUAAGGUAUUUCAAGUGAUUUUGAAGAACUUAGUCAUCAAUAUUUUCCACUCGUCGUGAACAUUCCUCACACAUAUCGGUUGACAACACACUCCUUCCAUGUAUAUUAUUUUAUUUGUACAAUGUUAGUUCAUUGUUUUAGCUCCCCCACAUUACUUAGGCGUAGGAACCGAAAUGAGGGUUAAGUUUUUCCUCCUUUUCCCUUAUCCACGAUAAUGGAAACAUUGUUGUCCCACCCAUAUGCACUUGUUCGGUUGUCCCUUUGGUGGAUUGCAUAACUGUACAAGCCAUUUACACUAACUGUACAAUCCAAAAGUGCUAAUUGUACAAGUGUGUACAACCCUACCUACAUUGAAGGAUUUCAACUUUUUUUGAAAAAAAUUCAUUGAUGGUGGUGUUUACUUAUUGUUGGUUAGUGUUAUGACAAACAAUUUCUGUCUCCCUCUAUUCGCCUUGUUAUCUUGGGUAACAACACAUAAUUUCAAUAGACCAGUUUGUUGCCUUUAUGAAAAACUCUCAUUUGAUGUUGAUGUGAGGACAAAUAUCUUUGAGGUAUUUAAUUCAACAGCUUCAUGCAAAAUCAGAUAGUUAAUUCACAUUCUAUGGCUUUAGAGGUUUAUUUUCUCUUAAUUUUCAUCCUUCCAAUAUUCUUAAAUUAUGAGUAUGUUCACUUCUUUUGUUUGUAAGACGGAUUUAUGACUCUGCAUCAAUGGAAAAUUAUGUGCACAAUAUGGAGUGACGGAUAAUAGGAGAACUUAAACGAUUACAUGAGGGUGUCGAAUUGCACCUUUUCCUUUUCGUUUUUAGAUGAAGCAAAUAAAUGAUCUUUUAUCCUUGAACUAAUUGUUUUUCCCUUUAUGUGUGCAGGUGGGUUGAUUCUUGAAGUGGGAACUUUGUCACGAUUAAUACAAAUAAUUCAAAAUAAGAGGCUUAACAUCAGAUGAAAGAUGAGAAGAGAAAAACAGAGAAGUCUAGAUGAUCAAGAUAGUUUAUUUUAUAGGAAGCCAAUCUAUGUUAAGAGUUGGAUAAUAAGAUACCAACCUUCUUUUAAGUUUUUACAUUGUAACUAUUUUCAUUAAAUAGUAUCAUAUACGUUUCGGGACAUGUAAUUAUGCAUUUCAUUCCAAUUAAAAUUCCAAUGUAUUGAACUUAAAUUUUGGUUAUUUCGCAGUUUAUCAGCACAUGUUUCUUGUUUUUAAAUUUUGUUUUUCCUCCGUUUAUAUUGGUUGUUGGACAAAUAAUGACUCAUUCUCAUUUCAUGUCGUUCUCCAAGUUUGCUGAAGAAUUUCUUUACUUGAUAAUUUUAUUAAGUCAUUAAAUACAUUAAUCAUGUUUGUUAAGAUAAUUUCAUAGCCCAUAUUUUUAAUAUUAAAUUCAUUUCAUUAAUUAUUUACUAUUUAUAUCUCUAUAUCAUUUUAUAUGUACACCUUCAUAUUUAUUACAUAAUUUUUAUAGUCAAUAUUGUGUAGUACUAUAUGUUUGCAAAACUUUAAUUAUGAAUAUGUAAUAAAACAGUUACUAAUUAAAGAGUAAUAAAGAUAAAUGUCAAACUCAUUUACUUUUUCUAAAAGGGACAUUCCUCAUUUCCCUUCGUACACAUUCAUUGGAUGAGAUAGCGCGCUUAUGAUGAAUAGGAACCUCGAUUUGGUGUCAUUUUUCCCCAACUCGGUGAGCCAUGACAUUGGAACGUGGUUAACCCAGCCAUAUGCACUAGUUAUGUUGUAUCUAGGUUGAAUUUCUGCAACUGUACAAGGCAUUUACACUAAGUGUACAAGGCCAAUGUACUAAAAGUACAAGGGUGUACAAGGGUGUCUAUCUUACUUUUUCCAAACGUGGGGAACAAUCCUCACACAUGCUGCUUGAUAACACACGCAUUGCAUGCAAUUUAAUUGAUGUCUACCAUGUUCAUUCAUCCUAUUAGCUUCCCUAGUAAUGAUGAAUAUGAACCGAAAUUAGGGUAAACUUUUGUGUCAUUUUCCCUAGUCCAUGGUAAUGGAAACAUUGGUUACCUACCCAUAUUCACUUGAAAAUAUGUACCUAUUAGGGAUUUGGUGACUGGACAAGGCAUUUACACUAAGUGUACAAAGCAAAUGUGCUAACUAUACAAGUGUAUACAGGGGUGCCUAUCUUGAAGGAUUUGAAAUGCUUUUGAAAAAAUUGCUUGCUCGUUUAUUUUUUCUAAGAAGGACAUUCCUCAUUUCCCUUCGUACACAUUCAUUGGAUGAGAUAGCGCGUUUAUGAUGAAUAGGAACCUCGAUUUGGUGUCAUUUUUCCCCAACUUGGUGAGCCAUGACAUUGGAACGUGGUUAACAUAGCCAUAUGCACUAGUUAUGUUGUAUCUAGGUUGAAUUUCUGCAACUGUACAAGGCAUUUACACUAAGUGUACAAGGCCAAUGUACUAAAAGUACAAGGGUGUACAAGGGUGUCUAUCUUACUUUUUCCAAACAUGAGGAACAACAACAGCCAACAUACGAACCCAGAGGACUAUACAAAAUUCAUUGUGCUGAAACUUAUGGAAGAACUCACAAAACAUCAUUAUGGGGUUGAGCUGCUUUAGUUCAGGAAUCCCAGCAAGAGAGACAUCUUGCUUUGUAUGAAAAACACGUCCUUCAAUAAUUGUAACAGUUGUAAAUUAUGAAUUAUAGAGGUAACCUGCCUGUAAUCUAAUGAGAAUUGACUUGAUAGAUUAGCUUUUUAACCAAGUACUUAGUGAUGAAAAUGUGUUUUGUGCUUGAACGGUGUCAUUCCCAUUAGUCCAAAAUUUUGGGAUGAUGAUCGCCAUUUUUCGAUGUGUUGAAUGAUUACUUUUAAGGUGUGGAGCUACUGCAUUCUGAGAAUGGUUAAUAAUAAUUUUUAAAAUCAUACAUAAUAACUUCCAAAAUAAAGACUAAUAAUUUUCAAGUGAUUGUGGAUUAUUCUUGAGUUUCCCUUUUCUCUUGUCUGAACUUGCUAGUUCCCAAUACUAAAGUAGGAGUCCAUUGAUAAUUUAAACACAAAUAUUGACUAUAAGUCUCUGAAAAACCUUAUUACUAUAAUCAAUCAAGCCAAUAUCCACCCAACUAACCCAAGGGCAAAGUGGGUUCUUAUUACCAAGCCAUGAGCAAUUUUGCCCACAAAAAAAACCUAGGACAAAAAAGGGAAAAAGCCACACGAAAAAAUGUUUUAUAUAUAUAUAUGAAAAAAAAAAAGAUCUCAAACCACAUGGCAUCCACAUGAUUGAGAAACACCAAUUUAGAAUUUAUUUUGAUAGGGGAUUUACUUUAUAGAAUAUUUUUUUAAAACAAGUUAUUUUUGUUCAAAACCCCCAUGAACAUGCAGUCUGAUGAUGUACAAGGCAUAAGAGUAGAGAAAUGAAAGGAAUGGAUAUUCAUGGCAUAUUUUCUAGUGCAAUUUUCUAAAAGAAUAAUGGCGUAUUUUCUUAUGACUGUAGACAGUUGAUGGAUGAGAUCAAUUAGUCAUAAUUCUACCCUUAUUGCAAGAUCAUUCUUCGCCGAGAUCCUUUUGCUUUCCCUUCGGGGCUUUGGAUUCCUGAAUUGUAAUCCUUUUCCUUCUCCCUUCCAAUUAAGGAAUGCAAGCACGCAACCUGGUUUCACCCACACAUCUUGCCCUCUUAUAUAAAGCCACCACCGAAGGCCUUAUGAACUAAACAGAGAUAUCCAGUUUAAUUUAAGAACUUUGUCAAAUGAAGAAAGUAAUUGCUCUGGCAGAAAUAUCAACUGAUUUAAUUUCUGACAGUCGUACAUCAACCUCCAUAGCAUUACAUCUACUAAAAGGGUUCCUAUUCUAGUUUCACAUGUAGAAUUGCAUUUAUAAUUCAUACACUACAUUCCAACUUCAACCAAACAAAAGCUAAAACAAAAGGCCUAAGCUAGAGCCAUUUGCAUUUCAGCACCCAGAUUGCCUAAGCCUGCAUUGAGGCUGUGUACACCCAAGGUUGCCAGGAUUGAUGAUGAGCCCCUGAUGAAGCCAAGGUUUCCAUCUUCACCAUUGGAACAACCAACAGCAAGUGAUCAGAUAUUCAAUGGCAAAUCGGGUGGGCACGACACUACCAACAGGCACUGCAUGACUUGUGGGCACGUCGUGUGACACUGGCAACAUGUGAUGGCAUGCUCAUGUGCUUCAAUUAAGUUACGGGCUCCGACACUCUGAAACUUUCCCUAAGUCGCUAGAGGCUUUAGACGAAUUUUUCAAGUGAUAUAACUUUCCCUUCGAAACUUUCACCGACUUCUAUUGAACAGCAGAAGCUAAAACGGGCACAUGAAAAUAUUUUGUAUAACACAAAAAAAAAAUACCUUGCGCUUCCAAUAAGUAUAUCCAAACAAGACUUAUGUCACGCAAAUUGUGCGACAUGCAGGAAAAGCUAGAGAGGUAGAUGUCUAAGGUGAAGAGAAGUGAUGAAAAUGUACAACAAACAUGAAGGAUGGUUUAAUUCAAGUCAAUCAGAACCCAGUUGACCCAACUAAGGAAGAGUAUGAUGCAUUCUCAUCACUGGCUGUUGGCCUCUUCUCACCAUCCCUGUUUGAUGCUCCAUUCCCAAUUUUGGGAAGCAGCCCUGUUUCUAGACCAGCCAUAUCAUGCAACUCUAAUCGUCGCUGUUUUGCUUCUUCUAUAUCACCUUCCCAGCAAGUUUCGGAAAUAAUUUCAAGCGCUUUCUCCAUCUUAUCCUCUGUCACAAGCUCUCCAUUUUGCAGGAGGACAAGGUAAAUUUGUUCAGCAGAAGCCUUCCGGAUCUAAGGGAGAUAGCAAAAAACCAAUCCAUCAGCAAAGGACGAUUUAUUAUAUAAUUGAGAGGCAAAAUUUUUAAGGUUUAAAAUUCAGUAAAAGUGAUAAUAUUUUGUGUGCACCACAUACCUUGGGAUAUCUAUGGCCCAGGAAAGUGAGAAGAUGAGAAAAGGCUCAGGUGUUGACGGAUUCUGGAACGGAAGCAAUAUACCCAAGUAUUGCAAUGCCAGCAUAUAACUUGGAGAAAUCCUUUGUCGCUUUCAAUUCCACUGCCAGAGAAUCCAAAACACCAGCAUAGAAGAUUGGAGUAUGGCCCUGGAAAUUGAGAUAUCUUAAAAAUGUGUUGACACCAAAGAAUUAAAACUACUGACAUAUAAUUCCAUAAAGGAAUCAGGAUCAUGCAAAAACCAAUAUUAGCUUAAUCUUUCUGAUUACAAGAAUUUAGUCGGAUAGAAAAUUUUAUUAACAAUUCCAGAAUUGCAUGAAGGGUUCAUUGUUGUCCUGGAACAUCUAACUGUCCUGUCAUUUUCACCUUGUUUCUAUUUUUUGGUCUUGGUAUGGAUUGAAGUAGAACAGAAAAUAAACUAACCAAGUCCAGGGAAUGCAUUCAACCAACAUGGGAAGUCAAAACAAAUAUAAAGUUCUCUUGAAUGAAAUGAUAAAUUUUCCACUAACAUUGCCUGACAAGGGACACCAUUUAUCUGGCAUGCUUUCACAUCUCAAGAAAUUGAGACUUCUGAAUUCAAUAUUCUAGGGAAUCAUGAAUUUAUGAACCAGUCUAUAUGUCAGCACAAAAACUGAGCUGAUAAGAUCUAGAAAAGAAAAAAUAAUGCAAGUGAUCAAAAAACUACUUUGAUUAAAUUAGUAAUUCUUUUGCAUCAGUAAGCCAGAUUUCAAUUUAAUGGCUUGAAAGGUCAGGAUUGUCUGUGUAUUAUAGAAAAAUGCAUAGAAUUGGAGAAACUCUUCUGGUUGGAUGAAAUGAUAGAUCCUAUUACAAAAAAAAUUAAAUUUUAAUAUUUUAAUAAAUGCCUCUACAAUAACCAUUCUUUCAUACAAUUAACAAUGAUGUACCAAUAGAAUCAAACAGAAAUCUUCAAAUUGAUAGCAAUGAACAAAAAAUUGAAUGGGAAAAAAAUUGAAACAUUCUAUCAUCUGUGAAUUAGCAUAGCAAUAAAAGGAGAGUGUCAACUAACCUCCAUGUUCAAUAAUAUCUUUUUGCUGAAAAGAAUCUCAAUGGUCUGAAAUACAGAGGUAAUUUCAUUAAAAAUAAUUCAUCUGAAAGAAGAUAGGGCCUAAAUCUGAGAAAAAAAUAUCUAUAGAAGAGUGGAAGUAGAGGUGUAAACAUGCAAAAGGAAUCAUGGAAACCCAUAUAAAUGCACAAUAUGCAACAGCAAAGUAUAGGCUAUUGAAAUGCAAAAGAUGCAAUAAAUACGAAAACAGAGAGAAUCUAAAAGCUGAAGAUAUAUCUUUCAAAAGCACAUGGGAAGGGCAUGUUUUUGUCUAGGGAUGAACCAUUGCAGAGUCUAGGACCACAAGAUAUAGCAUUCCACUUGGUUGAAUUUCUCAUCAAUCACAUUUUUCUUUCAUCAGUUUCAAUUCUCAAUUUUCGUUAAGAAAUCUAAAUAGUGGAGAAUGGCAACCCUGUACAAGAAACAGCAUAGUGGUGAUUAAAAAGUGCCUUUUGCAUUAGGUGAAAUAUGGAAGUAACCUAUGCCCCAAUGGGUAAGGAGAGAACAACGCAUAGACCCAACCAUGGCUAGAAUAUGGAUGUCUAGAGAUGAGCAUUAAUAUAUUCUUAAGGCUUCGUUUAAAGCAUUAUGAUUUGUAACAGAAGUUCCUUUGUGGUGAUGGGUAAUAGAUUCAAAACCAACAAACUCACUGGCAGAGUAACAUUGAUAAGCAUUGGAAAUAUGUCUAACUGCAAAAUCGAACCCAUAGUGCUAGUUGUUCCAAAUGAAAACACAAACUACUAAAAACAUAAGCUGUGAAAGCAAGAUAUAGCAAGAAAGUGAACUAUAAACAGUCCCCACCAGAAUGCCAGCAAAAUGAUCCUAAAAAUGUAGGUAUAUACUGACUUUAUUUCUGGUUAAUUUUAAUAUGAUAAUGUAUUGGUCUAGUUACUAUAAUGGUAUAGUGGGGGUUCAGUAGAUCUGGGUUCUAUCAGUGCAUGCAUGCACAAAACAACAGAACAGACUUACUUCCAGGGAUCAUCCCCAACAAGAAGUACAUCAUUCUCAUAAUCCACAUACACCAUUUUCCAACUUGAGCCUUUCUCGUCGUUGAGCACAUCUUCAACUCCAAGCAUGCAUUCAAUUGCCUAGCAUAAUUCUUCAUAAUUCUUAAAACUUGCAACAUCAAUUGACCUCCCAACUGAUCCCAUUUUUUGAACCUGCCAUAGCAAAAAAUGCCAUCAAAACCAGAACUCCCUGUUUUCUAAGAAAAAAAUCCACCAAAAAAGAAUGUAAAACAGUUCGUUGGCAAACAUAGAAACGUCAAUGUGUAGCGAAAUGGAGUUUGCAGUGACAUUAUGGUAGUAACAAUAUGUUAAAACUAAACUGGGCACACACUGGAUCAAGGAGGCAUGUAGGAGUGUUGUUGACUUGUUUCAAUAUACUUCAGGUGGUAAUGAUGGGCAUGCCUCAAUCUUUUUGAUGAAAAAGAGACAAUGUAGUCAUUUAAAGAUAUACAAAUUGUUAGUUAAAAAAAAUUUGUAUCAGCAGAAAUAAUACAUGGUACUGUAAAACAUACCACAAGGUGAGUCUACCACAAACCAGUACGCAUGUGGCACACAUAUAGAGACCAGGAAUCAAUAAUAAGUUAAUGUCUAUAUGGAAAUGAGCUCUCAAAUACUACUCUAUCAUGAGACAUUGCAUCUAUGAAUUUACUUGACACAUUGUUCUUAACACAAAUUUUUAUGUUUUAAACAAAAAACAAAAUUUGCCGAUGCUAAAUAUACUGAUCACUUCCAAUCAGGCAAGAAAAUAUUCAACCUCAGAUACUAAGUCACACCAAAGCUUAUGGGGAUCCCAAUCCAUUUAUAUGGAGCCAGGAUUGUGGCUCUACAAUGAUUGGCCAAUGGUUAUUUAGCUGAUGAUUCCUAUACAAUAUCCUAAAUUAAAAAGACCUACAGGAGAAACAAAUUAGAACAAGUGAUCUAGAGUUAUUCAGUAUUGGGGCAGAUUUAGUCCAGCGCCACCCAGAAACCAUGCUUGCACUUUUAACCGACAAAAUAAUUUAUUACAGGACAAAAUAAGGAGAGUUGAUUUCUAUAGUAGGAUUGAUAAGUUACCUUCUCAUUUACCAAUUCAGUGAUGACAGAUGCACAUUGCUGCAAUGACUUAAUCCUUGUCAUGCAGUGAGUUGAUGGUUGCUCUAAAGCAUCUCCUAUAUCCAUGGAUCCUUGUGAAGUCCCAGAAGAUGCCGAGCUAUGACUUUCCAAGCUUCCAGUAUAACAUGUGUUAGUGAUUCCUGCACCAGCAAUUGGCAUUGGUGCACUUGAUUUGGUCUUCAUAUUUACAGAUGUUAGAGGGGCACUCCCUGAUUUGCAUUGUGAAUGACUUGGCUUGGAAGCAAUAGCUGAGGAAGAUGAUACAUCCAUUGGGGGUCCAGAUACAAAAACAUAAUCUUGAUCAACCAACUCCUCCAAUGAAUCCACAACUGUGGAAUCCAUACAAAUAAGAUAAUAAAAAAGAACAUAAAUUUUAGCAACACGUUUUUUUUUAUAAUAGAAUAUUAAAAUGAGCAAUGAAAUAUUAUUGAAAACAUUGGUACCUCUUGAACAACUUCUCAUUGGUCUUUGUUCCAUGGAUUUUAGAGGUUCUUUGACAUUCUCAUUUGAAGGCCUAAGAUUGUCAAUCCUAAAGCCAGUAAUUUCUGGUUUAUGUGAUGUACUGUUGUAUUUAAAAGCAGGAUCCGUGUUGUUCGAAGUGUUAAAUAUUGUUUCCCUUAUAUCAACUUUGUUAUCAAGAGAAAAUCCAUAGGUAGACUUCAUUGAGGACCUCUUCCUCAAAAAUGAUGGGCUCCCUUCAGCACCACUAGAAUCAUCAUCUAGAGGAAAAGACAUACAAUCCUCUUGAGAACUUGCCUCUGUUUUUCUCACAGGAUUGCAUUCAGAAAAAGGAAACCCAUCAUUUAUUCUUGAUGAUCUCCUACUAUUGCAUGCCACGAAGGAUUUUAACAUGAGUAAAUAAUGAAAAUAUCAUAUGCCAAGAUCGAGAAGAGUAAAAAAAAUUUUCUCCUUUACCUUAACGCUUCAUCUGGUUGCUUUUGAGAAAGGAAUAGGUGGUUAAACAACUCUUCAAAUGUUAGUCGUUCCACUGCAUAUACAAGGACAUAGAAGGGUCAAAGAGCUAUUCAACCUCAAUAAGCCUUUAGUUUUAGAACUACAGUGAUUUCUUUUUGGCACAAUCAGAUAUCAUAUAUGUUUCACUUUUGUAUCAUCUUUAGUUGUUUUAGGCUUUUCACUUGGUGCCAUUAAGAAUUCCUAGCAACAAACAGGUUUCCCCAAUAAAACACACACACACACACACACACACACACAUAUAUAUAUAUAUAUAAAUGCUGCCAGUUUCGAGCUAAAUUCUGUGAAAUACCUGGAUUGCGGCGCAGCAAUUUCUGACACAAAUCUUUGCAGUUAGCACUCAAAGCAUUAUUAUCAGGAGGGAAAUGCAAUUCACUAUAUUUAACAAUGUUUUGGAGCAACUGCUCAAGAAACAAGACAAAAGGUUAAUCAAGGAAAAGUUAAGGGCACAAAGAAAGACAAAUUAAACAUAGCUACAGAAUUAUUACUACUUAAAUUAAACACAAAAAGAAUCAAUAAUUAAACCAAGUUGAAAACCCAACCACUACAAAUGAUUAUUUCAGAUGUGCUAAAAAAAAUAAAAAGAAAAAAAAAACCUGUAUAUGAUUGUUUCUUGUAAACGGUGUUCUUCCAGUCACAAGUUGAAAGAUAAUGGCACAAACACUCCAGAGAUCUGCCUGCGUAUUUGGUUGAAGUUAAUAGGAGAAGGUUAUGCGAGAAAAUGGAUGGAUUCUUACAGAUGGAGAAAGUAAAUAUCACCUUUGCGUCAUAUUUCUGAAGUUGCAUUAUCUCUGGCGCCAUGUACAAUGGUGAACCACACAAUGUUUCUGCAAGACCUCUAGGUUGUAGAGAUCUGCCAAAAAAGAAUCGGAACAUAUAAACUUAUUGAAAGGACCUUAACUAUAUAACCCAUUUAGCUGUACUAGAAACUAGAAACGUUAAACAAAAGGAUUUUUAAAAUGAAAGAGAACAGGUUUCAUUUCAAUGAAUAUUUACACCCUUUGAAAUCAGCAAUCUUCAAUACUGAAUUGUUGUCAUUUGUGGAGAGAAGAAGAUUUUGUUCCAAGUAAUACAUAUGCCAAAUGGAAUUAGAUCUUAUGCAAUGCCUCUUUUGCACAGGAUGUACAACAUAAAGAAUACCCAUCACUAAAAUUCCCAUCGUAUUUGCAGAGGAUAUAAAUUUUGAUGGGCAUGCCCUAUAGAAAAUUUAAAAUCAUGACAAAGUCAAACACAAAACAAGAGCCAAUAUAUAUAUUUAUAACUUUUUUAUUAAAAAGAAAAAGUAGACAAGAAAAAAAGCAUGCCUGGGAUUGUAGAAAAUGGUAAAUGGGCUUCGGUUAGCCGCAGCAUGAGAUGUAGCUGCAAGAACUCCAAUAUGCAGGCUAUCAGUGGACAGAACUGAUGAUGGCAAUGAUGUUUGUUGACGGUUUGCACGCCUCACACCAAACAAUAGCUGUGAUUUCUCUUCUCUUGUGAUGACAAUGAAUACAAGAUAAUGAGGUUAGCUAAAAUAUAUUUUUUAGAAUGCAAUAUAUUAUUAAACAAGCAUUAAACAUGUGCCUAUGAAAUAGACUUGAGUGAUUGUCCAAUAUGGAUACAUCAUACAAGGGUCAAAACUUUCAGAUGUCCUAAGAGUUUCUUUCGACAGUUUCAAGGAUGACAAACCACAUUAGAAACUUUCCCAAUAUUGGCACAGGUUGUCACCAAUCUCAUACACAAGAUGUUAAAAACAGAAUAAGGGAAAAAGAAAAAGAAAACCUAAUUAUUGCGUGCCUACAUAAUCAGAACAUCAAACUUGAAUUCUGGUUUCAUAAAAACUUGGAUGCAUAAUAAUCAGUCAACUAAAAUGAAGCCAUUAUUUGACGUCUACCUAGACCACAUCUAUGUGGAACCUAAUCAUACUUAAGCUAGAAAUAACUUUUUAUGAAAAUUUCCAAUGAAUGUUAUAUAGUACCUAGUUUAUGAUCAUCUUCAAACUUAAGCAUGGCGUGUCAUGAUUAUCAAGAAAUAAAGGUUCCCUCACCAUCAGCAAUUUGCUAUCAUUCAAGUUUAAAUACACUUAUGUUAUUAUUCACAGCCAAAUAUCAAUGAUUGGGGUCAAGAAAGGGGAAUAUCUCAUCAUGAUUAACAAAAAUAUUUACCUCGAUGUUGCCUACAUCCCACAUUGGUUGCCUGCAGCUAUUUUGAUCAUCUAACAUAUUUCCAGCCUGCUUGUUACAAUGAAAAGGUGAUAACUCACUGGUUUUUGUUCUCUAUCUUUCAGAACUGUUGGAAAAUGAAUGUUGAAUGUCCUCUGGUUUUCCUUUUUCCUUGCCAGAGCUGCCUUCAAAGUACCAAUCUGAAAUAAUAGUUCAAAGUUUUCAGAAUAAUAAAUAAGAAUUGAGAAGAAUGAUAAAUAAUGAGAGCAUUCAGAACCUGUUCUUUCAGCUCUUUCACAUCUGCACUAUCCUUGUUUACACGAGCAGCAUCAAGUUCUACAGUGGCAAAUCGCUCUGCAAAUUUAACUGUGCUAAUUGUUUCUCCAUCAGCAUCCGGUUCAGGGCUAAUGUGAACAAACAUUAGUGUCUUGGCUUGCCCCCCUAAAGAGAAUUACAAUCCAAAAGCCAUAUUAUAAUUUAAAAAAUAAAAUUAAAGAAAACAGAAUCAAAUAUGAGGUUCAUACUCUGAAAAUGCAUUAGUUUAUUCUUACCAAGUGAGUCUUGAAGAAGUUUUGUUACUUAACUAUUCCUGUAAGGGACAUGUGGACUCUUCUGGGCAAGGGCAGAGAUGACAUCCCCUAAAACAGAGAGAGAUCUGUUAAUAUGCUGUGCCUCCUUUAGUCUAUCUCCAUUGACCUCAAAUUUGUCUACUCUCUCACUGUCGGCCUGAUCAACAAGAUGCAUACAGCCACGAAGAAUAGUUCCUGACAUCAAGUCUCUUCCUGAUUCAUUCUAAUAAUAUUUAAUUCUCUCUAUUUACUUAUUAUGCAAUCACAAUCAACUUAAGUUAAAAAACAAUCAAACUCUGACUAAUCCCAUAAUCCCAGUGUUCAUUUCCGCAUAUGACACCAAAAAAAAAUUUAAAGAACUACAUUUGUCCACCAUAAAUUACAUACAAAUGUUAGCACUUUAUACAGUUUUAUCACAAAUUACAAUCCCCUUUAAUCUCUCCGGACAUGGUCUCGGUGUGCAUUUUGUGCUGAAAGCAACAUACUCCCCAUAAUCUUCAACCUGUAAUGUUUCAAUUUCCCCUGCAUUCAUUCAAGUUGAUAGCAACAAAUCAGCAAAUUAAUUAAUUAGGCUUUUCUAACUAUUUUAACAUUAAUGAGAUAGUCAUAGAUAAUUCCUCCUACGUACCACAUCGAUUGAUUUGGAGAACCCCCCCAUUGACCACAAUUCCAUGAAUUUCAUUACAAAAACUCCGCAAUCGUGCCUACGUCAAUAUAAUUACCAAAACGUUAUUAAGUGUGGAAUUAUAAAUAAGAGAUGAACUUAAAAUAAGUUGCAAUCCUAUACAAUAUCCCGGACUGCAAGGUCAACACUCACUCAUUAGGUUGGAGGGGUACAUCAGGUGUUAUGAAAUUCAAUGUCCUCAAAUCAUAAGGUGAUACCUCUUUUUUGUGGGCAGCCAACCACAAGACAACCUUGGCCUGAAACAUUUAUUAACGCAACAAUUGAAAUUUUUAUGGGAAGACAUACCUAACAAAUUAUUAGUUGUUGCUUGUUACUUUACCAGAUUUUGUUGAACUCCACUCAACAUUGUCUUCUUCCUACCAGGACGAGAAUCUAGCAGUUGGAUUCUCUUGUUUGCUAGGUCAUAUACGUACAAUGUCCAAUGGUUCUUUAUGAGAACCGGUAAGAAGACCUGCACCAAUAGACUGCCAUUAAACAUACAUCUAAAUAUUGUACCUUCAUGCAAUAAAAAUACAAAUCCAAGCAUUAAACAUAGGAAUCCACCUCGUUAACAUUGACAUAUGGAAUAUCCAUCUGAUACAGAUGUGGUUCAAAGUGUCCUAUAACUACCUCCCUCACUAAGUGUUUUGCUUGGGAGUGGAUUAUCAUUUCCUGCAUGUCAAAUAGGGGAUAAUAUCAGGUUUGUCAUUGUAGGUGAUGCUUGGUUCAAGACAAAAAAUAAAGUUAAGCAAGGAUUUAAUGGAAUAGUAAUCAUUACAGCUAUGUAGGGGGAUAGAAACAGUUUCGACUUCGAUUCAUGUUCAUACUGCAACAAUCUACAGUAGGCAUCGACGACCUGAUUUCAUAUAUCAUAAAAGUGUAAGCAACUAAUUAUAUUAGAACCACACUUUCAUUUUCAAACUUAAAAUAAUGCAUAAAGAGGGAUAAGAAGUGAUAUGCACGUCGCUUCCUAUCCACCCAUUCCCUUCGAAGCAGCCCAAAUUACCUCUGGUUAGGAUAGUGUCAUGCAUAGACACUAGUUCCUCAUUGUUACAAACACAUACAAUUUAGUUUUUAUGUUUUCACGAUCAUACAAUGAGAGGAGUGUCAUUGAAGUAUGUUACCUAGCAUCCAAAUCCUCUCCAAAUACCAGUGCAACUGCUUGUUUUAGGUCGAUUUUGAUGGCAGAUUGUUUGGUUUGUGGUUGGGAUAUGUAUGGGGACAACAGGUUUGGAGCCAUUCGACACACUCGACGUUUUCGGACGUUCCUAUUUGUGGGGACAACAUUACCUUCUGGUUGUUCUUCACCAUCUGCAAUACGAGAUUUAGAACUAGUCAGCAAAGGUAUACAUUAUGAUUGGGUACUUGGGUUGUUAACCAUAUGGGUGUUUGCAUAAAUUUUAUCACUUACUGCUUACUACAUUAAUGGGUACACUGGACUGCAACUCAUACUCAGGGGCGACAACGCGAUCUGGUGUGUCUAGCACAUGGUUUGCAGCAUGCGAAGCCAUGUACUCAUCACCAAGAAAUGCAUGGUCAUUGGUUGUGGGAGUGUUGGCUGGUGCAUAGCUAGAGUGACCACCCACAUCUGAAUUUACCCCACUAUGUCUUCGAGUCCCUAACUUAUGCAUAAGGCCACACAUUAUUCUCAGCUGCUGCUGAAUGCCCCGUUGAUAUUGGUCAAUUGCUCGUUCUGCAUCAUGAUAUUGAUGCCAUAUUUCCUAUGACAUGAUAUUGAUGUCAAUUUUUGAGAACAAAAUGUGACAACAACAUAUUUCUUUGUAGUUAAGAAGUAAAAAUAAAUUACAAUGACAAUGAAAUGAACAUUUAUUAAGUUUUUAAAAAAUUAACAACUUACAUCACUAUUUUCAGCAUCAACAUUUGUGUCAUGGUCCACAUUAGUCUCUGGCUCCAUAGUUCUCUCUACGGUUGGAGAUCUCUAGGACGCCUAUAAUUAGCACUGAAGAUUAGUACUUAAAUAAUGAGUGUUAUGCUGGUAAUGACAAUAUAUUUAUGCAUGCAUCACUUACAAAAUCAAUCUCAGCAUGUCCGAAUGCUCCAAACUCCUUUAUCUCAGCGACUAGUCAUCGCUUAAUCAAAUCAUCGGUCCAUGCCAAUGCUGGGGGCACUGUAAUGGGGACUUGGACUGAAGGAAUUUGGAAUUUAAUGACAUAAUGCAGCUGCAUAAUAAAUACAAACAUCAGUAGGCAAAUGUGACUAUGUUGUGCAAUAAAAUUAUAUAACAAAAUGGAAGACAAAGAUUGAAUAAGUUCACUACCUGUAGAAAUAAAACGCAGCCAUGUACCCAAGAGGUGUUAGACUGUUGGUAUUGCCUAAUUCCCUCAAUUAGUUGGUCAAGCACAAACUGGGCCCAAUUAACGUCAUUUCGGAAUCCAUCCUCAUGGAUGGUAUGCCACAAGUUACGGCAACCAUUGAGCCUAGAUGUGGGGGCCAACAAUGUGGCACAUGCGUAGUAAAUGAAUGCUUUACGGAACUCCUCGCCUAUAGGUAAGUUCAGGAGUUUCUCCUCGCAUGCCCGAAUAGUCCCAAAUGGAUGCUCUGAUGAUGUAGAGGUCACCUGCAAAAUCCGCCCUUCUGUUGGGAGGCCGAAAAUGAGGCCAACAUCGGUGGCUGUAACAGGAUAGUGUUUCUGGGCUGAGAACUCUAUCCGUCUAAAUCCAACAUUGAAAUGUUGGAUUAGAAAGAUACAAAUGUUGUGGCGCACCUCUAUGCAGUCUAAGUUUAAGAGACCUCCAAAUUGGAGGUCUCUUAUGGCUUGUAUUUUUUCCUCUGGUAACCGGUUGUAGAGUUUCUUAAAUCUUGCAGCUGAGCAUCGUGUAAACAUUGAUGUGCCCUGCAUGCAAUGUUUGACAACAUGGACAUGUUAGGAAUAGCGACAUUUUUGCAAUUGGUAAUGCAAAAAAUAAGUGAAAAAGUAAAGCUGUCAUUUCUCAAAGUUACAAAGACUUGUCUGCUUGUAUUUAGAAAUAAUAUACAACAGGGUAAGACAUUAGAUGGGGUUGGGUGCUACUGACAGUGAGAUAUCCUGUAAGAAGGAGGAUUGUAAAUUUAUGAAUAAGCCUAUAUAGAAUAGACAAUAACAGUAAAAAUGUACAGAAUAGACUAUAAAAGUACAAAACUAAAUAUGAGAAUACUACAUGAUAUAUAAAAGAAAGAAAUCAAAUCAAUUUAUGGAAAUAAAUUGACUAAUUCUAUUAGAGAAAGAAACCAUCAAAAAAUCAAUGAAUAAUCCUAUUUAAUUCUCAUUUAGAUUGUAAGACAACUUGAUAGAACAAAAAUCCUUGGUAAUGAAUUUGUGAUCUUCAACAACAACUAACAAAUGGAGUGAACAGAAAAUGCUAUGGAAAAGCAGAUUUCUUUCAUUGCCUUAACAUGCUUACAAUAAAAUGCUUGAGAAAGUGGAAAUAAAAGCUCACAAACUGAAAGGCCUUGUAUUCGUAUUCCCUCGCACACACUGGGUUUUGUGUCAGGAAUCAUCUUUACAAUAAUUCUAUUCCCCCAAGUGUUUUCCACUAUAUUGAACAACAUGGUGGCUACUAAGGGUCUUGCAUUCAUGGAUGUGAGCAAGAGAAAAAACUCAAAGAGAUCUCUUUGUUUUCCCUGUUCUUUUCAUUCUUCUGGCUAUUUAAAAGGGGUUUAACCUGCUCCUUUUGAUACUUCUGACAUACACAAAAUCUAGAGGAACUGCUAGAGCAAGCACUAUUAUGUGGUGAAGCAUUACACUAGGUAAGGAAGUUCAUUUUGACUUAAAACUUUUAUAGGUUUUAUAAAAUAUGGUUUGAGGUGACACAACCGAACAUACUUUUAGUAUAUCCAUUAGCAUUAAUCCCAUCCCCAUCACCAUUCCUACCACAACACCUCUCUUUAUCCUUUCCUCUACCCUCCUCCCUCCUCCUAGAGGACAUGGUUUUUGCCUAUCCCCACAGCUAUAUAGCGAAGACCAUUAGAUCCCUAAAGCAUAAUUUUAUAUGGCGUUAGUGAUUCGUGCCCAGUCGGUGUAUCAACUGAUUCGUGUCCAGCUGGUAUCCUUGAUUGCGGGAGUAAUCAACAAAAUUUAUAACCUAUUACACCAUGAACUAGGGUAGCAAAGACAAAGCUACUAAAGCAUAGUGGCUUUAGGAUCGUUCAUUGGGAUGGGUUUUCACUUCACAAUUGAUAUUAAUUCAAAGCUGAAUUGGUGUCUUUUCAUUUCAAGGUUAGCUUUAAAAGAAAACAUAAAGAUGUUUGAAUGAAAAAGGUUUGGUUUUAAACUAACCAAAAAUUAGUAACUGAUUUUACUUACAAGGAAAAGUGUUUCUUGGAGUUUAGAUCACUAGGAUCAGAUUCCUUGAACAAAAAGGGAGUUCCGGUCACUUGUUUAUUUUCCUCGCAUUGGGGAUUUAACAUAUAGUUAUUUCCCAAAUCGGUAUUGUACAGAUGCUUCCCAUUAAUGGGUUCAAACACUAAAUCUCUCUCACUUAUGCACCUUGCAAUGGCUCAUACCUCUCACCUAGCACUUGCCAUUCAAGGUGAUCUUUAACCUUGGAUUAUCCGUCAAAAGCUCACAAGAGAUAACUAAUGGAUGUCUCCUUAGAGUCCAAAAGCUUACCAAGUGUUGGCUAUUCUAGAAAAUCCUACCUUCAAACCACCUCCCAAAGGCUCGCAAGAGAUAAACUAGUGCAUCUCAAUGGAUGGAGAUCACUUGCCUUAUCAAGUGUUGGCCCAGGUGAUUUAAAGGCGUUUUAAGUUAAACUAAAAAGAUAAAAACCAUUAACGGGUCACACUUUCUCUUCAUUAAAAACUAAAACAACAAAACUUCCAAUUUAUGCAUGUGGAAACUUACCCAACUUUCCUUACUCCAAGAGACGAAGAGUCUAGCCUCUCAUCCUCUGAGGAAAAAUCCUCAGAGUUUGAUUGGCUAGAAAGAAAAAGAAUGAGAAAACAAAAGCAGAGCAAGUGCUCUGUAUUUUACUUCCUUGCAAAACUGUACAAAGGAUUGAUCUCUGAGAACAAACUCCUAGGAUCUAUGAUCGAUAAUAUAUUCGAUAUAUUUUUUAUAUAUUUCAUGUAAAGGAAAUUACAAACUAUAUAUAAGGGUUUAUUCACCCUUUUUCCAAACUUAAUAACUAAGGAAUCCUAUAAUUGGUGGGCUACAAGGAGACUUUGGGAAUUUAGACAUAAAAUAUCUAAAGCAAAAUAUCUCAAAAUAUUUAGAGCAAAAUAUCCCAAAGUGUCGGUCGUAAAUAUCUGGAAGCUUCAGGAGAACACCGCAGCACUGUGCAAAAUGGCUGCUCUCCCAUUCGGGUAGGCGGCUAUCAGAUGAUCCGGAUACGUCCGUCCGAAGAAGUUGAAACACUCUCCUUUUCUAUCCGGCGUCAGAAUUCCGGACGUGAACAUUCGGGUGGAAGUGGCGGCAGCCAGGUACAAAUUGGCGGCAGCCGGGUACAAAUUGGCGGUAGCCGAGUCCAAAAUGGCGGCAGCCGGGUGCAAAUCCUAUCCAGAUAUGUGGUCCGGACGCCCUCCGAUGGUGUAUCCGGACGCCCUGUCCAGGUAUACUCCUUACAUGGAUUCCAAAGAACUCUCCUCCAUCUCAGAUUUGCUUUGGUGAUCAAAAAGCUAUCAAAACACCAAAACUUAACAUACUUUGAUUAGAAUUGAUUGCAAGGGUCCUUAACAUGCCAAUUGAGUUAAAAGGUGGUAACUACUACUCAAAAGUGUUUAAAAGAGUUAGUUACAAGCUAUGAAAUAUCACUUUUUGAGUAGUAAUCAUUUAGUGAACCACAUUUUCCAUAUUACCAAAUUGUACACAAAUAUUACCCGACAACUUACAAAACUGAUAUAAUAGUAUUUAAUAAAUAAACGUUGAAUUGUUAAAACUUCAAUAUUAGAGAACUUUCCAACAUAACUUAUACAUGGUAACUAUAAUAAGGGGAGAUGAAAUUUUAUGAAAUUUCAUGCAUAAUAUAUAUAUAUAUAUAUAUAUAUAUACUAACUUAAAAGGUAUCUCAAAAUGAAAAUUUCAUAAAAUGAUUUCAGAUUAUAUAUAAACAAGGGAGUCAUUUGUUCACACCAAUUCUAAUAUGUAAAAUAUCAUAAAAUGAAAUUUUACCCAUUUUGAUACCAACAUGCAUUCUGAUUUAUGUUCUCACAAUACAUUAAAAUUGCAUGACUAUAGAUUAUAAGUUCUUGUGGCACUCUACUAGAGAAGCCAAAACCUCUCAAAUAGUAUGUUGGCAACGGAAGAAUGCAAAAAACAACAAAGAUAAGCAAGUAUGAUGAACCAUACCGAGAGUGGGAGUGAACUGGCAGCAGAACCAUCUAGGUCAUUACCAGCCAUUGUUAAUAUUAUAACUGCAUCAUUGGGCAUAGAAAAGUAGAAUGUUAUGCACAGCUAAACUGACCAACUGAAUAACUAAACAGCAAGUAUAGUACAAUACUAUGAAAGUUCAGCUAAGUGACAAGAAAAAUGCACGCAUCCAAUGAUGUGAGUAGGACAUACUUAAAAUAGGGAAGUGAAAGUAUACAUCAAGUUAAAAGAUACCACAUUGAAAGUGCAAUUUCAAAUUAAAUCAGUAAUGAAAGCAACUCCAAAUAACGAAAAUUAAAAAGUAGUCUUAUAAAAAAAAAAAAGUAGUGCAUCGUGUCUAUAAUAAGGACAAUACAUAACAUCCAAAAGCAACAACCCCAUGACCAUAAAGCAAAUAAUGGAACAAUGAGGGAUCGUACACAAAAUGAAAACCUUACAAGCAAAGAAAUGAACAUGUCACGACAAUGGAUUAUUACAUUUAGACCGAUUGUGACCUAUGCCAUUGCAUCGAGAGCAAUGAAUAGCUCUCUUAUGGCUAAAUUGUGACUCAAUACGCCUUUGUCGGGGUCUUCCUGGAGGACGUCUCACUUGCGGGGGUUGGAGACUAGGAAAUACGUUGCCUUGGCCAUCUUGCAAAGUCCCAGCCUCACAAACUUUAGGCAUGUUGUGUGUUGGUAAUGGUUGAAACUGACCCGAGUAAAUCAAAUGUUGGGUGGAGACUUUAAAACAUGGGUCGAUAUAGUCAUACACAUCGUGUCUCAAUGUGCGGAUCACAGCACAUACAUGUGGACAUGGCAACCUGGACAUUUGCCAUGUUAGACAUGUACACUUAUGUUGCUGCAUAUCCACAACCAAAUAAACAUCUCCAGUAAAAACCUUGAACGUCCCACCCAAAUAGGGCAUCACAGUAAUCGGAGCAGAUCUCGUGAUAUUUGACAUUAGCUUUUCCUCUGUUUUAGGUCCAACCACGCUCUUCCACUUAUCUGUACCACGCAUAUGGGUGUCCAACAUGGCUACAAGCUUAUCCAUGUGCAUCAACAACAACAUAUAAAUUGUUUGGUGUCGUUCCUCUCUUAACCACGCAUUGAAGGACUCUGCAAUAUUAGUUGUCAUUUUAUCCCAAUGUUUUUUAAGGAACUUUGAUAUCGCCCAAUGCUCCGGACUAUUCUCCGCAACCCACCUUGCUAGGUCGCCAUUAAAAUGCACAAGUUUUUCAAACGCCUCAUUGUAGUCUAUAUCCAACCGAGCAUAUGCAAUGUUGUCUAAAAGCAGCAAAACAUCUUCUUUCCCUUUCUUUUCCCUAAUGUUUUGCCUAUUGAAGAAGCUUGAAAAGUUCUCUUUCACAUGUCAAUAACAAUAGGCGUGAUUUUCUACCCCAAACAACUCCGAAACACUACGCAAUAUCCCUUGAUGUCUAUCUGAUAUAAUAAUUACUUCUUGACCAUCUAGGAUCCCCUUCAAUUUCUCCAAGAACCAAUACCAAUCCUCAUAAUUUUCUGAACCAACCACACCCAAGGCUAGAGGGAACAUUCCAUCAUCUGCAUCAUAUGCAAUGGCAGACAAAAGAGCUCCUUUGUAUGGACCACUUAGGUGGCAAGAAUCAAUAGCCAAUAUCGGUCGAUACCCCAUGGUGAACCCUUGAAUUGAAAAUGCAUGGGCAAUGAACAAUUGCUUGAAGUGGCCUUCAUGAGAAGUGUACUCGACAAUAGUUCCAGGGUUAAUUUCCCUUAGCCUAUGGCAUAACCAAGGCAAAAACGCAUAGGACGCACGUGGAGAUCCAUAUAAACGCUCUUUUGCCUUCUCUUUAAGAUGCCAUGCUUGGUUAUAAGUCAAUUGAACUCCAUGAUCACGUUCAAAAUCCUUGCAAAUUUGUCGAGGAAGGUAUUCUGGAGUUGUUCUAAACACGUCUUCAACAACAACAACACCUCUCUUGGAAGAAACCCGCACCUUAGAUGAACACUCAUCUUGAGCUAUAUGAUUAUGAUUAACUUGGUAAGUAUAAACUCGCAAUAUUUCAUUUCCUUCAACAGCAUGAGCUGUUAUCUUCCAAGGACAAUCCUCAACCGAACACUUUACUGACAUAUGAGUAGGUGAAUUUUUCUUGUACUUGUAUUGAAACCUUCCAGCUAAUGACAUUUGGUAUAUUGCAUUCCGAAACUCAUCUUCAUUCUUAAAUGUAUGUCUGGAACCUAAUAUUGCCUCACGAAACCGAUUCGAUUCCAAAGGGGUGUACUCACUAUCUGCACAACGCGAUGCAAAACCUCUUGAUAACAUCAUAGUAUUAGGACUUGCAUCGCAUGAUGCAUUAGACGAAGGAAACGUAGGAUGUGGACCUCUGCAUUUACAUUCAUAACCAAAAUUAGACUACAUAAUGCGUAAAAUUGAUAUUCAUAAAAUUUUAAAUAGACAUCCAAGUGAAAACGCAUUACCCAAGUGCCAACUGUGUAUUCGGUAUAUUUGCCUCUAUGGCUUCCACAUCGGGUGACUCGACUAUGUACACAUUUGCAAAGUCAUCACUGUGGGAAACCACGUUAUCCAAGUCAUCCUCAUCUUCUAAAUCUUGGAUGACUCUAGGGUUAAACUUGAGGGUGUAGUGCAUCCUCCUCACAUGAAGGGAAAUGUCGAAUUUUUCUAAGACCUUGUGAGUGAAUUCUUCAAAUGCCAUUCCUUUAUAAAUGUGAAUACCUUUGCUUCUUCCACCAACAUAUUCCCAAAGGCCAUCAUUUUUUUGGACAAGUUUGCCUCCCACGAAAAUAUAACAGUAUAUUCUAUUUGUGGCAUCCAUCAACCUAUUGAAAUAAAGCACAAAUUUAUAUUGUUGAACAAACAAUAAUGCAUAUUCAAUGUGAUCUUAAAAGUUUUUUCAUCUCACAAUAUACUAUGUUCCCAUAUGAAAAAGUUAUAUUUUAAAAAAUGUAUAUACAAAAAAAUGUAACUUUAAAGUCUUAAAAAAUAAUUUUUGUUGCUCCUUUUGAUUAUUCUAACCAUUGUCAACAGUAAGAUUAUUUUAAGAUAGGCACUAAUAAACAAACAGUGAGUUGAACUAAGAUAUGAAGACCGAGCUUCUCUCUUCUCUUGGACUGAUAAAUACUACCUAACCUAAACAAAACUAAAAAUAAUAAUAAAAAUAAAAAACAAAAAUGAGAAAUGUAAAAUUGGAAUGGAAAUUAAAAGAUUGAAAUUAAUAGAUUAAAACAAAUCAUUAAAUUAAAAACUAAGAAAGGCUAUAAAAGGAAAAAAAAUGAAAGAUUACAACUAAAAACUAUGUUACUUCUACUCCUACUUCUAAAAAAAAAUCUCUAACUUAUUUUCCCUAUCAUUCCCCUUUACUUAUAUAUUCAUAGUUCACAUUUUUAUAAGCAAAAACCUCUCUCUCCAACUACUUUAGUGCUACCCAAUUUGACACUACUACUUACCUAUGCUAAUAAUCUAAUCGUGUCAAUACUUGGAACUUUAAGACAAAACAUCACAACAAUAUCUAGUAAAGUAGGAGGAUUUUGUGUCUGAUUUGACAUAAUACUCCAGAACAUAUAUAUAUAUAUAUAUAUACACCAAAAAUAUUGGAAUUAUGGAACUAUAAGACAUUCAAUAGGAAAUAAUCCCCCACGUUUUAUUAAGCUCUGACCUAUACUUACACUAGGUAGAAAACAAAUUCUCAUUCUCACUCAAACCCUUAGACAAUUUCUAUUGGUACUACUAUAUCAGACAUGCCUACAAACUUAUUCAAAGAGAAUGGAGAUAUUUAAAUAUUAAUUAUAAAGCGUUGCUUUGCAAAAUAAUAUGAAGAGAUAAUAGCCUAAAAAAUGUAACAAAUAUAGAAUUCUCUUCUAAACUAUCAUGUCCUACUUUAGAUGAUUCAUACAAAACCAUAAGCAAUAGUUUAACACAUUUAAGGUUUAAGGGUAAAAAAAACUAAUAGAUAAAAAGAGAUAAAUCUGUUACUUGUGCCUACAUCUCAAGCCAAGGCACCAUAAGAAAACUUUAGGGUUUUUAGGUUUUCCAUUUCCCCUUUCCAUUUUUCCUCUCCUGGUUUCUAGCAACCAAUUAAACAAUUAUAAAUUAUUUUCAAGUAUAUAUGACAAUUUUUCACAAAUAUUUUUUUGAAUUUAAAAUAUACAAAUAGCAUGAAAAAAAAAUCUAAAAAAAAUUACAAAAAUAAAAUCAGAUCGAUUAAGCCAUGAAUCAUGAGUUGCAGGUAAAGUGCAUUUUCUGUAUUCUCAAGGCUUAAAGAAAAAAUUAUGGUUCAAAAUUUUUCCUUCUUUUUCUCAUUAUUUUCUCAGCAUCCGAAUAAUAGUAGCAAACCAAGAAGUCAAUUAUUGAAUGGGAAUAGUAACUUGAACUCCGGAGAUCAAGUUGAACACAGUUUAGAGAUUUGGACUAAGAAAAUUUUAGGUCGAGAUUUAGGCAAUCUACUAACCUCAAAUAUGCAACAAGAGAGACCCAACUGAAAUCCAUACCUUAUUCAAAUUUUCGAGAGAGACGAAUGCGAAAAAAAAUGAAAGAGCCACAGAGAUUGAGAUGCAAGCGAUGGAGGUGCUCGGGAGGAAGAGAAGAAAAAGGCUUCUAGGCUUGAAAUGUUGAAGAGAGACCAAAAUUAGGGCAAAUUUCCAAAAAGCCGCAGAGAUUGAGAUGCAAGCGAUGGAGAAACUCGGGAGGAAGAGAAAAAACGGCUUCUAGGCAGAGAAGAAAACGGCUUCUAGGUAGAGAAGAAAACGACUUCUAGGCAGAGAAGAAAAUGGCUUAUAGGCUUGAAAUGCUGAAGAGAGCAAAAUUAGGGCAAAAUUCCAAAGAGCCGCGGAGAUUGAGAUGCAAGCGAUGGAGGAACUCGGGAUGAAGAGAAGAAAACGGCUUCUAGGCUUGAAAUCUGAAGAGACACCAAAAUUAGGGCAAAAUUCCAACCUGGAUUUUUUUGUUUAUUAUUUUUUUUUCAUAAUCAGCAAAGGUUAUUUUUGGAAUUAAUAAAAGUGCAUAUCCUUCUUUUUAAUUUUGACACUUCCUAUGGGUUUUCAACUUAAAUGGGUCAGUUAGAUGGACCUUCUCUUAAUUUUUGGGCCCAACUGGGCCCAAAACACAAUUCUCCCAUAUAUAUAUCUAUACACACACAUGAUCCAUGGUUUAAAUAAAACAUUUCUUACAUUUACAAUAAUUUUAUUUUAAAGUAUUGUUAUUAUAUUACACCAAUGUUGUUAGGCCAUAUUUUGCUAAACAAAAUGAAAAAGAAAACACAUUAUUUGGCAAAUAUUUUACAACUAGAGGUGAUGAAGACUAAUGUUAGUAAUUAGGUUUGCCAUAUGUUUCAACAAUGUACAAUUAGCUCAAUCACUUGAAGCUUAUACCAAAAAUAUAUUUGAAUAAUAGACAAUUUUUGAAGGGUACAUAGUGAUAAUCAACUACCAAAUUAACAUAAACAUAAAAGUUGAAAGGACAAUUUUAAGGUAUAGAUGACUCUAAAAUAUCAAAAGUAGGUUGAGUAUCCAACUUAAUAUUACAACUUUUCUCACUUAAAUGACAGUUUACAUAUAACAAAACUAUCUAAAGAAAAAUAAUUGUUUGCCAACAUUUCAAAGAUAGAAUUCUCAAACACUAGUACCAAAAGAAAUCUUCAUCACCACUAAGAAUUCAUCAUUGUAUUCAAUCUGAAACAAGUAAAUACACAUAAUUAGCUCCAAUUUAAGCAACAUUUAGAUUUUCAUAAUGGACUAUAAACAACAUGUUCAAUAUUAUUAUUGCAAUUAUUGUUAUUAUUAUUAUUAUUAUAUAAUUAACAACACAAUAUUAACAAACUUGGUUAUAAAGAUUGUUUAAAUUCCUAUAGUUUUCAUACUUGUGGUAUUUAACCAUACUCAAGUGAGUAUAUUUGUCAAUAAAUUUAGAGUUUCCACUAACAACCUAUAACAAUUUAUAAUUUUAGCUGCUUGCUUGUAUAUUUUUUUGGAAUUCAACCUUGGAAAAAAUCACACGAAUCUUAAUCUUCCCUAUGAAAAUCACAUUCUGCAACUUCAAAGAGUUGAACCCAAUUAUAAACUCCCUCCAUCCUCUUUCUAAUGACUCAAACUAGGAGAUUGAUUACCCUAUGCAUUGUAUUUAGGAACUUAAUUGUAGUAAGGGAAGAGAAACAACUUAUAUUCAUAUGUAUAGUUGAAGGGUCUAAAAAUAUGCCUCUUACUAUAACAUGAUUUGAACAUUUAAAGCAAUAUACUUUUAGUAAAUCUAAGUCCAACAAGCCAACAAUUCAAUUUUUUUUUUGUAAAUUUAAAUCAUUAUUUUCAAUUCAAGAAGUUAAGAAAUAAUAUAAUAAAAUAUAAGCAUAAAAAGAUUAAUAGCUAACAAAUAUGUACGUAAACAUGGAUGGCCUUUCAUUACGUUGCAAUGAAAUUCAUCUUACCUUCUUUUUGCAUAAUGUUUAUUAUUUUGAAACCACAUCACCCUCUGCAAAAUAGCUGAAUUCAUUGUGAUGAUAAUCAUAACACACCAAAAAUACAAUGAAAUAAAAUAAAUAAAUAAAUAAAUAAACAAGGAAGAAAAUAAAGGAAAAAGAAUCGUAAGUGAUGUAAGAUAUGUCACCUUUUCAGCCAUGAACUCCAUCUGUUUCCAUCUUCCUUUUCAGACGAGCCACAUUCACUGCAGCGAAGACAUAUAACCUAUCUCUGGUUUCAUCAAUGAACCGGAAAUAAGCCUGCCUCCAAGACUUCUUUAGAGCCAAACUGCCACAUACAGCCCAAAAUCCCACCGGAAAGCCCAAUCCCAUGCUUAUGAAGAACCAUGACAGGUCCCAUUCAUCUUCAUCUUCCUCCUCAUCUGUGUGAUCUUGAUCAUUUAGAGUGGAGCAGUUGGUUGACAAUGGAGGCCCACAAAGUCCCAGGUUCGCCUCAUAAAUGGAUGGAUCAUUGAAUGUCGAGAACUGGUUGGUUGUUGGAAUUGGUCCUGACAGGAGGUUAUGUGAUAGGUUCAAAUGGUUCAAUGAGGUUAUAGAAGACAUGCUUGGAGGAAUUGGACCUGAAAGGCAGUUGCAUGAGAGGUCAAGAGUUUCUAGCCCUUGCAUGGUUCCGAUCUUCUCAGGUAUCUUUCCAAUCAAUUGGUUUUGGGACAAAUUCAAGGUACCCAGGGUCGAGAGAUUUGUGAUCUCUUCUGGGAUCUCUCCCCAAAUGUUAUUGCUAGAAAGAUCAAUCAAAUUCACAAUUGACAGUAUGCUAUCAAAUUCCAUGUCUUGUCCCUUCACAACUAGCUCCAUGCGCUCUGAAUAGGCAAAAUGACUCCCGGGGUUGUCAUCAAAUUCGAUGUCUAAUAAGGUCACAGAACGUAAAGCAGUCAAAUUGCCUAAGCAUUGUGGGAUGGAUCCUGAUAAAUUGUUAAGCGCAAGAUCCAAAAUGUGGAGAUAAGAAAGCCCACACAGUUGUUCAGAAUAUCUCCUAUCAACAUGUUGCCUCGUAAACGAAGUUGCCUCAAUGAUGACAUUUUUUCUCCAAUCCAUUUGGGUGUCUCGCCCGAAAACCUGUUAUUUCCAAGAUCAAGGGAGUGCAGCUCUGUGCAGUUUUGUAAGCUUUGAGAGAGUUUCCCAGAAAGAUUGUUGUCGCCCAAUAUCAAGUUAAAUAAAGAUAUUGAACACAUCGAACUUGGAAUCCCACCUGACAGUUUGUUCUUGGAUAGAUCUAUGGUGUCAAGAUUGUGCAAAUCAUUCCAAUUCUUUGGAAUCCUUCCAGAAAAAUGAUUGCUUGAGAGAUCAAUUUCGUUCAAAUCCUUUAGUUUACUAAUUGAUGAAGGGAUGCUGCCAUUUAACAACUUACCAGAAAUAUCAAGGACUUCCAAACUCGAUAAUUCCCCGAUGUUCAAGGGAAUUGGACCAGAAAAUAAAUUGUUUCCCAGAAAGAGCUCUAUCACAUUAAACCAAAGUGGGAAUCGGCCCACCAAGUGGUUGAAGCUUAAAUCCACCUCGACUGCUUUUCGGCUAAAGGAUAAUGAGUUGGGAAGCUUUCCAUACAAUUGGUUUUUAGAAAGAUCUAACCAUGAAAAAUCUAGUUUCCAAAGCCAUUCUGGUAUUGUAUCUGAAAUCCCCACAUUUUUAAGAACUAUUGUGUUAAGUCUUUUUUGAGUUCUAAGCCAGUUGGGGAACUUGGGAGAUACAUAGCAGUUGGAAAUACGGAUAUACAAGAGGCUGAAAGGAGGAAUCCAUUCAGGUCUCACGUGAAAACGGAGAGACUGGUUUUUGGGUGAUAAGUGUAAAGAGAAAUACUCCAGUUUUGUAAGAUUACUGAAAUGAAUUUCAGAUAUUACCCCUUCCCAAGCAUUCCAAUUAAGAUACAACUCAGUCAGCUCUCUAAGUUGUCCAAUACUUUCUGGAAUCGUCCCAUUCAUUAGAUUGAAUGACAAGCUAAGUCUCUUCAUCCGCAGCAAGUUUCCAAUCCAUGUUGGAAUUGGACCUGAGAUGGAGUUUUUUCUCAGAUAAAGACUCUCUAAGUUGGUAAGGUGUUGAAUUGAAUUGGGGAAGGGACCAACAAAACUAUUAUAGCUCAAGUCCAGGGAUUUUAAAUUCUUAAAGAGCCCUAAUGAAUCUGGCAACUGACCACUGACUUGAUUACCGCCCAAGUUUAACUCUUCCAAGGAAUUAUUAGUGCAUGCUGAUAAUCGAUUCAGGAAUUCAAUUCCUUCACCUCCAAUACUAUUGUAUGAGAGAUCUAAGGUCACCAAGUUGCGAAGGCAUCGUAAGUUAACAUGGGGAAUCGGACCUUUAAUUGUAGCACCAUUUAAAUAAAGAUCUGUAAGGGUACUGAUGUUAAACAACCAGCCAGGCAAAGUAGUGUUGAAAUUGUUUCCGGAGAGAUCAAUGACCAAAGCAGAAGUCAAAUUAACAAACGGAUUGGAGUACUGAGGGAAGUGACUGAGUUCACAAUGGGACAAAUGUAAUUCUAACAAAAAUGGAAGCAUGUUUACAGCUUGCAUGCAAUUUGAGGUUGCUUUACUAAGGUUCACAUUCCCCAGAUCAAGGUAUUUUAAAGAAGAAAGACCAGAAAGCCAAUUUAAAUUAGAAACCCUCAUUUGAUAUUCUCCUCCAUGAAGGUCAAGAUAACGUAACUGUGAUAAAUUUCCAAGAAGAGGAGGAAUCAUUCCACCUUUCAAAUGAGCCCAAGAAAUUUGGGAUUGGAAUUCCUUGAAAAUCAUUAAGACUUAGGUCCAGGUAAGUUAAAUGUUUCAAGUCAAGUAAGGAAUCACUUAUCUCACCACCCAACGGUAAGAAGUCAUGUUGUCUGAGGUCAACCUUGACAACAUUUCCUGUUUGGUUGUUGCAAUCCACACCUCUCCACUUGCAGCAAACAGCACCAACCCAGGAAGAAAGCCUACCUGAAGGAUCUUUCAGACCAUGUUUAAAUUCAGGAAGCGCUUUCCGCUCUACCUCAAUGCAAGCCAUGUUGAGAUCACUGUCAUUAGAAUUGAUUGUAAGAGCUUCAACCAUGAGAAACUUCAAAAACAGAGAAAGCAAAAGAAUAAGGAGUGGAAUGGUGGUUUUCCUACUUGCCAUUGAUGAAUGCAAAGUUGCACAAUUCUGAAUUGAUACCAUAUAAAUAAAUAAGAUUAGAGUCUUGGUCUAAUUUGUUUAACUAUUUCAAGUCUUCAUGCCAUCUAUAAAUAAAUGCAACAAAGACCCUUCAGCCAUAUAUGGCCCAUGUACUCCAUCAUAUCUGCAAUUAAUUUUACAUGUCACUUCUGACCAUAAUUUUAUCCUUCUCUUUCUUCAUAACAUCUUACGGCUAUUGAAACAUGUAUUAUUAAAGAAUCUAGACGGCAAUAAAAGCAUAAUUUAUGCCCAAAAAUACCCACAAAGUAAUGGCAUAUUAUAUGAUUCAAGUGUCUAAAGCUCUAUGCUAUGUAAGUGGAGUAUUAUCUUUUAAAAAUAUUUCUUGAAUGAGCCACCAUCAUCACAAACUUGUUAAAAUAUGAUCACCUUAAAACUUGAAAGUGAUCCAAAUAAUGGAUGUUUUCACUGUUUUUUUUUUUCUCUCUUUCAAAAAUGUGAUUUUUUUUUUUUUUUUGAGAAAUCGUUUCAUUUUUUCUAUCAUGCUAAUCCUUAAAUUAUAUUAAUCAAUGAGCAUUUGGCACACUAAUUCUAUUUACAUUGGAUUCAGUUUCAAUCCUUCUCAAUGUUAAUACAUUUUUAAUUUUGAAAAAUAUAUGAUGCACGAUAAUCUAAACAAAGAAUAAUUUUUUCUCUAUUUUAUUGAUCUAAUAGAUUGAUUUAGAAAAUAUGUUAGGCCAAUACUAGUGUUUCAAAUUUACAAAUUUUUUUAAAGGAUUGGAUCAAGGUUCAAUCACAAUUGGAUCACACAUUUCUCUUGUCCAUGAGUAAAUUAAGCUCACAAUAUUAAUUACCAAGUUUUUGAAAUAUGAAAAUGUAGUCCAAAGAAAAAGAAAAAGAAUCUUCUUUUUAUUCUUUUUUUAUUUUUUAUUUAAAUGGAAAAAGCUUUAUUUAUUUAUUUGCUUUUACAUGGAGUAGACUAAAGAGUAAUGGCUUUGUUUUAGUCAAGAGUCAAGAUAUCACAAAAAUCCUUUAAGUCAUUGUCUAAAGAAAAACAAUCACCAAGAAAAUAAAUUUAAAUAAUAUUUUAAUGUAUGACGUACCUAUUUUAUCUAAAAAAACAUUUUUAGACUCUUGCUAGAGUUUUCUCAUAUGAACCAUUUACUAAGUUUAACAUGGAUUGCGUAGGAAGUAUAAUUAAUUGAAGAAAACUAUAUGAAACUUCCUACUCCAUGUUAAGUAUUAUAUAUGUUGAAAAUAAAAUAGAAAUUUAAGUAAUAUUCUAAUGUAUGAUGUAUAUAAUUUAUCUAAAAAAAUAUUCUGAAACUCCUACCAAAAUUUUCUCAUGUGGACUGUUUACUAAGUCUAAUAUGGAUCAUGUACGAAGAAUAAUUAAUUGAAGGAAACUACAUGAAACUUUCUACUCCAUGUUAAGUAUUAUAUAUGGUGAAAAUAAAAUAUAAAUUUAAAUAAUGUUUUAAUGUAUGAUGUAUAUAUUAAAAAAAAAUUAAAUAAAACAUUUUUUGACUUUUGCUAAAAUUUUCUCAUGCGGACUAUUUACUAAGUCUAAUAUGGAUCAUGUUGAAGAUAAGUACAUGAAACUUCCUACUCCAUGUUAAGCAUUAUAUAUGGUGAAAAUAAAAUAGAAUUUUAAAUAAUGUUUUAACAUAUGAUGUAUGCAUGUAUUAAAAAAAAACAUCUUUUGACUCUUGCCAAAAUUUUCUCUUGUGGACCGUUAACUAAGUCUAAUAUGGAUAGUGUAGGAAGAAUAAUUAAUUGAAGGAAGGUACAUGAAACUUUCUACUCCAUGUUAAGUAUUAUAUAUGGUGAAAAUAAAAUAGAAAUUUAAAUAAUAUUUUAAUGUAUGAUGCAUGUAUUAAAAAUAGAAAAUCAAAAACAUUUUUUGACUUUUGCCAAAAUUUUCUCAUGUCGUUUACUAAGUCUAAUAUGGAUCGUGUAGGAAGAAUAAUUAAUUGAAGGAAGGUACAUGAAACUUCCUAUUUUAAGUAUUAUAUAUGGUGAAAAUAAAAUAAAAUUUUAAAUAAUAUUUUAAUGUAUGAUGUAUGUAUUAAAAAAAAACAUUUUUUGACUUUUGCCAAAAUUUUCUCAUGUGGACCAUUUACAUGGUUUAAUAUGGAUCGUGUAAUAAGAAAAAUCAAUAUUUUCAAAAUCAGAUCGGCCAUUGAAGUAGAAAAGUUACCGAUUCAUGGUUCACUAGUCAAACCGACGGUCGAACCGAUGAUGUCAUAAAUAUAUAAUUUAUAAAUUAUUAAAAUUUAAAAUAAUUAUAAAAAUAAAAAUAAUAAUUUAUAUAUCAUUUUAAAAUUAAAAUUUUAUUUGAAAAUCAAAAAAUUAGUUUCAAAUUAGAAAUUCAAAUUAAAAUCAUAAUUUUAAUUUUAAUUUUGAAAUUUUGAAAUUUAUUUUUAAAUCAAAAAAUUAUUUUAAAAUCAUAAUUUAUUUAAAAUUGUGAUGUUUUGAUUAAUUUAAAUUAAAAUCAUAAGUUUUAAAAAUCAUAAAGUAAAAAAAUAAUAAAUAUAAAAGAAAAUAAAUUAUAAUUAGAUGAGGUAAAUAAAUAAAUAAAUCAAUCUAGAAAGGAAGGGAAGAAAUGGUGGCCCAAAAUGGGAAGAAUGAAGGAUUGGGAGGAGGUGGUUUUCAGAUGGGGGUGGGACUUCUAGUGGGGAAGGGUUUUCGCCGCAAGGGGAUAGGGGGUUUUGCCACUGAGGGAGCGACGUCUAACCGACCAGUGGCCGAUGACAGCAACUCGGUGUCGAUGAUAAUAGGAGGUAGUAGCUAGGGCAACCGUGCGAGAGGGGUUGUUGGGAAGAAAAAAAAAUGAUUGAACCGGAUGAUUCGGAGGGAAUCGUUUGGUUAGUCCAGUUUGUCAAUCAAACUGUCAGUUCAAUCGAUCCAAUUCUGAUUUGACUACCUUCCAACCUAAUAGACCAAACCGAAUAGAAAUUGUUACUGACUGGCGAUCGAACCGAUUAGACCAACCAGUCCGAAUCGAUUUUUAAAAACAUGAGAAUAAUUAAUUGAAGAAAGCUACAUGAAACUUCUUACUCCAUGUUAAGUAUUAUGGUGAAAAUAAAUAUAAAUUUAAAUAAUGUUUUAAGUAUGAUGCAUGUAUUUUAUCUUUAAAAAAAAAAAAAUAGUGUCUUGCAAGAAUUUUCUCUUGUGGAUCAUUUACUAAUUCUAACAUGGAUUGUGUACGAAGUAUAAUUACUUAAGGAAGCAAAAUGAAACUUCAUACUCCACGUUAAGUAUUAUGGCCAAAUAUAUAUAUAUAUAUAUAUCAUGAAAAUUUAUUUUAUUAUAUAUAUAAAGGGCUAGAAAAAUGCAUAUAUAGUGGGUGUCAUUUUUUUUUGUUUAAAAUAUGAAUACACCUGAAUUUGACUUAAUCUAAAUAAAAUUGAAUGUUAUUAAGUGUUUAAAUUAUGUGUUUUUACUAAUAUUUGAAGUAUUAAGCUUAUUUAUUUUUUACAUAUUAAAUAUAUAUAUAUAUAUAUAUAUAUAUAUAUAUAUAUAUAAUUACUAUAUUUUAUUAUUUUAGUUUUAAAAUUAAUAAUAUAAAAACAUUAAUUUAAUAUAUUUUUAAAUAUUCCAAACUAUCAUAAUUUAUCACCAUAAUAAAAAAUUUAUAAUAAUUAAUUAUAUAAUUAGUAGGCAAUUAACAAAUAGAUUUCUAGUUAUGUUUGGUUGUUAAGAAAAUAUUAAAAAAUUUCUAAGUUAAAACUUAUUUUUAUAUAACCUAUCUUUGGAGAAAGAAGGGGUGAAGGUUUUAAUGAAUUUGAAAACUAUAUAUUUAGAUUUUGAUACGUUUUCCUAAAUUCAAAAUUCUGAAAUUAAAAAAUUGACCUAAAAAAUAUUCAUAAAAAUAUUUUUAUUCUAGUGAAUAAUUGGUGAGUGUAAAUUAGGAGUGUAAGUUCAAAUGUAUAACCCACCAAACCAACUUCAAACCUGUCCAAUCUAGUUGGGUUUGUUCAUUUUGGCUUUUCAUAGCAAUUCAUGAGAAUAUUUUUAUUCUAAAUUAUCUUGAUAAACAAUAGAGAAAAUAAAUAAAAACAAAUUUAAGUCAUACUCAUAUUUUUUUAUGACAAAUUUACUAAUUCAUGGUAGAUUAAUUUAUUAUUCUAAUUACACAAUGUUUAAGUAGUUUAAUUUUUUAUUUUAAAAAACAAGAAAUAUCUAAAAAUUUUAAAAAUAAAUUUAGUUUAUUUUGAAGGAGGAAUUAGAUUUGAAUAUUAUAAUAAAUUUAAUAGUUGAAAAAAAUGAAAUUUUAUUUUCUCAAAAAAUUUCACUAUUCCUCUUAAAAUAAAAUUAUCUCUGAAAAGUAAUAACCUAAAAAACAAACCAUCAUAAAAAUAUAUUAAUUAUAUUACAUGGAAGUUAUGUUUUAAAGAAAUAAUAUCAAUAUAAAUUCCAAAUUUUGAAGUUAUUUCUUUAAUAAAUAACUUAAAAGUUUGAUAAUUAAAUUGAAAUUAUCUUUUGAAGAAAUUUCCCAUUUUACUUUUCACAAUUUCCUACAAAGUAAGAAAUUAUUUUUCAAUUAUCAUAUUUUAAAAAAUAUUAUAUUUUGUUCAAAAUCCCCAAGGAAUAGAUCCAUUGAAUAUUAUUUCACACGUGUUUAUUGUUCACCAAAUUUUCAAUUAUCAAAUUAAUUAAUGUAAUGAAAAUUAUUGAAAUAUUACUUCUUGUUUUUUUAAUCUAACAAGUACCUUAUGUGCAUAGAUUAGGGUAUUUUUAUAUACCCAGAAAAAGAACACCUUGUUGGUCCAGUUAAACAGUUCAAAUUGCUUGCCUUUUUUUUGUAGUGUCUAAAAUGAUGGUUGUUUGCAAUUCAGAUGUUGCUUUCGAUUUGUUCUCUGUUGAUGUACAAGACGACUGAAGCAAGUAUGAGACAACUGCAAUGAACUGAACCCAAAAGUAGGUCAUGAGUCAAGUUUUGCAUUUUUAUGUGUGGGGGCAGACCCUUUCUGUCUCUCUCUCUAAUCUCUAUCUCUCUCUUCAAUCCUAAAAUGGACAAAAAAGAAAGGUCCAAAACAUGCUUUCAAUUGAAAAGAAGAAAUCUCUCUCUAUGUCUCUCUAUCUCUCUCUUCAAUCCUAAAAUGGACAAGAAAGAAAGGUCCAAAACAUGACGGCCCUCAAUUGAAAAGAAGAAAAAACAAAGACUCAACUUUUAUAUUGUUUGAAUGCAAUCACACUCGUGGAUUUUCUAAUGUUUUGAUUCUAUUCUAAUCGAGCACUUACCAAUUUUGAUAAUUAAAGAAGACAAAUUUUCCAUUAUUAAAGUUUAGGAGUGAAAGUGUGGACAAUUACCCUGGUUUGAUUCGUUCAAUUUUAAGUAUAAAAUCAAAUCAAAUCAAAUCAGUCUUACAUGCUUUUAUGUAUGAAUGAAGAAUUGAACAAGUUAGUUACCAAAUCUUUAAAGUUUAGUCUUGCCGACAUGAGAGAAAAAACAAAAUUCCUUGUCUUGUCCACAUGUUGUGGACAACUUGUUUGAAUGAGGAAUCCAUAUGUCACCAAUUAAGCUCUAAGGUCACUGUCCCAAGGAAAGGUUCGAGAAAAGAAAAUGAUGAAAAAUUCAAAUGGUGGUUUAAUAUAUAAUAUAUAAUUUAUUAUUAUUAUUACUUUAUUUUAUUUUAAGAUGAGAGGUUCUUCAAGCAAGUGUAUUAGGCCAAUUUCUUCUUUUGUUACAUCAUUUAUUUAUAAAAAAAGAUAGAUAUUUAAAAUAAAAUACAUUCAUAUAAGAUAAUAAAUAUGAAAAUAAUAUAGGAAAAAAAAUACACUAAGAUAAUAAACAACCAUUGGAAGUAAAAUUUUAUUUUGCUUAUAUAUGGUAUAUCUUAUUUAAUAAUAAAUACUAUAAUAUAAUUAUUUAAUAAAUUUAGAAAUAUUAAUAUAUUUAUGUUUUAUUGUUAUAAUAUGGCAAAGAUAGAAACGCAUUUUGAUUAUUUGUAUUUUUUAAUUUUAUGAUGAUUAAAUUAUAAUAUUAUAAUUUGUUUUCUUCUACUUUCGUGAAAUCAAAUAUAGGAAAAGUACUCUUAGACAUUUCAAAGCGAUGAUUGUUGAUUUUAAACAAGAUAAAAAACAUUAAUAGUUUGUCAAAAAUUGUUAUUCGAUUUUCUAUUUGCAACAUGAAGAUCCAAAAAAUUCUUAGUUCCUAUAAUGUUUGAACAUAUCUUUACCAUUUUUUUCUUCUUGAUCUAACAACAAGCUUGACUGCACAAAAGUGAUGAGGGUGAUGUUCUUCCUAUGCUCUCCUCUCCCUUUUUAACUUUUAUAUCCCCCCUCAACAGUAUAGUUUUAAGGUAUAUCACUUUAAUCCUGAUGGACUAAAGGCCCAUAAUUUAUCUCAAUGGGUCAAAGUGAAGCCAUGGGCCUCUUCACAGUACAUUAAAUUGAUUAUGGCCCAAAACAAUACCCAUGCACAACCAAAUAUAGUUUACAAUAUACCUAGUUCACAGUACAUGAAAUCGUUUCUCCAACUACAUUGCUACCAUCACUGACGUCCUCAUCACUAACGAGGCCUAGACUCCGAUUCUCUCUUUUCUUCUCCGAAAUACUCUUGUGUAUUUCAAAUUCGGAGCCAAAAUCUGGUCAAAGAGAAACAACAACCCUAAAUUCAGCCCGAUCGACCAGCUAUUGAUGAGAGGUCUUUAAAGAUUGUAGUCUUCUUCGCUUCACAGUGAAGAAAUGCAUAGUCGGGGACCGAAUCACCGGCUAUCUGGUUCGGCUUUCAGAUCUCAAGUUUCGGUUCUCAUGCUAGCCAUGUUGACACCAUGGCAUGGAUUUACGUCGUCGGCCGGUGAGUUCUGGCACUGUUUCAUGUUGUGAAUUGAUUUUUGUUUCUUAGCUGUAAUAGUGCUUUAUGGUGUGGUUAAUUUCAUUUAUUUAGGUUUUUGUUUUGUGAUGCUUUGAUUUUGAUUAUAAUUGGUCUAUUUUUUUCAAAAAAAAAAAUUGUUUUUGUGGAAAUCUGUUUUCGGUAGGCUACGGCUGGAUUAUGAGAAUGGGGCUUAUUUGAUUAAAGAGCUGGAUAGGAGAACUAGUCAGGUGUUAUCUUUACUUUUAUGUAUUACCAUUUGUUAUUCAAUUGUAGCUUCAAAUUUUCUUCCCCACAGUUUGUUAAUGCAUUUUUUGGGACUAUUUUGUUAUCGAGAUUAAAUUAUAGAAUUAUAAUGAUACAAAGGGGGUCUUGACAUUGUAUGGAACCAGAAUCAGUCCAUCAUGGUUUAAAUUAAUUACAUGUUCUAUAGCAUUACAUUACAAUGCCAAAUAAAUUAGUGAUUUGCAUGAGCUCAUGCCUUUUUCUUUCUUUCUUUCUGUUUUUGUCUUUUUUUUUUCUUUUAUUGAAACUAUUUGAGAUGAUACCAGCCUAUUUUCUUUUUUUGAAAUUAAUCAUUCAGAGUAAUUGACUAGAUAAUGGGUUUUUCCAUUUUAAUGGUUUUUGUGUGCAAUCAGCCAAUGACACACUGAAAAUUAUAGCAUGCAGGUAAAUAACUUAUACCUAUCCUUCCUUUAUGUGGGGUUCUUUUUUUGGGGCUUUUGUUAUAAUAGACAAAAUAUAAUCUAAAGGUCAUGGUGAUGGUUCUUUUAUUUUAUAGGGAACAACACAAGAAGUUAGCAGCCCUUGAGAUGGAGCUAGCGGCAUCACAACAGGAAGAUUUUGCCUCAAAGAACUUGUUAGAAAAUAAGGGGACUCCUCCCAAGAAAAGGCUUUUAGCUGUUGUUGGAAUUAUUACAAAGUUUGGCCACAAGAACAAUAGAGAUGCAAUCUGUAAGGGCAUGGAUGCCAACUGGUAGAAUGCCCUUCUUUUUAUAAGUUUCGCUCUUUAUUCUUUGUAUUAUUUACAUAGAGAAUGACCCAGUUGGCACUUAACACAUUGACAUUUCUGUUAUAAGCAUAUAAGGGAUAAAAAUAGGAGGCUCGUAGGCUGAACUCUUAUUAACAUGAAAACUUUUAGUGAACUGCCAUUUCUCAUCUAUUCUUUUUUCAUUGUCUUGUUUAUUUUCUCAGUUUGCAAUGGUCAUUUUCAAUAGUUUGCAAACUCCAUCAACCAAUUUGAAAAGCCUUGGAGCUAACAAGUACAAAUUAUGAGAAACUAAAAUCUCGUUUCUCUAGGAUUUUUCUAAAGUUGCUCAAAUGAAUGGAAAGCAGAAAACUAUCAAGAAGCCCUACCACUGCCUUGCACCCUCUAUACCCCUAUUUACAAAAAAAUUGGAGUUUGUCUUUAAUGUAAUAAGGGAGACAAUAGUUUGCAUAAUAAUGGAACAUGAUGUAAUAUUGUGAUUCACUACUGCAAAAAAUAAUAUUAACAUAACUUAUGUGCUAAAUUACACUUACAUGCUUGGCACAAAAGUAUGUUAUUCUUCAUUUGAGAACAUUACUUAUGUUAUUCUUCAUUUGAGAACAUUACUUUAAACCUUAUAUGUUAGCAUCACUUUUGCCAUAACUAAUCUUUUUUUCUUUCUCCUUAUCCAAGACAAUGCAUAUCGAGUGAUUGAUACUUAAGUUAAUAGCCUUAGCACCCACAUGAGGUGAAGUUUGAAUCCAGAAUUUCCUAAUAGUCUUAAUACGCUUCCUCAAGCGUGUUCAAACUUAAGACGUCAAUGUUAAACCACCACUUUGCCCAAAACUUUUAAGUUACGCAGUAAUAGGCCAGCAAUGGGAUAUUAAGGCGACUGACAGGUAGGCUAAUAGCUUGAGCAAUUCUCUUAUAAUGUUUAAUGGUUUAAAUGUUGACGAUUAAAACACUUACAAAAGCAUGAUGACUUACCCAUCCUUUUCAUACAGAUACUCUGGAAGCAACUCUUGCUACUCAUUUGAAUAAGCCUCGAGUUUAUAUUGGGUGUAUGAAAUCAGGCGAAGUUUUCUCAAAAGUUGAGUAUAAUCAAAGUUUUUUUUCUCUAUUGAUGAGAAAACGAGUUGUUUAUGAUAUUCUACUUUCAUAUAUUGUAUUAUCUUUUCAUAUUGUCUGAAUUAUGUAGGAUCCACAAGUGGUAAGAACCAGAUUGGUAGAAAUUUGGUGAUGGAAAAUCAUGAGUAUUUCUGUGUUGAUUUCAUCUUGUCUCUUAUAUUAGGAUAAGUAAUUAUUACUUUCUAGUUAUGUUAACUAGUCAAGAAGUCUCUUAGCAUCUCUGAAUUCAUCUGAUAGGUGAUAGAAGUCCCAAUGAACAACUAGGGCAUUGUCCCAUAAGAGGCUUGCUUGAUAGAGAGAAGUUUUUUAGGCAUUCAAACAAUUUAUCAUUCCAUCAUAUUCUUGUCAUCUAUUACACUUAAUUUGCCUACCCUUGCACCCAUAUUUUAACCAUCUCAACUCUAAUUUGUGUCGAGGUAUCCUAGAGUCUGCAUAGGGAUGCCUUCUCGGGAAGUCAGGCUUACAUUGGUUGAAGAUACAUUUAGCAAAUUUAUAUGCUGGUGGAGUGGACAAGUUAUCAUAUGAGGGUUAGGUAGCAUUUACUGAGAAUCAUUUGGAAGAUAUCUUUGAGUCCGCAGAUAAACCUCUGGAAGGAAGACGUUGGUGAUUGUCUGUCGAGGAUCCUUUUCAAUGCUUGGCAGCGUGUAUUAAUCUAUCAAAUGCAUUAAGAAGCUCCCCUCCAGAGACUACCAUUUCACACAUGCCUGUCCACUAGGUACUUCAUUCUUAGCAUGGUCACAUUCAAACUGAGAAAUGUUUACCAAGUGAAAUCAAAUUAAUCCCACCUCCUCCCUAGUCUACCCAAUCCCACAAUAAAAAAGAAAUCUCAAAACUAGCUUUUAUUGGAAUUGUGUUCUAUGCAUAGUCAUAUCAUUUGUUGCCCUAUGUAUUUUGUAUAAACUCCUCCAAGCAUAUAGCUCCUCUGCAUUUACACAUGGAAAAUGACAAUCAUAUGAUUGUACAUAUCCUUCAGAGUACCCCAUUUGUUACCCCAUUAUUAGGAGCAAAAAUAAUGGAUCGACCACUUCUUUCAUAGCCCUGUCUUAUGUUUGUGCUAUCCUGCUAUAGUAUGCUUGAGAGGAUAACAAACAUUUCCCUGACUUUACUUUUGUUUUCAUAUUAAAUGCUUAGAUUCAGGUCAUUUGUUUAUCCAAACUUAAUCUAUGAUUGUAUUGUUCUAUGUUUUUCAAGGAUGGCUCUUGCAAUGGCUUACAACACCAUGCUGCCCUUGGAAGGGACAAGUUAGUGGAAUUUUCUGUUUUUGGUUGAUUGUUGUGGAAUUCUGAUUAUGUGAUAUGGAAGCAUGGUUUUUGAUUAGUUAGACAGUUUUUCACUCUUUUUCUGCUUUGAGGCUAAAUGUGUCUCAGCUUUGAUCUUCUCUCUUUUUGAUAGAAAAAAGGAACUUUGUUAAGGAAAGAUGGUAAAAGGAUGAGGAGUUGGAAAUUGAAACCCAAGAAAGAAACCAAACUUUGUUUGAGUUUAGUGCAGUUUAUUUAAUUUGAUUUUUCAAGUAAUUUCAAAGUUUGGUUGUUUCAAGAAAGGGGAUUAUCAUCGGUAUUUGGCAAGUUCAAAGGCUAGGGCAGCAAAUCAGUCUCUAAAGAGUGAAUUUUAGUUAGACCUUAGUAUUGGAGGAGAUAAAUUAUUAUUUAUUUAUUUAUUUAUUGAAGUUUCCUUGUUCUUUGGCAAUAGAACUUUGUAUUGGGGAUUAUUAUUUGAUUAUGCAGUUUGGAUACAUAUACAUAUUUGGAUUAUGCAAUAUUGGAAAUUAUAAUUUUGUUGCUUCAACUGCCUAUCAAGAAAAAUAAUUUUGUUGCUUCAACUAAAGUUUUAUAUAUGUAAUAGAAAAUAUAUACUGGAAAAAGUGGUAGGACCUCUUCAAUUUUGAAAUGAGAAUUUUAAUUAAAAUAUUUGAAAAAAAAAUAUUCAAGACUUCAGCUCUGGCCAAAUAUAAGUUGUGUCCACUUAAUAACCUAUGGCAGCGGACAAGAAAAAGUGGCAUCCAUAUGAAGCCCUAUAAUUGCGGCUGACAAAAGGUCAUGUCUAUAAUACUAUAUAGUAUUAAAUUCUGUAGAUGUCACACCUUCAUAGCAGCAACUAUCAGCUCUCCCAACCACAUAUAGAGCUUUUAGUUGAGGAAAAAACAUGAGCGCGGGGAUAGCUUCACAACUUCUUGUGUUUUUUACUGGUGGCUGCAACUAUAGGAUUUAUCUGCAUUCCUAUGGCCUUCGCAGCUAUGAACUUAACUUCUUGUAGCGUGUAACACUCUUGCCUCGUGUACGAUUGCAUGAACUUGCAACACAUGUACUGCACAACUCUUUGUUAAUGGUUAUAAAAAAUAUUUUUCUAUUUUUGAGAAUUGAAAAUAAGAAAAUCUUGUUUGACAAUAAGAAAAUAGUAAACAAUUUUUUAUUUUUAAAAACAGAAAAGUUUUUGUUCUUAAAAAAAAAAAAAAAGAUUUUUAUAAGAACAUAUUUUAGUUGUUUUUAAUUGUUUUCUAAGAUUAUUUUUUAAAAAAAUAAUAAGAUAAAUAUGAAGAAUAAUUAAAAAUAAAAUGCUAUCUACAAAACUUUUUUUUAAAAAAAAAUAUUUGAAAGCAAAAAAUAGAUUAAAAAUAUUUCAAAAUUCUCAAACAAGCUUUUAUCAUAUAAAUAUUAGAGAAUUGUUUUUUAAAACUGUUUUCAAAAACUAUUUUUUUUUUUUAGAAUAGUUUUCAAAAUAAUUUCUAAACUAACUUAAAGUACGUUUGACAAUGAUUUUAGGAAACGUUUUUAAUUUUUUUAUAACUUAAAAGAUGAAAAUUUUUUAGUAUUAAUUAUAAAAAUUAGAAGCCUUUCUAAAAUCACUACUAAAUAAACUCUAAUUCUCUCUACUGGAGGCUUGUAGGGGCUUUUAUAAUUUGUCUACCAAUCAUGUUAGACAUGUGGUAACCAUGUUAUGAGAUUUUGGGAUAGCAUCAUCUAGUUUGCACUUGUAUGUAGUUAAUUUUUGUUUUUAAAAAUAAAAAAUGAAACUAACUUCGAUAUAAAAUAUAAUUUUUUUUUAAACUUACGUUACUUCAAAUUUGAAAAUUUAUAGUGAUUUUUAAAGAUAUAAGGUGAGUUUAUACUUUUGAUAUAAAAAUUUCUACUAAAAAAUAUUACUAUUUUUUGUUGUAAAAAAAAUGUAUAAAAAAAAGUCAAUAUAUAAAUAAUAAAAGCUGAAAGAACAUUUUCAAUGCAUAGAUUAUCUUAAGGGUUCAAAUGUGGGCUAAGUCUAAAACUUAAUAUUAAAUCUUCUCUCAUUCAAAUAAUAGUAUUUAUAAAUAAUAGAAUAUCCUAAAUAAAUAUAGUUAUGGACAAAUAUUUCAAACAGAUUUCUCAAAUAUUAAUAUCAAAAGAAAAUUUCAUUAACCAUGACGAGCUCCCUGUUUCAAUCUAAAACAUGUAUAUAAACAUAAUUAACUUUAAUUUAAACAAGAUUUAGAUUUAUAUUAUGGACAAUAUAGUAAACCUAAAAGAUGAUCAUAAGUUUCUUAUUUCAUGACUUCAAUUAAUAGAAAAAAUAUUUACAAGCUCAAUUUUGUUGGAAUUUUAUUCAAUUCAUUCUAGUUUGAGACUUUGUAUAUUUUCUGUAACUUACCCUCCAUUAAAGAUACAAAAUUAUUUAGAGUUAACUAGAGAUUGGAUAGCACAAGUAUAGAGAGUUAUGAAAAGAAUAAUAACUUUUAAUUAAAAAGAUUCAGGAGAUCGAGUGCUCAAGCACUUGAAUAUAGCUUUCAUGGCUUAGAGCACUCAAGUAUUGCUUGGAAGUACCCAAUAACAAGCAAUCAAGUGCACUUACCUCGUGCUUGAGUACUCAAAAGUGGGGUUUCCAAAAAAUAAGUUUGCAUACAACACUCCCUAAGAAAAACAAUGAUUGCAUACAUAUAUAUGAUCCAUGGUUUAAGUAAAACAUUUCUUAUAUUUAUAAUAAGUUUAUUUUAGAGUGUUGUUAUUAUAUUAUACCACUGUUGUUAGGCCAUAUUUUGCUAAAUCAAAUGAAGAGAAAACACAUUAUUUGAUAAAUAUUUUACAAUUAGAGAUAAAGUUUGAAAUCUCAAUAAAUACAAAUAUAUCGGUACUUAGAUUUUAUGGAUAUAUAAAAAAUAUUGAAUAAAUAUCGGUGGAUAUUUUGACAAAAAUAUAGAUCUUGUUUUAAAAUUCAUGAAAAUACUUAAAAAAACUUUAAAAAAAAUGAUAAAAUAAAGAAUAAUACACAUAUUAAAGUUAUUUUGUAUGCUUAAAUUCCUUUAAUAUAUUCGCAUUUAUUUAUUUUUAAAUUUUAAAAAUACUUUUAUUGAAAGAUGUUUUAUCAUAUUUUAAAUAAAAAUUAAAUUGAUUUAUAUAAAAUAUUCAAAACCAUUACCCAAUAAAGACGCCUUUUGUGGGAGAAGUAUUCACCGUCAUCCAUGCAAAUCAAACCCACCUUUGAUCUUUAUUCACAAUUUCAUAUAUUAUAUAUAUGUCUACUAAACUUAUGUAUAUAUAUAUAUGUAUAUAUGGGUUUAUACAUGUGGAUGUGUGAAUGAAAAGUUGGAAAAUAGUCUCUAUUGUUCUUUAUUGAAGAACGAUAGCUAGGGUUUCUAUUCGUCUCUCAUUCUCUGUAUUGUUUUGUUUCUCUUUCUUAGGGACUUACCUUUGUUUGUGAAUCGGAACCUAUGCUCAAUUAGCUUAAGAAUUACCCAGUAGUUUGUUUGAAUCGGGGGGAGUUUGGGUGGGAGAGUCUAAGGUUUGUGAUUUAAGGGGUUUUGGUAUUGUAGGAGCUGAUUGGUGUCUGGGUUGGGAGGAAUCUAGGGUUUGUGAUAUGGGGUUUUGGCGUGGUUGAGGUGGGAAGGGAAAAAUUGAAUCUUGGGGAUUGUUUUUGUUGGUGGGGUUUUGAAGAUGGUGGAGAAUCGUGGAUCAGGUGUGAUCUGAUCGCCGCUUUUCCGAUGGCAAACAACCAUCCGAUUGGAGGGGUGGGGGCUUUUGUAUGGAAACUUGGAGCCCCAAGCAGGCGGAGGCGUCCUCAACGGCCCCUUUUUCUGGACCCACCACCUGGUCGAGCAAGCGAUCUCGUAUCUCCUCUUCUUCUUCUUCAACGAUCCCAAUUUCAUCGAACCCCAACGCCCAUGCUACACUGAAAAAUUAAUUUUGAGGGGAGCGGAGCUACACUUUGACCGAAGCCAGCGUUGACCAACAUAAAUAUCGGGAAAUUUCCCGAAAAAUCGGCAAAAACCGAUAUUUCGGCGAUAAUUUCAGAAAAAGAGCGAAAUUCCUUCCAAUCGAUUAUCCGUCCUCAAUAUCGUAUCGAGCUUCACCGAUAACCGAAAUAUAGGGGAAAUUUCGUCGAUAAAAAAGACAUUUCAAUCACUGACUAGAGGUGAUUAACACUGAUGUUAGUAAUUAGGUUUGCCAUAUUUUUCAAUAAUGUACAAUUAGCUCAAUCACUUGAAGCUUAUACCAAAAAUAUAUUUGAAUCAAUAAUGGACAAAAAUUUCUGACUGGUACUUAGUGAUAAUCAACUACCAAAUUAUCAUAAACAUAGAAGUUGAAAGGAUAAUUUUAAGGCAAAGAUGACUCUAAAAUAUCAAAAGUGGGCUAAGUAUCCAACUUAAUAUUACAACUUUUCUUACUUAAAUGACAAUUCACAAAUAACAAACCUACCUAAAGAAAAAUAAUUGCUUGCCAACAUUUCAAAGAUAAGUUCUCAAACACUCGUACCAAAUAAAUCUUCAUUACCACUAAGAAUUCAUCAUUGUAUUCAAUCUGCAACAAGUAAAUACACAUAGUUAGCUUCAAUUUAAGCAACAUUUAGAUUUUCAUCAUGGAAUAUAAAUAGCAUGUUCAUUAUUAUUAUUAUUAUAUAAUUAAUUAAUUAACAACAUAAUAUUAACAAACUUGGUUAUAGAGACUAUUUAAAUUCUUAUAGUUUUCAUACUUAUGGUAUUAACCAUACUCAAAUGAGUAUAUUUGUCAAUAAAUUUAGAGUUUCAACUAACAACCUAUAACAAUCUAUAACCUUAGCUGCUUGUUUGUAUAUUUUUUGGAAUUCAACUUUGGAAAAAAUUUCAUGUAUCUUAAUCUUUCCUAUGAAAAUCGCAUUCUGUAACUUCAAAGAGUUGAACCCAAUUAUAAACUUCCUCAAUCCUCUUUCUAAUGACUCAACUAAGAAAUUGUAGUAAGGAAAGAGAAACAACUUAUAUUCAUAUGCAUGGUUGAAGGGUCUAAAAAUAUGCCCCUUACUAUAACAUGCUUUGAACAUUUAAAACAAUAUACUUUUAGUAAAAUCUAAGUCCAACAAGACUACAAUUCAAUUUCUUUUGUAAAUUUAAAUCAUUAUUUCCAAUUCAAGAAUUUAAGAAAUCAUAUAAUAAAAUAUAAGUAUAAAAAGAUUAAUAGCUAACAAAUAUGUACCUAAACGGAGAUGACCUUACAUUACAUUGUAAUGAAAUUCAUCUUACCUUCUUUUUGUAUGAUGUUUGUUAUUUUGAAACCUUAUCACCCUCUGCAAAAGAGCUGAAUUCAUUGUGAUGAUAAUCAUAACACACCAAAAAUACAAUGAAAUUAAAAAACAAACAAGGAAGAAAAAAAGAAGGAAAAAGAAUGGGAAGUGAUGUAAGAUAUUUCACCUUUUUAGCCAUGAACUCCAUUUGCUUCCAUCUUCCUUUUCAGACGAGCCACAUUCACUGCAGUGAAGACAUAUAGCCUAUCUCUGGUUUCAUCAAUGAACCGGAAAUAUGCCUGCCUCCAAGACUUCUUUAGAACCAAACUGCCACAUAUAGCCCAAAAUCCCACCGGAAAGCCCAAUCCCAUGCUUAUGAAGAACCAUGACAUGUCCCAUUCAACUUCAUCUUCCUCCUCAUCUUUGUGAUCUUGAUCAUUUAGAGUGGAGCAAUUGGUUGACAAUGGAGGCCCACAAAGUCCCAGGUUCGCCUCAUAAAUGGAUGGAUCGUUGAAUGUCGAGAACUGGUUGGUUGUUGGAAUUGGUCCUGAUAGGCGGUUAUGCGAUAGGUUCAAAUGGUUCAAUGAGGUUAUAGAAGACAUGCUCGGAGGAAUUGGGCCUGACAGGCAGUUGCAUGAGAGGUCAAGAGUUUCUAGCCCUUGCAUGGCUCCAAUCUUCUCAGGUAUCUUUCCAGUCAACUGGUUUCGGGAUAAAUUCAAGGUACCCAGGGUCGAGAGAGUUGUGAUCUCUUUUGGGAUCUCUCCCCAAAUGUUAUUGCUAGAAAGAUCUAUCAAAUUCACAAUUGGCAAUAUGCUUUCAAAUUCCAUACUUUGUCCCUUUACAACUAGCUCCAUGCGCUCCGAAUAGGAGUAAUGAAUACUGGGGUCGUCAAAAUUUCUGUCUAAUAAGGUCACAAAACUUAAAGCAGUUAAAUUGCCUAAGCAUUGUGGGAUGGAUCCUGAUAAAUUGUUCACUGCAAGAUCCAAAAUGUGGAGACGAGAAAGCCAACACAAUUGCUCAGGAAUAUCUCCUGUGAACAUGUUGCCUCGUAGACGCAGCUGCUUCAGUGAUGACAUUCUUUCUCCAAUCCAUUUGGGUAUCUCACCCGAAAACCUGUUAUUUCCAAGAUCAAGGGCGUACAACCAUGUGCAGUUUCGUAAGCUUGGAAAGGGUUCCCCAGAAAGAUUGUUGUCACCCAAUAUCAAGUCAGUAAGUGAAGAUUUUGAAGAUAUCCAACUCGGAAUCCCACCAGACAGUUUGUUCUUGGAUAGAUCUAUGGUCCAAAGCCUGUGCAAAUCAUUCCAAUUCUUUGGAAUCUUUCCAGAUAAAUGAUUGUUUGAGAGAUCAAUUACUUCCAAAUCCUUUAGUUUACUAAUUGAUGAAGGAAUGCUGCCAUUUAACAAGUUACUAGAAACAUCAAGGGCUUCCAAACUCGAUGAUUCCCCGAUGUUCAAGGGAAUUGGACCAGAAAAUAAAUUGUUUCCCAGAUACAACCAGCUCACAUUAAGUCGAAGUGGGAGUGGGCCCCCCAAGCGGUUGAAACUUAAAUCCACCAAUGCGCCUUGGCGAAAGGAUAAUGAGUUGGGAAGCGUUCCAUACAAUUGGUUUCUAGAAAGUUCUAACAGCAAAAAAUCUUGUUUCCAAAGCCAUUCGGGUAUUGCAUCUGAAAUCCCCACAUUUAUUAGAAUCAAUUUGUCAAGUCUCUUUUGAGUUCUCAACCAGUUGGGGAACUUGAGAGAUACAUAGCAGUUGCAAACCCCGAUAGAUUCGAGACUGAAGGGAGGAAUCCAUUCAGGUCUCAAAUGAAAACGGAGAGACUAGUUUUUGGGUGAUAGGAGUAAUGAGAAUGCUGUCAAUUUAGUAAGAUUACUAAAAUGAAUUUCAGAUAUUACCCCUUCCCAAGCAUUCCAAUUAAGAUACAACACAAUCAGCUCUCUAAGUUGUCCGAUACUUUUUGGAAUAGUCCCAUUCAUUAGAUUGUUUGACAAGACAAGUCUCUUCAUCCGCAGCAAGUUUCCAAUCCAUGUUGGAAUUGGACCUGAGAUGGAGUUUUCACUCAGAUCAAGACGCUCUAAGUUGGUAAGGUGUUGAAUUGAAUUGGGGAAGGGACCAACAAAAUUAUUAUAGCUCAAGUCCAGGGAUUUUAAAUUCUUAAAGAGCCCUAAUGAAUCUGGCAACUGAC
RNAcentral lists this long non-coding RNA (112037 nucleotides) under Vitis vinifera (wine grape). RNAcentral's name for it is "long non-coding RNA (VVIN_LNC000281)". Lineage: Eukaryota; Viridiplantae; Streptophyta; Magnoliopsida; Vitales; Vitaceae. The record is from RNAcentral.